Molecule: long non-coding RNA, 99269 nt
Filed under: Cucumis sativus (cucumber)
Lineage: Eukaryota; Viridiplantae; Streptophyta; Magnoliopsida; Cucurbitales; Cucurbitaceae
Source: RNAcentral
GGCAUAGCGCUUCGCUUUCGGUGAUUCUUCCGAAUCAACUGACUUCUCCCUUCUUCAUUGAUCUGGGGGAAAAGGAACCGUCUACCUGUUGGGAAGCUAGACAUUCAGUAAGUGGCUUGAUGAGGAUAACUAAGCUGACACGCCGGAGUUGGCUGCUGGCACAACUGGGUGGUGCCUUACCGCACCGCAGGUUCACGCGCGGUAGCGCGUUCGUGGUGGUGCUUCAGGAUUCCAGUGUACUGCAUCCAAGAUCAGAACGAGCUUGCCGGCGGACCAUUGCCGUCCCAUUCUUGAGUGAGCUGGAGCGCAGCCAUCUUAUCCACUGAACUAGCGUUAAGCUAUUGCUUCGGGUCGAAGCACUAAAAGAAAAGGACCAGGAAAGGCGGCGGUAUAGGAACCACGGGACCCCCCCACUAGUCUAGUAAAGGGAAAAGAGAAGUGCGCUCCUCUCCUGUAAGUAAAGCAGCUUCGCACCUCUCAAGAAAUAAGAAGAGCAGCUAAAAGGAAGGAAAGAUCGAAUUCAGAGAUCAUUCAACUCUCUUUCAUACUCUCUCUCUUGUUCCGCUACGUGGGCUUCCUCUUUCUUGGUCGAGCUGCUGUCAAUAUUCUUUUCACCUGCGCACCUGCUUCAAAAGCCCUUUACCCUUUGAAUAAUAAGGUCAGCUUCAUAGUUCCAACCUAGAUAAGGCUUUUUUAUGCCCUUUUUUUAGGUUGGGUUGCUGGAUACGGGAUCCUCGUAGUAGGCUGGACCAAGAUCCAGCCGAGAGAGGGCAGCCUUUAGAAGGAAGAGGUUGGGAAAGCAAGAGAAGGCUGAGCCUUUUCUUAUCUUUUUCCCUAGGCUCGCCCCUCUCCCUAUGGUCGAGUCUCUUCGCCCCUCUCCUUACAGUCUCAAUCAAAUUCUUUGACCCUCUCCUUACAGAAAAAAAAGAGUGAUUUGGAUUAUUGACCCAAUGAGAAAGCACUAACAUCUUCCUCGUUGGGGCUUCGCGCACUGGGAAGACGCUAAGGCGACGGGAAAUCGGCCGUCAGUCUGAGGAAGCCCACGGAGCGGUAUCGAGAGGGCUAUCACAGUCAGGUGGAAAUUACCCCCGUACCCCUCUUUCAUUAUUAUGUUAGGGGGUUGAGGCGAGAAAUGGCUUGAUUCACCCUUCCGUUCGCCACGCACCGGCCCCAUUCACUUGCUUAUCGUAGAGGGACUUGCUGUUGCUGUUGAAGUAUACAGUGCCCUGCUGUUGCUGCUAUUGACGGACUUGCUUUGGGUGGAGGGUUAGAGGUCGCUAUGGUAUGUCUUAGAACUUCUUGUAGACAAUUAAAUCUUUAAAAUCAUUGUUUAAAAAUAUUUUAUAUUAUUUUGGUUUGUAGGCAUGCCAUGCACGAUUAUCAACCAAAACUGCACAGUUAGGAUUACCUGAACUUCAGCUUGGUUUAAUUCCAGGUUUUGGAGGUAUGUCUAUGGCGCUGAUACUUGGUGGUAUUUUUCUUAUUUUUAUUUGUACCAGUUAAUCCUGUGAGCCGCUUUUAUGUCUCUUUCUGGCCGUUUUUAUGUCUCUUUCUGUUGACUUUAUUAUUCUCUCAUUUAUGAUUUAACAUCUCAUAUGAAUUAUUAUGUGUAUCUUGCAUGGGAUAUUUUGCCACUUUGUGCCCAUAAAAAUCAACACUUGUCUUUCGGUGUAUAGGUCAUAAGUGGUCACUUUGGGUGGUAAGGACCGUUGCAUUUGAUCCAAGUAACAUGUGGUUUUGUACUGAUUCAGCAGAUUGUACAAUCAAGGUACUUAUUUUUAAAAUUAUUCAAUAUGAAUGAAUUCCAUUUUGGUCUGUCGAAGCGGGCCAUAUAUAGGUUCCAUCGUUUUUGCCCUUUGAUAACAAUCGUUAUCUUUGAGUUUUCUGCUCCUGAAAAUUGAAGUAUCAUUUAUUUAUGAUAAUUGUAGGAGCAUGUUUCUUCUUCCUAGAAUAGCGUGACACGAAAUAAAUGAUAGUAUGGUUGAUACGAGAUUUUUCUUCUAGGGCUAGUACAAUCCAUGAACUCUCUGGGCAUGAUAACACCGUUUGCUCAUUUUAAUGGACCAACCGUAUCCUUUUCUCCCUCUGAUCUUUCCUUCCGAUAUCUUGGUCAUAUUAGUUUCUUUCAAUAAAUUUUUUACUCGUGUGGUGUAGUUCUUUUAGAUAAUUUCCCUUUGAUUCUACAUAAGAACCUAUUUUCGUGCUUUUGUAAUUAUCAACUUUGUAUCAUUUCCUUUAGACUGGAGCAGUACAUCAGAUAAUCAAAAUAAUUGAUAUUCCAAUAUUGUGUAUCUUUUGUGCUCAGUUCUCAGCAGAAGACUUAUCAAUACAAUGUCUGUCAAUGAAGAGGGUGUUAUGGUGAUUGGAGGUGCUUUUUUAUUGUUGUGAUCGUGACUAAACUUGGAUGGAAAUGGUUGUUGGAUAAACUAAGCUCAGCCUCCCCUCUACUUUCUUUUUUCUUGAAACAUAUAUAUCGAGCAUUACACGUGGCUUUAAAUGUGUUUUACGUAAAUUUUUAUAAAAUUUUAAACUGUGAAUUACUUUUAACGUAAAGUCUUGAUUCAACUUUCAUCCACUCUAAUUAGUAAAUAUUUGACAUGAAAUUAAGUAAUUUAAAUAGUGGCAAAGUUAAUUUUAAUGAAUAUGAGAUAUCGUUGAUACGAAUUAUGGUUCGAAAUUUUUGACACAAUUUUGGAGUUUUCUUUGAAUGAAUACCUAUUUUCUUUGAAUGAAUACCCAUAAAAAUUUUUGACACAAUUUUGGACUGCAAGGUGGAAAAGGUGGGUUUACAUUUCUCUGUGUCCCAUUGUCAUUGUCUCAUAAUUUAGUCUAGACACUUUUGUUGACAUCUUUUAAAUGAUCUUUUAGCUUAGGAACCACGGCCUGGCUACAUUUCCAUUGAUGUAAUCACUGAUAUUUUUGAAGGUACAUUUCAGCUCAAUUUCUUUAAUUCUUACUCUCAUCUUCCAACUCUCUUGAAAAGCGAGUGAAAAGGAUAGUUUUGGGAAAGUAAUUAAUUGUUAGUUAUGUCGUCCAGCUGCUAGAAAGCCUGCUGUUGCUGCUAUUGACGGACUUGCUUUGGGUGGAGGGUUAGAGGUCGCUAUGGUAUGUCUUAGAACUUCUUGUAGACAAUUAAAUCUUUAAAAUCAUUGUUUAAAAAUAUUUUAUAUUAUUUUGGUUUGUAGGCAUGCCAUGCACGAUUAUCAACCAAAACUGCACAGUUAGGAUUACCUGAACUUCAGCUUGGUUUAAUUCCAGGUUUUGGAGGUAUGUCUAUGGCGCUGAUACUUGGUGGUAUUUUUCUUAUUUUUAUUUGUACCAGUUAAUCCUGUGAGCCGCUGUAAUGAUAUGCACCCAACUGAACUUUACUUUAAGCUGUGGGCAGUUGUGAUCUCACCAAUCUACUUAAGCUCUUAACAUUGGAAAUAAUUGAUUAAGUUAUUAACAAAUAACAGUUUAUGUUAUCAGUUGGAUCCCUCGUGGAUUGAUAUUUGGAUCUUGGGCCUUUGAUAGGAUAGCAUACGAUGUAAUUCCUUAUUUUUAGAGGAUGGAUAAUAUAGAUUUUUUAGCAAUAACCUAGUAUUUGAAUUGGCUGAAAUGAAUUUGUCUAUUAUAUAAUGAAAACAACAGAAACCCACUGUUUUGAAAACUUCUAAGAUUUUUCUUUUGGUGUUCUAAUCUCAAGCUUCUUUUUUGUUCAGGAACACAGCGACUUCCUCGUCUGGUUGGUCUUCCAAAGGCUUUAGAAAUGAUGCUGGUGAGAUUAGUAGCUCUUGCUUUUGAUUUUUGACACCUUGCUGUAGAAUAGCUUCAAUGGUCAUUCAUAUCUUUUGCUUAUUUCUGUACCUGUCUCUCUCAACUUAUCCAAACUUGCUACACUUGAACAGACAUCCAAGCCAGUCAAAGGAGAAGAAGCCUUUUCACUGGGACUCGUGGACGCCAUAGUCCCUCGUGAAGAGUUGAUCAGUGCUGCUCGCAAAUGGGCUCUGGAUAUCUCAGAGAGGAGAAAACCAUGGAUUAUCAGUCUUCACAAGACCAACAAGUUAGAGUCUCUUGCUGAUGCUAGGGAAAUAUUUAAAUUUGCCAGGGCUCAAGUACGGAAACAGGCUCCAAAUCUCAAGCACCCACUGGUUUGCAUUGAUGUUGUUGAAACGGGUGUAGUCUCAGGUCCCCGUGCUGGACUUCAGAAGGUUGUAUUUCUAAGGCAGCUAUUUUUUCUCAAGUAAAAGAAAGAUCCAAGCAUGAAAUAACCUUCCUGAAUUUCUUUUUUAUGCUUAUGGCAGGAGAUUGAAGAUUUUCAAGUACUACUGCAUGCUGAUACCAGUAAAAGCUUGAUUCAUGUUUUUUUUGCUCAGCGUGGAACAACAAAGGUGUGCGAUGAAGAUUUACUGAAAAAUAAAUGAUCGCUUAAAAUAAUCUUUAUUUCAGAACCUGAAGUUCAGGAUAUAGAAAAAACAACAUCCACUGUUAAUACAUUACGAGGUUAGUCUUUUCUCUUAUGUUGAUAUUUCUUCUUUUUUUUUCAAAAUAUGACAGGUACCUGGAGUUUCUGAUCUUGGGUUGACACCGAGACGUAUUAAUAAAGUUGCUGUUAUUGGUGGGGGAUUAAUGGGAUCUGGGAUAGCUACAGCAUUGAUUCUUAGCAACUAUCCUGUGAUUCUUAAAGAAGUAAAUGAAAAAUUUUUGGAGGCCGGGCUUGGCAGAGUCAAAGGUAAGCCUGGAAUUUACUACUGUUGAUUGUAUUCUUGUUAUAUUCUAUCUGGCUUGUGUUUGACCUGUCAUUGUAAACAUGUUAGCCAAUCUACAAAGCCGAGUCCGCAAGGGGACAAUGACUCCAGAAAAAUUUGAAAGAACCAUUUCCCUACUCAAGGGUGUCCUUGAUUAUGAAAGUUUCAAAGAUGUGGAUAUGGUGAUUGAGGUAAGUCCCACAUCUUACUUCACCCACAAAAAGUAGCAAUCGUUGAUAUCAAUUUGGUAUGCUUGUAACAGGCUGUUAUUGAGAACAUCUCCCUGAAGCAACAGAUCAUCGUUAGCCACUUAGCCAUUGAGUUUAUGCUUCUAAUGCAGUCCAGCACACGUCAUGCCACCAUACCCAUAGGCCAUAACCCCAAAACUUAAAUAAUUUAAUUUCAAAUAUUGAAUGCGUGGUUUGAACUACUUUGUAAGUGUUUUUAAACAUGUUGAAACUCAUUUCUUUGACAUUUUAUACAUAUUCUUUAACUAUUGGUUAGUUGUUCUCAAAGACUACAAGAACCAAAUGGACAGUCGAUUAGCAACUUUAGAAAGAGCUCCUCUAUAACAUUCAAAAGUAUGAAUCAACCCACGAAAAGUCAACGGCUGUUGAGGCAGUCGACAAGAUGCAAAAGUCAAUUAUCAGAAAAUGAGCUGUCAGGUUAUUUUCUAUUGUUUUUCUCCAUCUUCUCCUCUGAAAUGUCACUAACGCAUUUCAUAGAUGUCAAACUCCUCUCUUGCUCACCAUUGAAUGGCCAUUACCAACACCUCACAAAUUUCUUGUGAGAUUUCAGUUUUCAGAACGAAUCAAGAUCCUCAUCUUGGAAGCCGCCAAUCUCCUUUUAUCAGGCACGCUCUCAUUUUCCCUCCUUUUUCAUCUAUCGUUUAUAUAUACAUUGUUAACAAUGAUGAUGAUGAUGAUGAUGAUGUUUACUCUGGCUUACGGUUGCGAAAUUUGAUUGUGGAAUUCUCUUUUUCAGACAGAGGGCCAAAUUGCUUCAGCCGUAGGAUUUUCCCUCCUGGUAAGGGCCUUGAUUCUGAUUAUUGGUCCUAGUCCACUCGGCUUACUUCUUUUCCGCGGUAUGGAUAUAGCUAUUGUUGACGCUGAGAGAGAGCAACUCUUUUCAGGGACCACCCCCCCCCGACCCUUAUCGCACCUCUCGUAUGACCUCCUUAUGUGGGUUCCUUACCCUCUUCUUUCAGCUCCCAGCGCUACGCACAUGUCGCCUACUCUCAGGAACCGGCUAGCCUUCAGACCAAGACCUUGCUUAUUCCACUUGGAGUAUCUUGGCCCACCGAUCCCAUGCCAUCGAAUGCGACCAUUCAACCGAACUAGGUCCGAUUGCGCCAUUAUAGCGGUGCUAAAAAGUUAUGAAAUCUUCGUCCAUUCUCUGGGUUAAUAUGGAUAGUCAUCUGGACCCCUUAUAAUUGGGCACCGCGGAGUGGGGACGCAUUCGAUAGCAUGCUCUCUGGCCGUAUGUAUUCGUUUUGCACGGUCGUGGGUAGUCGCUAGUUCGUCUUAGUAUGGGCCCAAACAUCCAUAUCUGAGUAUGCUAGCUGGUCACACAGGCAGUGCCUUCUUCUAUCUAACUGAACGGUAAACCGGAGGGCGCUGCCCCCUAACCCCUUUUUGGACACGAUGACAUAUACCUCCCUUUUAAGUAAGCGGCCUAAGGCCUACCACUUACCUGAAAGGGCCGAAAGUUUGCCCCAGGCCCGAAGGUUGGAAUUGACCCCCCAGUCGCUUCAAAACCUGUACCUCCCGCUUGAUCUUCCUUUCUCAUGCCAUCCCCGGAUCCAGCGAGUGGGCCCAAAAGUUCAGACCCCUAGACUCCACCUUUUCGAUUAUCUCUGAGAUGGUCAGAGCCUCGGUGACACCCAUCCCAGUGGGACUCAAACUCCCUGAGACCGGCCUUGGGUGGAUUCCUUAGAUGCCAUCCUCGGGUACUGCAAUGAGGAGUAUUGCUUCGGUACAAGUUUAGCGCGACAACUAAAUUGAGGGCAGUCGAAUGCUCAGUGCUUACUUACGAUAAUCGAGAAAUCGAGAAAAUCAAUGGGAUUUCUUUCUUUUGGGGAAAGCUCUUGAGUUCUGUAAGAGGAAACCGCCUCUAAGAAGCAGAAGAUUGUCUUUGUAUUGAGAGCCCAAAAAGAAUUCGCAAAAUGGGCGUGUUUCCGCUCCGCUUUCCUACGCCUUUAUAUAAGGGGUCGGGACUCCUAAUCCUAGGCCUUGAUUCCAUUCCCCUUGGAGGAGAGGGAAAUAGGGACUAGAUCCCAGGGACAGGAUAAUCAGGACCUCUUAUUCCUAAAAGGGCCGAAGCACGUAAUCGCCGGCCGAUUCGCCGACAAAGACAAAGAAAAGAAGAAUUUCAGUCCGAUUCUAAGACAAAGCAAGCGAUUCUUAGCCUUAAGAUCCUCCGGAUCGGUAUCGCCUUUGCCUUCUUUAUCUGGGAAAUUGCCCUUCUUAGUAUAGGGAUUAGUAUAGGGCCGGGGAAUGAGAAGACCCAGGGAAAGAGGAGAAUCUAGACCUCUAGAUACCUACAUCCGAGGGGCCGAGAGGGACUAAUAGUGGCUCGGUAUCGGCUUUGCCUUUUCCUUCUUUAUCCGGGAAAGGAGAAUAGGGUAUGCGGGUCCGAUACCCCUUAAGCCGAUAGGCACACUAAUCCGAUUCCUCUUCCUCUGACUCCCCCGAGGGUUGGGGGGAAAGCCUUAAUUCCAUAUUCUUCCUCUUAGUCUUCCUUCCGGCCGGCCAAGGAAGCGAUUGGCCGAGAAAGAAGAAGAAGGAAAGAACCGAUUCUUAGCCCUUGACCGAGUGAGUUGUCCUCUUUCCUACGCCUUUAUAUAAGGGGUUGGGACUCGUAAUCAGCCUUCUUCUAUAUAUUCUUUGCGCCUUUCAUUCUUCCUCUAAAAAUGACAUAAUAUCUAAAGAGGAUCAUAUUCUUUUUUUAUGCCUCCUUCUGCAGAACCUACUAGUAAGAGGCCGACGGAGCGGUUAAAGGAAAAGGUUCGCCUAUCCCCUUGUUCAUUGAGGGACUCCUAAUUUUUAAUAGAAUGAAUGACUUGCACUCCUUUCUUCUUUUCCGCAAUAUUCUUUGCUCCGAUCAUGAAAAGAGCCGUCCGGAGGACCAUCAAAGAAAGGUCCAAGGUUCGGAGUCCGCAGUCCGCAGGAUUUAUCCGUAGUCCGGAGGACUUUCCGUAAUUAACCGAACUUUGCGCCUUAGUUAGUCUUAUUCCUGAAAGUAUUAUUCCGAAAAAAAGCUGUUAAAUAGCUUAAAUAAGCGGUUCAAUUCCCACUCCUAAAAUCAAAGCUCCAGAUGAGUUGACAAAGGUUCAAAGAAUGAUCGGAGUCUGCCGCUUUCUUUCAUAACUGAGCCGAGAAUGAGGCUGGCAUAGUUGUCUCUCGCAUGCAAGGAGAUGCUGCUGCUGGAUGUCACGGUUCUGGGGCGCCAUGAUCCUUUUCUCUGGAACAAGAGAGGCGCAAAGAAUAUUGCGAGACAAAUGCCCAAAUAAAAUCAAAGAGGUAGGGACUUCAUCAAUCAUCGCUCAGUGAGCUAUUUAUUGCCGCCAAUAGCGCUUCGCUUGCACGCCAGCGCCACGCCUGGUAGAGCUAUCGCGCGCGGGCGAAGGAGAUGCAUUUUGAGUACUGGUAGUACUGGACAAGCUCAGAGGGAAUAAUCUCUUUCUUCUUUCUUCCUUUCUUUCCCAUGACGACUAGGAACAGGCAAAUAAAAAUUUCACUUCGAAUUCCGGACCUCAACAUCCUGCUGCUCAUGGUGUUUCACGAUCAGUAUUGGAAAUGAACGGAGAAGUGGUGGAACGUGCGGAACCCCAUAUUGGAUUACUCCAGUGCGGCACGAAGCCGCUGACGCCGAGUCGGCUCCUAUGCCGCUAGCUAUGCCCUGCUUGGUCCCUCGACACGGUGAAGGUUCCGUAGCGCGUCAUGAGCACCGGGCUAAGGGGCGGUUUUUCUACUCAAGCGAACCGCCCUACCUUACUACAACAUAGGACAGAAGGGAGAAGGUUGUGAAGGUGGCCUCGUUAUCCACACCUCUGGUCGGAUAAAUGGAGGACCUCCAAGAAAAAAGCCUAGGGUUUGAAUGAGCGUUGGCGGGUCCUGGAGUGCCUGUCAAGGGCUCCCGCGCAUACCCGGUGAUCAUCACCACCUGCACCUCACAUCUCGGCACAGUGGAACGUGUAACCCGCCUGCUGUCUCAUUCAACUACAUUUGUUCGUUCCUAUAAUCCAUAGCCUAAGAUCAGGCAGCAGCGAGGGGCAACCUGCCCAUACAGCCAGCGGGGAGGAUGGCACUACUGGCAAAGACCGUCUGGCGAAAACGCUGCAGGCGCGAAGCGUGGUAGGCCUGCGCCGGGGGGGAGCAUAGCAUAGGCGGGAAAGGGAGCCCGGACGGUGGAAGAGCCAGGGGAGGCCGGGUCAUUUGAUGGAAAUGGAAGGCUUUUCCCCUAUUUUCAAAGGCCUCAUUCAAGGUUAUGUCUGGUCGAAAGAUCUUUAUGGAAGUGCAUCAAUUCUUGGAAAAAGAGUGAAUGUCUAAUCUUUCUUUGGGUCCUCCGUUUUAGAGUCCUACGGAUAAAUCCUCCGGACCAGUUCUUCCCGCUAUUUAUGGAUGUUCAUUGAUCCUUAAUAGAAAGUCGAGCCUUUAAUUCUUUGCACCUGUCCUCCGUCCUUAGUCGUUCUUUAUAUCCAUAUUAGCUUAGCUUUCUGCGCCUGAGGACGUCCGAAGGACUCUAAAAAGGAGCGUUCUAAUGGAAUUCAUAUUCUGCAAUAUUCUUUGCGCCUAAUCUCAUUCAUUCAAUAUUCUUUUCACCUUCGUAAACUUUAGCGGAAUCCUUGAGUCCUCCGGACGGACCGGACCACUAUUUCUCAAAUUCUUUGAUCCUCUUGACUUGUCUUUCCUAUAAAAGAUAAGAAAGUCCAUUCAAUGAAUAGAUCUCUUUGAAAGGGUACGAGAGAGAGCGCUGCCUACACGCGAAUUAGCUUCUGAGGUCAAGCAGUCUCAAUAUUGAACUACAGGAUUGAUUUGCGAAUUCAUGCUGGGCUGGGCCACCUCGAAUGGCGUGAGCCGCAUGCGGGGAGACCCGCACGUACGGUUUUUAGGGGGAUCUGGUCGAAAGACCGGCGCCCACCCGACUAGAGGGACUGAGAAAUUAAUAGAGUACAAAACUUAUCUUCAAGCUUUACCUUAUUCUGAUUGUUCAGAGGCGAUCGCGGAGUCACUGAAUGAAGUCCUCCCUUUCUUUCGGAGGUGCUGACCCGCAGCGAGGCAGAGAUGACUAAGUUACAUAUUCCAUAUGGCGACGACAACAGCAUGUCGUAGAAGGAGAUAAGAGGUGGAGCCAACGACCCACUAAGAAUAACGUAUCUACAACUACAUCCCGAGCGGCAGUCAAACGGAGGCGUGAAUGCAAGAUGCCAGCGGAAUGAUCGGUCGGACAGAGGCUAGGGCUGCUUUCUUCCCACCGCGUCCUUCCUUGUGUGUCGGAGAUAUAAAGCGAGUGCACCGGAAAAGAAGGGGAACUGGUUGAUCUAUUCUAUGGCGAAGCAUCCGAAGCAUAACUGCACACUCACACGAUCUUUGCGAGAGAUAGGAGCAUUCGGUGGAACCGGUGAACUACACUUUGCUUCUGGAUAGAUGUGUGGGACAGAGGCUCGUGGUACCUGCAGCCCACCCUUCCUCCUCUGCUUUGAGAACCGUAUGAACGGAGAGUGGGCAGAAGGGAAAGAGGUCCUCAUACGGAGUCGCACACUGACUUUUUCUGUGCGGGAGACUGGAGAAUGGGUCGAGUAAACUCCCCCGGGGCCGGCCGGCAAAAUCACAGACUCAGUGCUAUUUCUUUUUUCUUUAUUGAAUUUCAAAGGAGGCGCGAAGAAUAUUGCGAGGCAGAGGUAGUACUUCGAAUGGCGAAGAGAGGCGGCUCGGCAAAGAAGGAAUGGGAAAGAUUCUGACUUCUUUGUUGGCGAAACGAAGGGCUAAAUAGCGCCAUUCUCUGAGCCGGUCUGGAUUUCCAAUGCCUCGGGAAAGAGGUCGAUCUCGAUGACAAGACCUUUUUCUUCUUUAUUGGGUGCCUUCUUUUAGAAGUAGUCGGAAAGAGAAAGCCUAAAGAAGGAAUUGCAUGAAUGAUCGAGGAUUCAAGUUCCAUAAAUCAGUCCAAGGCUCAAAGAGGUUAAUAUGGAAGGUGAAAAGUGGUUUUCAAAGUCAGAGCUAUCCCUUAUUAUUGAGGGCUUUGCCCUGCUGUUGCUGCUAUUGACGGACUUGCUUUGGGUGGAGGGUUAGAGGUCGCUAUGGUAUGUCUUAGAACUUCUUGUAGACAAUUAAAUCUUUAAAAUCAUUGUUUAAAAAUAUUUUAUAUUAUUUUGGUUUGUAGGCAUGCCAUGCACGAUUAUCAACCAAAACUGCACAGUUAGGAUUACCUGAACUUCAGCUUGGUUUAAUUCCAGGUUUUGGAGGUAUGUCUAUGGCGCUGAUACUUGGUGUAUUUUUCUUAUUUUUAUUUGUACCAGUUAAUCCUGUGAGCCGCUUUUAUGUCUCUUUCUGGCCGUUUUUAUGUCUCUUUCUGUUGACUUUAUUAUUCUCUCAUUUAUGAUUUAACAUCUCAUAUGAAUUAUUAUGUGUAUCUUGCAUGGGAUAUUUUGCCACUUCGUGCCCAUAAAAAUCAACACUUGUCUUUCGGUGUAUUUCGGUGUAUACGUCAUAAGUGGUCACUUUGGGUGGUAAGGACCCUUGCAUUUGAUCCAAGUAACAUGUGGUUUUGUACUGAUUCAGCAGAUUGUACAAUCAAGGUAUUUAUUUUUAAAAUUAUUCAAUAUGAAUGAAUUCCAUUUUGGUCUGUCGAAGCGGGCCAUAUAUAGGUUCCAUCGUUUUUGCCCUUUGAUAACAAUCGUUAUUAUUUUCUUAUCAAAAAAAGAUAACAAUCGUUAUCUUUGAGUUUUCUGCUCCUGAAAAUUGAAGUAUCAUUUAUUUAUGAUAAUUGUAGGAGCAUGUUUCUUCUUCCUAGAAUAGUGUGACACGAAAUAAAUGACAGUAUGGUUGAUACGAGAUUUUUCUUCUAGGGCUAGUACAAUCCAUGAACUCUCUGGGCAUGAUAACACCGUUUGCUCAUUUUAAUGGACCAACUGUAUCCUUUUCUCCCUCUGAUCUUUCCUUCCGAUAUCUUGGUCAUAUUAGUUUCUUUCAAUAAAUUUUUUACUCGUGUGUGUAGUUCUUUUAGAUAAUUUCCCUUUGAUUCUACAUAAGAACCUAUUUUCGUGCUUUUGUAAUUAUCAACUUUGUAUCAUUUCCUUUAGACUGGAGCAGUACAUCAGAUAAUCAAAAUAAUUGAUAUUCCAAUAUUGUGUAUCUUUUGUGCUCAGUUCUCAGCAGAAAACUUAUCAAUACAAUGUCUGUCAAUGAAGAGGGUGUUAUGGUGAUUGGAGGUGCUUUUUUAUUGUUGUGAUCGUGACUAAACUUGGAUGGAAAUGUUGUUGGAUAAACUAAGCUCAGCCUCCCCUCUACUUUCUUUUUUCUUGAAACAUAUAUAUCGAGCAUUACACGUGGCUUUAAAUGUGUUUUACGUAAAUUUUUAUAAAAUUUUAAACUGUGAAUUACUUUUAACGUAAAGUCUUGAUUCAACUUUCAUCCACUCUAAUUAGUAAAUAUUUGACAUGAAAUUAAGUAAUUUAAAUAGUGGCAAAGUUAAUUUUAAUGAAUAUGAGAUAUCGUUGAUACGAAUUAUGGUUCGAAAUUUUUGACACAAUUUUGGAGUUUUCUUUGAAUGAAUACCUAUUUUCUUUGAAUGAAUACCCAUAAAAAAUUUUGACACAAUUUUGGACUGCAAGGUAAAAAAGGUGGGUUUACAUUUCUCUGUGUCCCAUUGUCAUUGUCUCAUAAUUUAGUCUAGACACUUUUGUUGACAUCUUUUAAAUGAUCUUUUAGCUGAGGAACCACGGCCUGGCUACAUUUCCAUUGAUGUAAUCACUGAUAUUUUUGAAGGUACAUUUCAGCUCAAUUUCUUUAAUUCUUACUCUCAUCUUCCAACUCUCUUGAAAAGCGAGUGAAAAGGAUAGUUUUGGGAAAGUAAUUAAUUGUUAGUUAUGUCGUCCAGCUGCUAGAAAGCCUGCUGUUGCUGCUAUUGACGGACUUGCUUUGGGUGGAGGGUUAGAGGUCGCUAUGGUAUGUCUUAGAACUUCUUGUAGACAAUUAAAUCUUUAAAAUCAUUGUUUAAAAAUAUUUUAUAUUAUUUUGGUUUGUAGGCAUGCCAUGCACGAUUAUCAACCAAAACUGCACAGUUAGGAUUACCUGAACUUCAGCUUGGUUUAAUUCCAGGUUUUGGAGGUAUGUCUAUGGCGCUGAUACUUUGGUAUUUUUCUUAUUUUUAUUUGUACCAGUUAAUCCUGUGAGCUGCUGUAAUGAUAUGCACCCAACUGAACUUUACUUUAAGCUGUGGGCAGUUGUGAUCUCACCAAUCUACUUAAGCUCUUAACAUUGGAAAUAAUUGAUUAAGUUAUUAACAAAUAACAGUUUAUGUUAUCAGUUGGAUCCCUCGUGGAUUGAUAUUUGGAUCUUGGGCCUUUGAUAGGAUAGCAUACGAUGUAAUUCCUUAUUUUUAGAGGAUGGAUAAUAUAGAUUUUUUAGCAAUAACCUAGUAUUUGAAUUGGCUGAAAUGAAUUUGUCUAUUAUAUAAUGAAAACAACAGAAACCCACUGUUUUGAAAACUUCUAAGAUUUUUCUUUUGGUGUUCUAAUCUCAAGCUUCUUUUUUGUUCAGGAACACAGCGACUUCCUCGUCUGGUUGGUCUUCCAAAGGCUUUAGAAAUGAUGCUGGUGAGAUUAGUAGCUCUUGCUUUUGAUUUUUGACACCUUGCUGUAGAAUAGCUUCAAUGGUCAUUCAUAUCUUUUGCUUAUUUCUGUACCUGUCUCUCUCAACUUAUCCAAACUUGCUACACUUGAACAGACAUCCAAGCCAGUCAAGGAGAAGAAGCCUUCUCCUCUGAAAUGUCACUAACGCAUUUCAUAGAUGUCAAACUCCUCUCUUGCUCACCAGUGAAUGACCAUUACCAACACCUCACAAAUUUCUUGUGAGAUUUCAGUUUUCAGAACGAAUCAAGAUCCUCAUCUUGGAAGCCGCCAAUCUCCUUUUAUCAGGCACGGCUCUCAUUUUCCCUCCUUUUUCAUCUAUCGUUUAUAUAUACAUUGUUAACAAUGAUGAUGAUGAUGAUGAUGAUGUUUACUCUGGCUUACGGUUGCGAAAUUUGAUUGUGGAAUUCUCUUUUUCCUUAAUUUAGGUCUUCUCUAUCCUGAGUAUUUAUUCAGUCUAGUUGGAAUUGCAUCUGAAAUUGGGCUGAAGGUAAUGAAUUCAGGAAGUUUAGGUUUUUUUUUCUUUUUUUGAAAGGUUGUGUUGGUACGAUUUUGGAUAAGAAUAAGAAGGAAGUGUUAAGAAUCUGUGCAGUGAAGAUGGUUUGAAUAGUGAACGUAAUCACACUAUGGAACACGUUCAAUUGAUUAGGCAGAUAAAAACAACCAAGUGCUAUUACAAAAUUCUUGGGGUGAAGAAAAAUAGCUCUGCUCAAGAGAUUAAGAGGGCUUAUAAGAAACUGUGCCUGAAAGUUCACCCGGAUAAAAACAAGGCUUCUGGUUCUGCUGAAGCACUCGACAAAGUAAACAAAGCUUUCAGGUGUUCCAUUCCAAAAGCCACAUUCAUAGCAAUCAAGAGGUGCUUCCGCUUUUCACGACUCCUGCAUCAAUUGUAUUUUAUGCUUAAUAUAAGGAUGAAGAUACAUUAUACUGCAACUAACUUCUAACAAAUUAAAUUAAACAUAUGAAAAGUGAGAACAAUUGUUACUUUUCAUUCUUCAACAAAGCAUUUAUGAGCGAACCAUUAGCCAUAAAUUCUGUUACUUCUAAAAUCUUCUCACUGGUACAAUAAAAACAAUAAAAAGGACUUGAGUCAAGGAACAAAAAGAAAAAUACACAAAUAACAAGAAAAGAAUAGCCAAUUAAACAGCAAACAAAUGAGAACAAUUGUUACUUUUCAUUCUUCAACAAAGCACCUAUGAGCGAACCAUUGGCCAUAUGUUCUGUUAUUGUGGCCACAGAUCUCCCAAGCCCAUCAUGCACGACACCAUAAAAAGUACCACAUUUGGGUGGUGCAAAUCAGCAAACUUAAUUGCUUCAUUCUAAAAAUCUGCUCAUUGGUACAGUAUAAAACAAUAAAAAGGACCUGAGUCAAUGAACAAAAAAAAAAAAAAAUACAUGAAUAACAAAAGAAAAGAAAAGCCAAUUACUUAAAGUGAACAACCUUGCGAUCUUGUUUACAAGGCUUCCUAGCAAAACACCUAUCAUUGACUCAUUUUAUAGCAACAUUAGUUCCCCUCCAUUUUCCAUGAUAAAAAGUGCCAAAGACCCCAAUUCUCUUAAUUCUUCAAGGUCACUAUUGUUUAUUACCCGAAGGAAAGAAGAAAAAGAAAAAGAAAAGGAUGUUCGGAUGGACAAUUUAAACAUAAAGUGUAACCUUAAGGUUGAAAAUGGAAAACUAAGUAUUACCUGCAAGCGGCCAAGGCCUUUUGACAUUGGAAAACCAAGAUUUGCUUUACCUGAAAGUCUUGUCCUGCCAUCGUGGGCAAACAUGAAACAAGAAUAAUUAUGGCAAAGGACGUGACAUAUUCCCGUUGAAUAGCCAAAUGAAUGAUGUGUAUGUUGCAUCUUGUUUUGGAGAAUGUUCAACAUUGUAUUGGUGUCUUAUUUACACUUUGUAUAAAUUAGUCAGAUGUCUUGAAUGGUGCUUUUGCAUUGUUUUGUUUGCAUUCCACUCUCAGAUAAUGGAAGACAAUAAAAAUAAUCCUCUUGUUUUACUUGUGUUUUAGUAUGCUUCCUUUUAUCCAUUGUUUGGAACUUUCCUUCAAAUGGUUGAGCUUCCGGUGUCAAAGUACCAUCACAUUUGUUGUAAUUUAUUGAGCUCUUUAGUUAUUUUAUUACUCUAGUUGAAUGGCAUAACUUUCGGUUAAAUUUACAUUCAAAUCUAAUCUUACUUUAACCACCAAUAUAUGUAUGUAUAUGUGUAAACAAAAUCUUGUAAUAUUGUGUUAUCUUAUUAACUAUGUUGCGAAGUUUAUGUAACAUUUCACUUGAUUGUACUUUUUUUAAAAAUAGGACUUUUUUUCAUAAUUUUUCAAACACAACUAAUAUCUACUUGGACUCCUUGUAAAUAGAGUGUAUUCUUGAUUAACUUAAAUACUUAAAUUUGUUUACAACACAUAUCAAUUACUAAAAUUUCAAAUUAUCAAAAUUCAACAUAUCCAUAAGUUAAAAAACAUAUUUUGUAAUAAUACUCGAAAUUUGGGAUGGGUAGUCUGGGUUGUUAGUGUUGUUAGUGUUGUUAGUGUUAGAAUACCUCUAGUGGUUUGUGUCAAAAAUGUCUCAUUUUAAAAGUUGAAAGAUGCCCUUAAACUUUCGAAAACGGUUCAAAAAUACCAUUGUCUUUGGUUUUAAAUGAAAGUUGCUAAAGUUUUGUUUAAAAAAUAAUCAUCAACUAUUGAAAAGUUUUGUUUAAAAAAUAUUGAUGAAUUAUUGAAAGUUCCAUGAGUAUCCUUUUAAGCUUAAAAAAAAUUCAAAAAAUUGUUCAUCAAUCCAAUUCAUACACCUAUUUUUUUACACUUAUAAUAAAAAGCCCAUAAAAAGUAGAGAACUUGUGUAGAGAACUCUUCACUCUUGCCUGAAGCUACAAUAGCCCGUAGAAAGUAGGAGAGUUAAGCUUGUUAGGUUAGAAUGUGUUGGGUUCGCUUGGGAUCAAAACUUGCAUCAGAACUUUUCACUCACGGUCAAAGCCACAAUAGCGGGUAGAAAGUAGGAGAGUUAAGCCUAUUAAGUCAUAAUGCAUCGGGUUCCUUCAGGAUCAAACUUUCGUAGGAAACUCUUCACUCUCGACCGAAGCCACAAUAACACGUAAAAAGUAGGAAAGAUAAGGUGGUUAGGUCGAAAUGCAUCGGGUUCCUUCCAUAUUAGUAUUUGCAUAGGGAACUUUUCACUCUUGGCGAAAGCAACAAUUUUCUGAAGAAAGUAGGUGAGUUGAAGCGAUUAGAUCAGAAUGGGAUGGGUUCCUUCGGGAUCAAUACUUGCGUAGGGAACUUUUAACUCUUGGGGGAAGCAAAAAUAGUUCGUAGAAAGUCGAAGAGUUAAGCCAAUUAGGUUAGAAUGCGUCGAGUUCCUUCAGGAUUAAAAUUUUUGUAGGGAACUCUUCACUCUUGGCCGAAGCAACAAUAGCCCGUUGGAAGUAGAAAAGUUAAGCAAGUUGGGUCAAAAUGCGCUUGGUUCUUUAAUAUAUUACAUGUUUAUACCUUUUCAAUUCAAUACUUCUUUACUUUUCACUUAUCAAUGUGUUAUUAGUAGCUUAAUUUAGCGAUAAGUUAUUGAUAAGAAGUUUAGUUUAUAAUUCUCGUCGCAUUAGUUAGGCUAUGCUCAUCGCUUAGCCAACAUCAAUCGCCAACUACUCGAGAGGGCAAGUAGCAAGGAUAAGGCUAAUACGUGCAAGGGGGAGUUUCGCGACAAACUCCACCUUAGUGAGAUAACUUCCAUCAUUUGUAUACCGAGAGAUGAACAAGUGUGAACAUUAGGCACCGAGAGGUUGUUGUCCUUAAUUGCGAUGCUCUAUACGUUUUAUAAGUGAAAUCUUCUAGAUAUAUCUCUUCUAAGCACACUUAAUCAUAUGGAUUCUGAGAGGUGACUGUUGGAUCGGUAUGGCAACCCUAGAGGGGGGUGAAUAGGGUUUAAAUAAACUUUUUGACAAAUAAAAAGUAAAAUCAACUAAUUAGAUAUUUUCUAAAAUUUAAAUAAAGAACUUUGUAAACUUUGUUAAAUAACAAGAUUGAUAAAAAGAUAUGAAUGGAAGUAUGCAAUCAAACUCAACCAAUAAUAAUAUGUAACUAAAAUUAAAUUAAAAAAUAAUUAGAAAAGAGUUAGAGAAGAAGACACCGUAAUUUUAUAGUCGUUCGGUUAAACUCAACCUACAUCCACUUUCCCAAGCACCUUGGGAUUUUGAUUAAAAAUCUUCUUUGGACUCUUUCCACGGAUUUGAGAACCGAUUCUUGCUCCUUUUUCGGGUUCAAGAGCAAACCCGAUCCUUUCCACGGGUUAGGAUCCAACCGUUACAAUAUGAUGAAAUUUUUAAAUCACACAAAAGAAAACUCUCUAAAAGAGUGAGUAUACAAUUUGAAGCUCACAAAUUUAAUCCUCACAAUACAAUAAGAAGCUCUCAAGAAUAAGAUGAAAAGAAUAAAAAUUGGAAGCUUUAGAGAGAAUAACAAUGUUGGCUUUUUGCUUGAGGAUUGUAAAGAUGUUGUGAUCUUGUGUAAAUGUGAAGUAUUUAAAAAGAGAGGAUAAAUUCAAAAUCAUUUGGGUCAUUAGAUAUAAGUAAAAGAAAAAUGAAUGGUUGAGAUUUAAACUUAAUUAGCCGUUAGACACAAUACAAAUAAUAAUAUAAUAAUAUGUCUUUUCAAAAUAUUUUGUUUAAAAAGAAAUCAAUAAAGCAACUUCACCCUCUUUUAAAAAAACUAGCCGUUAGACACAAGAAAAAUAAUAAUAUUAAAAUCAUUUUCUUUUAAAUUCAUUUUCUUUAUAAAAGCCAAUAAAACAUAACAAAAAGCCACAUUUGUUACUCUUCAUUGCUUCAAGUGGCUUUCUCUAAUUGGUUCAAAUUGAAUGCUUGGUCGCCACGUCACCAUCUCGGGUAUUUUUUCGUUAACCUUCUUUAGCAAUAUUUUCUUCAUUUGAACUUCGAUUUGGGUGAUUCAAGAGGCGUUAGAAUCAUUUUUCCAAGCUCUACGAUAUGGUCUAUUCAAAUUAAUAAAAUUGUCAAUAAAAAAAAUCAGAUUUGUUAUCAUCAAAACAUAAAUUAAUUGAAUAAUAAUAAAUUAAUUGAAUAUAAAUUUAAUUUGAGAUUAAGGGCCAAAAAGCCAACAAUCUCCCCCUUUUUGAUGAUGACAAAUCAUUGAAGAAAAAUAACUUGAAACACACAUGAUCAACAAGUAAUUCUAUUAUCAAGAUGUAUAACCAUAAAGCUCAUGUAUAUAUUUCACCACAAAGAACAUACUUGAAAACAAUUGAUAAGAGAACCUUCUUUGUCCUUAAUUAAUUUUUUUCUCUAAAAAAAUAUGCAUUAUUCAAUAGAAACAAUUAUGCAACAAAUUGAUAAAAACAUAUUUUUCUUAUACUUCUCCCCCUUUGGAAUCAUCAAAAAAAUACCAAUGAAGUUAGCUCUCCAAAAAAAACAUGAACACAUACAAAAUGUCUAAUUCUCCCCCUAUCAAUAUGCAUUACGGUAACAAUAUCAAGUAAGAUAUAAAAUCAAGAUGCAUCCAACGAAUAAUUCCAAGCUCAAGCCUAUUUUUACAAAAGCUUUCUUCACUCAAAGGUUUGGUAAAUAUAUCCGCUAAUUGAUUAUUGGAACUUACAAACUCAAGAGUAAUAUGACCAUUUUGUACAUGCUCUCUAAUAAAGUGAUGCCUAAUAUCUAUAUGCUUAGUUCUAGAAUGAUGAAUAGGAUUCUUAGUCAAAUUUAUGGCACUAGUAUUAUCACAAAAUAUAGGCACAUUAUCAAAUUUUAAUCCAAAAUCACAAAGAGUUUGUUUCAUCCAAAGAAUUUGUGCACAACAACUAGCAACCGCAAUAUAUUCCGCUUCGGUAGUGGAUAAGGCAACCGAAUUUUGCUUUUUACUAAACCAAGAUACUAAGGAACUACCAAGAAAUUGACAAGUCCCACUAGUACUUUUACGGUCAAGUAAACUACCGGCAAAGUCCGCAUCGGAAUAUCCUACCAAAUUAAACUCAACAUUUCUAGGAUACCAUAAUCCAACAUCAAUAGUUCCAAGCAAAUAUUUAAGUAUCCUUUUAACAGCAUGGAAAUGUGAUUCUUUAGGACAAGAUUGAAAUCUAGCACAAAGACAUACACUAAACAUGAUAUCGGGUCUACUAGCGGUCAAAUAAAGUAAAGAUCCAAUCAUACCUCGAUAAGUCUUUAUAUCCACACACUUACCUUUUUCAUCUUUGUCAAGCUUAGUGGUAGUGCUCAUAGGAGUUUUUGCAACUUUACCUUCAUUUAAUUUGAAUUUCUUGAGCAAAUCCCUUGUGUAUUUUUCUUGACUUAUGAAGAUGCCAUCCUUGAGUUGUUUGAUUUGAAGACCAAGGAAGAAACUAAGUUCUCCAUCAUACUCAUCUCAAACUCAUUAUGCAUACACUUGGAAAAUUCUUCACACAAAGAUGAAUUAGUAGAACCAAAUAUAAUAUCAUCCACAUAAAUUUGUACUAUAAGCAUGUCAUUAUUUUUAACUUUAAUAAAUAGAGUAUUAUCAAUUUUUCCAUCUUAAAGUCAUUCUCAAGUAAAAACUUGCUAAGUCUAUCAUACCAAGCUCUUGGAGCUUGUUUUAAGCAUAAAGAGCCUUUUUCAACUUAUAAACAUGAUUAGGUAAAUCAAAACUUUCAAAGCCCGGAGGUUGUUCUACGUAAACUUCCUCCACAAUAUAACCGUUUAAAAAAGUACUUUUUACAUCCAUUUGAUACAAAUGAAAUUUUUAUAAGAAGCAAAAGCAAGCAACAUUCUAAUAGCUUCUAAUCUAGCAACCGGUGCAAAAGUUUCUUCAUAAUCUAUACCUUCUUCUUGACAAUAACCUUGAGCUACAAGUCUAGCUUUUUUCUAAUGAUAUUUCCAUUUUCAUCCAUCUUAUUUCUAAAAACCCAUUUAGUUCCGAUUAUAGAUGCAUUAGAAGGCCUAGGGACUAAUUUCCAAACUUUGUUUCUUUCAAAUUGAUUUAAUUCUUCUUGCAUAGCUAAAAUCCAAAACUCAUCACAUUCGGCAUCUUUAAAACUUCUAGGUUCAAUUUGAGACACAAAAGCAAGAUUACUAAAUAAAUUAAGAGAAGAACGAGUUUUGACACCUUGUUCGGGAUUGCAAGAAUUAGAUCCUUGGGAUGGGAUAGAGCAUAUCUCCACUCUUUAGGCAAGGAUGAAGAACCCUCUUCUUUCUUCUCUAUGAUGUUCACAUCUUGCAUACUUGGAACAAUUUCUUUGCCUUUCAUUAACAAGUAAAUCUCCAAAAUCUUUUUCUAAAUCAUCACUACAAAUAGACUCAUUAGAAACAUUAUUCCAAGAUUCAUCAAAUACAACAUGAAUAGAUUCCUCAAUAACUAAAGUUUUCUUAUUGAAAACUCUAUAAGCUUUACUAGUAGAGGAAUAUCCUAGAAAAAUACCAACAUCCGUCUUAGAAUCAAAUUUUCCAAGUUUUUCUUUGUUAUUCAAAAUAAAACACUUACAACCGAAAACUUUGAAAUACCCAAUAUUUGGAAUUUUUCCAUGCCAAAGUUCAUAAGGAGUUUUAUCUAAAGAUGGUCUAACUAAAACUCUAUUUGAAACAUAGCAAGCGGUGUUAACGGCUUCCGCCCAAAAAUAUUUAGGUAAACCAUACUCAUUCAACAUUGAUCUAGCAAAUUCUUGCAAAGUACGAUUUUUCCUUUCAACUACACCAUUUUGUUGAGGAGUUCUUGGAGAGGAAAAAUUAUGGGAAAACCAUUUUCUUCACAAAAGCUUUAAAAGCAUCAUUAUCAAAUUCUCCUCCGUGAUCACUCCUAAUUUUGGAAAUAAAAAAUCCUUUUCAUUUUGUACUCUUUUUGCAAAACUAAUAAAACUUUUCAAAGCAUCAUCCUUAUGUUUUAUCAUCAAAACCCAAGUAAAUCUAGAAAAAUCAUCAACUAUCACAAAAGCAUAAUAAUUUCCUCCAUAGCUAGCAAUUCUAGAAGGCCAAAUAAGUCCAUGUGUAAUAGUUGUAAGGGUCUAGUAGUAGAGAUCACAUUUUUAGAUUUGAAAGAGGACUUAGUUUGCUUACCCAUUUGACAAGCAUCACAACUUUGUCUUUUUCAAAUUUAAAACUAGGAAGACCUCUAACCAAACAAUUUUUAGAAAUAUUUGAAAUUAAGUGCAUGCUAGCAUGUCCUAGUCUUCUAUGCCAUAACAAGAAUCAUUAUGCAAACGAAAGACAUUUAUCAAUAAUAGGAUAAUCAUUCAAAUCAAGAGUGUACACAUUUCAUCUCCAUUUCCAACAAACAAAACUUUUCUAUCACUAACAUUUUCAAUUAUGCAAUUUCUUUUAUCAAAUAUUACUCUAAAUCCUUUAUCACACAAUUGACUAAUACUAAGCAAAUCAUGCUUUAAACCAUCAACCAAAUGAACAUUUUCAAUCAAAGUAGAUGAAUCAUUUCCUAUAUUACCCUUACCAAUUAUUUUACCUUUUUUGUUGUCACCAAAGGUUACCAUGCCUCCAUUCUUUUUGGAGAAAGAGAUAAGCUUGGAUCGGUCUCCCGUCAUGUGUCUUGAGCAACCACUAUCCAAGUACCAUUUGUUUUUCUUGGAGGCUUUCAAACAAACCUUAUCAUCAUGUUCAUCAUCUUUUGUCACUAUGAGCCAUGAGACCAAGAUUUGCCAUUUCUUCAACUUCACUUUCACUUUCACUACUAUCAUCCCAUGUAGCCUUCAUUGCCUUCUUCUUGGAUUUCUUAGAUGAUUUGAGGAGAGGACAAUCCGUUCUUAUAUGACCCGAUCUUUGCAUUCAUAACAAAUCACCUCAUCCUUUUUGCUUUUCUCACCUUUUGACUCUUUUUGGGUUGAUAGGUGUUUCUUGAAAUAUUUCUUUCUUUUUAUGAAAUUUUUGUACUUACGUGAGAAAUAAGCAAUGUCAUCUUCAUCAAGGCCAUCCUCAUCUUCGGGAUCAACUUCCAAGGAGAUAGUCUUUAAUGCAAUGUUCUUCUUCUUUUUGGACUCAUCCUCCAAGUGCUCCUUCAUGAUGAUCUCAUGAGUCAUGAGUGAGCCAAUAAGCUCCUCUAGUGGAAGUUUGGUGAGAUCCUUUGCUUCUUGAAUCGCCGUUACCUUAGCUUCCCAAGUCUUAGGUAAAGACCUUAGAAUUUUCUAACAUUUUCGGAAGUUGUAUAAACUUUACCAAGACCCUUCAAAGCAUUUAUGAUGUUAGUAAUCUAGUAAACAUAUCGGUGAUAGUCUCAUUAGCAUCCAUCUUAAACAAUUCAUAAUUAUGAACAAACAUGCUAAUUUUAGACUCUUUAACUUGAUUUGUUCCUUCAUGAGUAAUUUCAAGAGUAUUCCAAAUUUCUUGAGCGGAAGAACACAUGGAUAUUCUAUUAAAUUCAUCUUUACUCAAGGCACAAUACAAACAGUUAAUAGCCUUAGCAUUAAAUGAACACUUUUUCAUUUCAUUUUCAUCAUACUCUUCUUCUAAUUUAGGCGUAUCAACAUUAUCAACAUUUUUCAUGGGUACAUAAGGACCUUUAGCAACAAUUAACCACAAAUUAUAGUCAAUAGAUUGCAAAUAAAUUUUCAUUCUUGCUUUCCAAUAUGCAUAAUUUGAACCAUCAAAAUAAGGAGGUCUAGAAGUAGAUUGACCUUCAACAACCAUUUGCCAAUAGGUUUGCAUAAUGCUCUAACAAUAAAGUUUAUCAAGAAAUUAAAAUUUCAAGAUGAGCAACCUCGCUCUGAUACCAAUUGUUGGAUCGGUAUGGCAACCCUAGAGGGGGGUGAAUAGGGUUUAAAUAAACUUUUUGACAAAUAAAAAGUAAAAUCAACUAAUUAGAUAUUUUCUAAAAUUUAAAUAAAGAACUUUGUAAACUUUGUUAAAUAACAAGAUUGAUAAAAGAUAUGAAUGGAAGUAUGCAAUCAAACUCAACCAAUAAUAAUAUGUAACUAAAAUUAAAUUAAAAAAUAAUUAGAAAAGAGUUAGAGAAGAAGACACCGUAAUUUUAUAGUCGUUCGGUUAAACUCAACCUACAUCCACUUUCCCAAGCACCCCUUGGGAUUUUGAUUAAAAUCUUCUUUGGACUCUUUCCACGGAUUUGAGUCGAACCGAUUCUUGCUCCUUUUUCGGGUUCAAGAGCAAACCCGAUCCUUUCCACGGGUUAGGAUCCAACCGUUACAAUAUGAUGAAAUUUUUAAAUCACACAAAGAAAACUCUCUAAAAGAGUGAGUAUACAAUUUGAAGCUCACAAAUUUAAUCCUCACAAUACAAUAAGAAGCUCUCAAGAAUAAGAUGAAAAGAAUAAAAAUUGGAAGCUUUAGAGAGAAUAACAAUGUUGGCUUUUUGCUUGAGGAUUGUAAAAAGAUGUUGUGAUCUUGUGUAAAUAUGAAGUAUUUAAAAAGAGAUGAAAGAUAAAUUCAAAAUCAUUUGGGUCAUUAGAUAUAAGUAAAAGAAAAAUGAAUGGUUGAGAUUUAAACUUAAUUAGCCGUUAGACACAAUACAAAUAAUAAUAUAAUAAUAUGUCUUUUCAAAAUAUUUUGUUUAAAAAGAAAUCAAUAAAGCAACUUCACCCUCUUUUAAAAAAACUAGCCGUUAGACACAAUGAAAAAUAAUAAUAUUAAAAUCAUUUUUCUUUUAAAUUCAUUUUCUUUAUAAAAGCCAAUAAAACAUAACAAAAAGCCACAUUUGUUACUCCUUCAUUGCUUCAAGUGGCUUUCUCUAAUUGGUUCAAAUUGAAUGCUUGGUCGCCACGUCACCAUCUCGGGUAUUUUUCCGUUAACCUUCUUUUAGCAAUAUUUUCUUCAUUUGAACUUCGAUUUGGGUGAUUGAAGAGGCGUUAGAAUCAUUUUUCCAAGCUCUACGAUAUGGUCUAUUCAAAUUAAUAAAAUUAUCAAUAAAAAAAGUCAGAUUUGUUAUCAUCAAAACAUAAAUUAAUUGAAUAAUUAAAAUAAAUUAAUUGAAUAAUUAAAAUAAAUUAAUUUGAGAUUAAGGGCCAAAAAGCCAACAGUGACCAUAUGUGACGUUUAAUGACUCUGAGAGGAACACUUCUUAAUUAUAAGUUAGUUGAGCGAGAUAUAUCCUAUUAAAGUUGUCGUGUUACUUAAUCGCAUUAUAACGCAAAGACAUUCCUUUGCUCUUUCUUGCAUACAAGUUAGUUCCCAUUUCUAUUUUGUCAUCCAUAUUCCCUUUUAUAGAAUCUCUAAGCGUAGAUAUCUAGUGGUAGUUUGUUCUUGUAUUUCUUUUAUACCAUUCGUUAUUCUUUAAUUCUUUUAUACUGCCUAGAUAAUAAGUAAUACCUAAAAUUAAUAUCUUGAAUCAAUUCCUUAUGUUCGACCCGGGAUCACCCAAGUAAACCUACCAUUUCACUUGCACUUGGACAAGUAGUAAGAAAACUUGUACUCAAGAGGACUUAGUUGCCACACGAUAUGAAGGUCUAGUGAGCAAUUCACGUGCAGUUAACAUGCUUAGUGAUAUAUCGCCUAGAUUGAGUAUAAUUUUCAUUCACCAUUUACUAGCACUAAGUCCUGAUUGUUGAAGAGAAACAACACCUCAAUAACCGGAGCGAUCGACUUCUAUCUUUAGUUAUUCGAUCUUGAACCUUAAUUGCACCGAGAGAUGGCCUGGGAUGAAACAAAUUUACAUUUAUUUUAUUCAGUCUCGAGCAUACAUUGUCCUAAGAUGCUACAUUAUGAAAGACUUUUGCCUUUAGUUAUUCAAUCUCAGGCCUUAAUUGCACUGAAAUGGCUCGGGAUGAAAGAAUUCUGUCUUUAUUUUAUUUAAUCUUGGGCAUACAUUACAUUGAGAUGCUCCGAAAUGAAAUUUUUUUGCCUUUAGUUAUUCGAUCUCGACCUUAAUUGCAUCGAGAUGACCCGUUAUUAAUAAAUCACAAAGAAGAUAUAAAUCGCAAAGGACGUCUAUGGAAUUUGUGAAAAAAUAAUCUCGCAUCAUGGACUUUUCUUAUUUUGUUAUACGAACCAUAAAUAUUUUGGAUUUUUCUACAUUUAUGUAAAUUACUCUUAAAUUAAUCUAAUUAAUAUUUAAUUGGAAAUCACCGCCACUUGGAUAUAGGAAUACGGGAGCAUCCCACAUUCUCUAAAUAACACCCACAUAUGGAAGUUAUUAUCUUAAUUUAAAUUAUUGAUCACAAAUAGCAAAAAAGUUAAAACUAUUUACAAAAUAUAGCAAAAAAUUGAAACUAUUUACAAAAAGACUCAAAUGUGCUAUAGAGAAUUUAAUUAUUAUGCUAAUUAGUUUCAAUUUAAUUAGUAUAUUUGAAAAUUCCACUUAAAUUUGAUUAACACUAAAAUAAUUAGUUAAUAUAUAAUAAUUAUUUAAAUCACAUUUAAUUAAUAUUUCAUUUAAAUCACAUUUAAAUGAAUAUCUCUCACAUAACCAAUAGUUUUAAUUUAAUUAAAUAGAAUUAAACUAAAUUAUUAAUUCUUCAAUUAUUUAAUUUCUAAAUUAAAUAUUUUAUAUUUGAUUUAAUAUAGAUUUGAAUCAUACUCAUAUAUGAAUUUCUCUCAUAACCUAUUGUUUGAAUUUGUAUCAUAUACGUAUUAAAUUUUAAUCUAUAGUUUUAUUACAAAUUUAAUCCAUAUUAAAUUAACAUUUGAACUCAUUCAAAUAUUUAUUAUUUCAUAAAUUAAUUUUAAACCAUAUACAAAAUUAAAUUUAUAUAAUAAAGUUCAAUUAAAAGAUAAAUUUUAUAUUAUAAUAUAUCACCAUACAUUAUACUAAUUUUCAAAGUAAAUAUGAACAUUUCAAAUUAGAGUCAAUAUGUAAUAACCUUAAUACCCUUUACAUACUAGGAAGGGACCUAAUAAAUUUACAUUUCAAAGUGUUGGGAGCUAGUUACCAUAGUUGAAAUCAAUUUAUUUACUUUAGUUGUCGUAUUAUCCUUAAGAGCACCUCAUGCCUCCACAUCAAUAAUCAUUUUAUCUCAUUGCAACAAUCACCCAUAUAAAUAUUGAAUCAACAUAUGGUUCUGUACCUAAUGAUGAAAAACUUGGCACUGUGCCAAGUAUCUCCCCCAAUAAUCGUAAAGUGAUUCAUCCUUUCCUUGUGUGAUGCCAUAGAUUUUCUUCCUCACACUAGUAGCAUAAAAGGUUGAAAAGAACUUUUCCAAAUAUUGUCUCUACAUCUACUCCCAUGAAAUAAUGCUCCCUGGUGACAAGUAAUAGAGCUAAUCUUUCACUUCUUCGUGUUACGAGAAGGGAAAAGCUCUCAUGUUCGUCUGCUCAAGGGUUAUAAUGUGAGGACUCAUCCCAUUGCAAACAAUAUGAGGCUCGACUAUCGAGAAUAUAACGACUGAACCCUAAGUUUGUCCAUAAGUUCACUUUAGCAGUUAGCUAAAUGAAAAUCUACUUAUAAUAUGGAGCAAGCACUAGAAGAAAUUUGCUCUUUAUUGUCAGUUUAGAACCGACAUUAAUGGCCUUUGGUGUCAGUUCGGAAUUGACAUCUAUGCUAGCGUUAUUAAAGGCCUUUAAUGUCAUUUUUGCUUUGAUGUCAGUUUAAAAAUGACAUCAAAUGCAUCAUUGAUGGCCACUGAUGUCGGUUUUAAAUCAACAUUUUUUAUGGCGUAAUUGUUGACCUUACUGUUGGUUUUCCUUUAAUGUCGUUUUUAAACCGACAUCAAAGCCUUGUUUGUUUUUUUAAUUUAUUUAUUUUAAUUAUUUUUCAUGGUGUCGAAAUCGACAUUAUUUGUUACGAAUUACGACAUGAAAUGUUCGUCAUCGAAUAUUAAAAAAGUAUAAAAAAUAAUUGUUGCAUGAUUGCUAGUUCUACCACUCCAUGGCAAACCUUAUAUAUUACUUCCAUAUUUCACCUGCAAGGCAGAAGAUCAACACCUACAAAACAAGCAUACACUUCCACACAUCCAAUGGCAAACUAAUACUAUUUCUAGCUAUAUAGAAUUCAAACCUACAAAACCAGCACAUACACUUCCACACUUCGAUGCAAACUAAUAAUAUUUCUAGCUACAGAACUCAACACCUAAAAACCCAACAUAUAUACAUUUUUCCACACUUCCAUAGCAAACCAAUAUUUCCAUUUCACCUACAAGGAAGAAGAUCAACACCUACAAAACCAGCAUACACUUCCACACAUCCAAUGACAAACUAAUACAUUUCUAGCUAUAGAAUUCAACAUGUAAGAAACCUACAAAACCAACACAUACAUUUCCACACUUCCAUGGCAAACCAAUAUUUCCAUUUCACCUACAAGGAAGAUCAACCCCUACAAAACCAGCAUACACUUCCACACAUCCAAUGGCAAACUAAUACUAUUUCUAGCUAUAGAAUUCAACAUGGUAAGAGGCCACAAAACCAGCACAUACACUUCCACACUUCCAUGGAAAACUACAAAAAUACACUUUUCCACACUUUCAUAAUACUACAAAAAUACACAUAUCAAUCAAGUAAAUAAUAUGUAAAGUAUUAAAGUAUGUGUACAACAAAUUCCUCCACUAAUACACACUUUCCACAUAGUACUACAACAAAUACACUCUAAAGUCAACACCUAAAACACUACAAUACAACACUUAUUCAUAAACUACUACAAGCAGAAAACCUCAAAAUUAAAGUAUGUACAACAAGUAGUACUAGAAUCUCGUAGCUUAUAUAUUAAAACAAUUAGUAUUAGUACUAGUAACUUAUAUACUACAAAAAAAGUGUAAAAGCUUACACAAAUCGGCUAACAAAGCUUGCAUAUUUUGUUCGAAUCUCGUCAAUCUCCUCUUGCGUAUAUGCACUUUUUUGUAUUAAACUACGUAAAAAGAAAGGUAUGAAAAGAAUAAGUUUAGAUAAUUUAUGUAAUUUGUAACAUAUAAAAAGUGAAAGUAGAAACUUACAAGGCUAGUGAUGGGAGUACAAGAAAUAUGCACGAUUUCAUGUAUAUACUUUUGGACAUAAUACCCACACCCAACCGAAUCCAAUUGACGAGGACACUGCAUGUAUAUAAAUUACAUACAAAUUAUUCUUAUGUUUCAUUGAAAAUAAUUAUGUGUCAAUGCAAAUUACCUUUAUAGGUUUCCAUUUCGGAUUUGACCGAUAAUGUUGUAAAUCAUGCUUAGCUUGCCAUGUUUUUAAUCCUCUAUACAUUUGGAAACAUUAGAAUUAGAAGACAAUGAAGUCAAAUAAGAAGUAAAUCAUAAGUCACAUUUAUGACUCCAUGGCUUCGUUAACUUUACUUCGAAGAGAGUCCAAAACAUAAACACAGUUCUCUCGAAGAUCGAUGACAUGCAACAUCCAAUGAAAACUACAAUAAACAUCUUCAAUGUGAGUAUACAUUUAACCUCAAUGAAAAACAUAAUAAUGUGUUAAUCUUAUUUAUUUACCCAGUAUUAUACGGAAUUAGAACUAUUUGUUCCAAGGUAGCCACUUCUAACUGGUUGGCAAAAUUUCUGGAUCGGAGAUCACGAUCCUUGAUAUGUGAUGUUAUUUUUGCUUGGUCAUAACAAAAAACUUGCUUCCACAAUCACAUUCAUCCCAAAGAUAUCUAAGUAAAAGCAACCUUAGUUAAAAAGGAACAAAAUAACUAUAGUAUAGUAUUGGACAUAAAGAUGAGUAAAAGAUGUUUACUUACGUAAUGUAUGCUAGGAUGCACAUAUAGCCUAUUUCUACCAUGCCGCAAUAAUGGAGCAAGUCCUAACGAGCUAAAUAAAUGAAUUUGUUUUUACCGAAUAUUAGCUCGUUCAUUAGGAUGCGAACCAUAUCUACAUCCUUCAUAUUGUUCACGACAUGUCCAUAUAAGAGCUUAAUGGUUCCAUUAACAUUUAUGUAAUUUGAAGAAUACAGAACAUCCUUUGGGGUUGAAUGCUCCAAGCACAAACAAAAUAAUAUCAAAACCUAAAAUACAAUCACAAAUAAAUAUCAAAGCUUCAAUAGCACAUAAACAAGUCAACGAGGUCAUUCAACAAUAUUACCUAAUGCUUGAUUUAAAGUCUCUAUCUUGCCCUUCACUGGAAUAGGUAAACUACAAUCUCCUCCUGUGAGCAAGUCCACCAAGAUUUUAACAUUGGGACCACCAUUGCUAUCAUCAAGUACGGUUUCUAUUGCAACAAUAUUAUUAAUCAUUCCUAUAGCCAAUUUGCACGGUGUUUACUUUACAAGUAUUAAAAGCAUCAUUAAGAACAAUUUAUCCUAUAAACAUUAAAAUUUUAAAAGUGACAACAAAGUUAAUUACCUUCACUUCUUCGUUCAUAGGUGUGUUGCCCAAAUCCUCAUCGGCAUAGAGAUCUAUGUUAACACUUCUGAUGGACGAUCUCAAGUGAUUAUGACCCUUUUUGUAACUUUUGCUUUUUGAGUCAUCUUCUACAACUUGAGAACUUGCAAUUUUCUCUUUCCCUUUCACUGUCUUGAAAUAUAGUGAUUGAGAGACAAAACCACCCAUGCCACGUACACGUCCACCAUGCUCCUUAGAGCCCAAUGACUCAGUCAAUAUGUCCUCAUCUCUAUGUGUUUCAGCUAAUGCAUCCUAUAGAACAAUACAAGUAUUCAUCAUUAACUAAGUUAACAAAAGAUUAAAUAUUGUAUAUAAGUAAAUCGCAAGCAAACUUACGAUUCGAGAGACACAAUCUCGAGUAGCAUCAUCAAAAUAAUCAUUGUUUUUUCCUUUUCUUGCUUCUUUCCAAAGAGUUGAACGAUAGGAAAGAUCACAUGUUAUAUUAUGCAACCAAAGAUAUAUAUUUAAUUAGCAUAAACAUGUUAAGAUAAAUUAUUUCAUUCAAUUAGAAAUACUUACUAAUUCUUCGGCAGGAUUUUCAUAUCCCUUACUAGCAAUGUGAUGAUUGUAUAUGCAUUUUGAUCUUCUUUCCCUUUGAAUACGACUAUAAUCCUAUACAAAAAAUUAGUUUGUAGUUACAUGCCAAACCAACAUUAAAGUUAACAUGUAAUUAAAUUUAUUUACCUCACAUUCUUCAGUCAGUCUAGCGUCCACAAAGGAUUUCCAAUCUUCUUGAUUAAUAUGAGAAUAGAUCUUAGGAGGAAACUACAAACAUGAUGGUUGAUCCUUAAACGGAAGUAUAUACAGAAGAGUUAACGUAGUUUUGAAAGUUCGGUACUUUCUUGAUGCAGACAUUAGGAUAGAAUGUCUAACAUUGGGAUGUAACUCAAACGACAUCUACACAAGAAAAAAGAAAAAAAUAUUUAGACUUAGGGAAAUCAAACUACAUUGUAAGAAAAACGUAAUUAUCUUUCAACCGAUAUAUAUAUAAGAUUCAUUACCGAUAUACAAUCGUAGAUUUUAUCUUUCAACUCAUUCGAAACUUGUUUCCAAGAUUUGUAUGUGAUAGGAAUCUGCUGUCGAACACACACACCAAUGUAACUUUGAAUUUUCUUAGAUAUAGCUCUUACAAGUUGCCCAUGUUCAUUAAAUUGAACGGGCAACCGUUGCCCAGAAUUUCUUACAUGCUAACUCUGGCAUAGUCGUUGGGCCACAUGGCACGAAUGAUUUGUUUCUUGCUUUGGGAAUCAUUUUUCUUUCAUCCUCACUUAAGUAUGUGACUCCUCCAUCUAUGAAUCUGCAAAAAAAACAUAUAUGUAUUAGUAAGCACGUUAGUGAGCAAAGUAAGGACAUAAAAUAAGCUUAGUAAUUACAAUCUCUGAACAUAAAUUUAUUAUAAAGGAAAGUAAAUGGCAUACCUUAAUAAAACAUUUAUACAAUUAUUACUUAUCAACCCAUCUACCCUCACAAUCAUGUCUAAUAUAUGAUGAAGUUGUAUCAUCAAUCUCGUGAGGUGUAUCAACAUUGGGCAUCUUUUGAACAACUCCAUAACCACACUCUAGUAGCAUAUCUCCUAUUUCAUCUUCAAAGAAAUCUUCUUCAAUAGUUCUACGUGGAGAUGUUAAAACCACUGACCAUUUAGGAUUUGCAGAAUCUUUCACAUAGAAUAUGUGUUUUGCUUGGGAGGCUAGUCGAACAAUUACAAGUCUUACAUGUUUCAUAAAAUACCAUGAAUUGCCACAAGUAGCAACUGUUGCAUAAGAACGUGAUGGUUUGUACAAGAAUUUCUUCCCCACUCGAUGUCGUUAAAAAAAUAAUUGAUCUCUAAUUGUAUUCACAUCUAAAGUCUUUGCAUUUACGCAUUUUAAACAAGGACAAGUCAUGACGUUCGACAUCUUUGAAUGUUUGAACCCAUUUUUAAUAAACAUCUCAACCCCAAAAGCAUAAUCAGAGGGAGGCGGUGGCUGUCGUGGAUCUGAACGGUGGAAGAACCUCCGGUCAGCGGCUUCGUGAAUCGGAGAUGAAAAGAAAAAGAGAGGUGGGGCGGCUGGAAGAUGUGAGGAAGAGGAAGAGAAAAAGAAAGAAAAAGAAAAACGGGGAAGAGACGUGCGAGAGAGAGAGAGAGAGGAGAGAGAGAGGAGAGAGAAAGAAAAUCUUUGAUUUUCUUUUCUUUUUUUUUAUUUCCUUCUUCUUUAUUUAACUUAAUGAUUUAAAAAAAAAUUAUAACAAUAUUAUUAAAUGUAUAUUAUUAUUAUCUUAACCUUCCAAAUCUCUUUCUCCCUUAACUUUUUUUCUAAAAAAAAAAGAUAUAUAUACACACAUAUAUAUAAUAAGGUACCCUAGAGUUCGAGAUGUUACAAGUGUAGUCUCCAACAUUAAACCUUUGUCAAAUAAAUUUCCAAACUUGAAAUAAACAAAGAUUACUACUACAUAAACUAAAGUAUAAGAAUUAAUAAGAACAUUUUAAGAUUAGAGAAAUAGAAAUAAAACACAAAUAAUUAUUAUAUGUUUAAAAACAAAAGAUGAACUUACAGUCCCUAUAACACACUUAAUAUAAAUCAAGUCUUCACCCUAUUAACCCCAAUCUCCAUUAACACACUUCUCACUACAUCUCCAUAAGUUCCAAAUCAACACUCUCUAUUUACCAUUACAUUUUCUUACCAAACUAAUCCAGAUACCAAUAUGUUAAUAACACGAAGUCAGUGAAAAAUGUCUCAAAAGUUAAUCCUAAAUUAAAUUGAGGAAAGUAGAGAAGCGAAUAUUACGUUCCAAUUUCCAAACAAUGCUAAACUAAAUCUCUCCCUUUCUCUUAUUUGUAGUUACCUUUUAUAUUUAUCAUUCACUAUUUCAUUUCUUCACUCUCUUUGGUACUUUCCUUCUUUACCUUUAAACCCCAAUCUCCAUUAACCCACUGCCCACUUCCUCUUCAUAUCUUCCAAAUCAACUCUCUAUUUACCAUUACAUUUUCUUACCAAACUAAAUCCACAUACCAAUAUGUUAAUAACAAAAAGCAGACAACAAAAAUUAGAACCUACUAAAGAUUGAUUCAAUGAUCUAUUUUGAUGCCUAAAAAAAAAAGCGUAUGAAAAUUCUUUGAACCUCCAGAAGAAGGCUCGAAAGGGCCUCUGUAGUCCACUCCCUUUCGUCCAAUGUCUGAUGAAGUAAUACCAGAUUGGUAUUCACGGGUUGAGUUGCCCUCUGUCUUGGUCUGCCCUGUGCUAGCCGAAGAUGACGGCUGGGCACGCGAUGGUUGCAAUGGCUGGGCACGGUGGUGGCUAUGGUGGUGGAUUCGAAGAUGAUUGGACACGAGGGACUCUUGCGGCGGAAGCACGACGGCGACUGUGACUGGGAAAGACUUGAAGGAAGAGUUAUGGGCGACUGCGAAUGGUCGAAGAUGAUUGAGCACAACAGAGGCGUUUCUCGAUAGCCGAAGCACGAUGGCGAAUGGGAAAGACUUGAAGGAAGAGUUUUAGCCACGACAGCGAUUGGGAUGAAUUAUGGGCACAAAGACGACGAUGAGUUUUAGGUCAUAGAAUGAGAAGAGAAGGGAGAAGGAAAUUCGAAAUCGAGAGAGAAAAUUUUGAUAGGAAUGGGUAAAGUAAGAGAGAGAGGGAAAUUUAAUUUUUACAACUUAAAAAAAUUAAAAAAGAAAUUAAAAAGGGGAAGGGUCUUUAAUGUCAGUUUUCACAUAAUAAAAAAAAUUUAAAAAUUAAAAAUGGAAAUAUCAUUAAUGUCGAUUUAAAACCGACAUUAAUGAUCCGUCUUUUCAGAAAUGACAUUAAAGCCAGAUUUUCAUUUUUUUCACCUGACACUAAAGCCCAUAUUUCUUCUAGUGAAGGAAAGGUUUAGGUUUCAGUUUCAAACAUAUACCAAUUGUAGUCACGCAUCAAUAGUAAGAGCGAAAGUUAACCUAUGAGAUAAUUAAACACUAACUCAACAAACCAUUUAGAAAUUUAAAUCUGAAGGCAUUUCAAUCAAACUUUAGUAACGCUGGGAGAAAAACCUAAUUGUAGCCAUUUUCAUUUUUUAAAAAAAUUAAACAAACUUUUUUAGUCCAAGCAAAUAAGCUUAUCAAUCUUCAGAUCAAUUCCUCAACUAUAAAAUGUCAAAUUGUAUCGUUUUCUAAGAGUUGCUUAACAAUUUCAUCAUUUUUUUAUGCCUCCAAAAACAAAGAUUUGGCAUCAACUUUAGUGGACACCCCCUCCCAAACUACGUUCUAUAAGCCUAAAAGACGGGAUGAAGCCAACAAAUAUCGCCCUCCUCUUUCUACUACUACUAACUCAUACAAUGAUACACUGUUGGAAAGGAUUUUUGGAGGUUGGAGAAAAUUUGGAAGAGAGAAUUGAGAUAAGAGGCUACUUGUGUUAUUAGACACUUCUAUUUUUUUUGACUUAAUACAAGUGGUAGGACAUCCCUCUUAUUUAUCCUAGUUGUCACUCCUAAAUGAAUGGCUAGGAUUUUGCCAACACAUUCUUUAUUUAACGGUUACAAAUGACUCUCUAGAAUAUUCUUUACAAUUACACUCAUUUCUUAUAUUUUCUAAAUGUAUCUUCAAUCUUCUCUAAAUAUCUCCUACAAUUGAUUUAUCUAGAAUAUUGUAGUAAUUAAUACAUUAUAGAAAUUUGGCUUUUAUUUGGGCUAUGCCUAAAUAUUGUUAAACCCAAAAUCAAGUUUAUAUUUCAACAUCCUCUCUUAAACUUGAUUUUGUUACUCCAAGCAGGUCUCUCAAUUUUGUGAAUUCUUCCUUUUUAAGAGGCUUAGUGAAAAUGUUGGCUACCGGAUCACGAGUCUUCAUGCACUCUAACUAUACUUCCUUUCUUCUGAUGCACUCUCUAAUAUAAUAAUAAUGUGUAUCAAUGUGCUUUAUUCUGGUUGUGGAAAACUAGUUUUUGGCCAAAACAAUUGUUGAUUUAUUAUCUAUGAAAACUUCUGGUUGGCUCUUCUUUUGGCAAUAUCAUAACUCCUUUAAUAGAUUUCUCAACCAAGUUACAUGACAAACACAUGAGGUAGCAACCACAUAUUAUGCUUCACACGUAGAGAGAGUAACAAUGGAUUGCUUCUUUGACAUCCAUGUGAAGGCAGUGUGUACACACACAUGCACACAUGCACACAUGCACACGCAUACACAAACACACACACAUGUGCACACUCACACUCACACCCAUCCUCACGACCACACACGCACACGCACACGCACACACCCACACACGAACACACGCAUGAACGCAUGCACACAUCCACAUACACAUGCACGCAAACACGCACGUCCACCCAUACGGGCACAUGCGCACUCACACACACGCACACCUACCUACACGGGCACACGCGCACUCGCACAUGCGCGUACAAGCACACGCACACGCACAAAUGCGCAUGCACACACGCACACGUACAUGCACAUGCACACACACGAACACAUACGCACGCACACACACGUGCACACACAUGCACUCGCACACGCACACCCACCCACACGAGCACACACGCACCGACACACAUGCACGCACAAAUGCGCAUGCACACACGCACACGCACGCGCACACGCAUACGUACACACCCACAUACAUGCGCACAUGCGCAUGCACACACAUGAACACACGCAUGAACGCACGUCCACCCAUACGGGCACAUGCGCACUCACACACACCCACACCCACCUACACGGGCACAUGCGCAUGGACGCACACGAACACACGCAUGAACGCACGUGCACACCCACCCACACGGACACAUGCACAUUUGCACACAUCCACACACACAUGCACGCACGCGCACACGCACAUCCACCCACACGGGCACAUGUGCAGUCACAGACAUGCACACACCCACACCCACAUGGGCACACGCACACUCUCACACGCACACACAAGCAUACGCACACACCCACACACACAAGCACAUGCGCAUGCACACACACGAACACACGCAUGAACGCACGCACACAUUCACACAUGCAUACACACAUCUACACACACAUGCACACACGCACACACACAUACGCACACGCACAUCAAUCCACACGGGCAAACGCACACUCGCACAUAUGCACACACACACGCACACACGUACAUAUGCACAAAGAUGUGAAAAUGAAUUAAAUUUAAAAAACAAUUACAUUAAUUGUGUUGAGAAUGACUUUUAAACUAUAUUCAUUUAACUUAAUAACAUUAAUUAAAUUAUAAUUUCUAUUAAUAUUGAUUUAAGAGUGUCGUUAGUGUAAUUAUAUCAAUAUAAUGCGAUCUUAUCCAAUUUUACCAACAAAAAACAAGUCAAAUAUGGACUAGUAAAUCCACACUCUUUGUCAUAAGAGAUAUAAUAACGUUUUUAUGGGUCAUUUUAAAAAAUGACAAAACAACUUUUUCUUUUGAAUUUUAGCAAAUAGCAUGUUUUAUCUGAAAAAGAUACAUCAACCCAUAAUAACACUACAACAAAUCUUGGUUGUAGUGUCAGGUGAAAAAAAUGAAAAAUUGUCUUUAUUGUCGUUUUUGAAAAGGUGGAUCAAACCGACAUUAAUGAUAAGGGUUUAAUGUCGUUUUUAAAUCGACAUUAAUGAUCAGCCAGUUUUAUUUUUUUUUAAUUUUUUGUAUUUUGUAAAAACUGACAUUAAUGACCCUCCAUUUUUAAUUUCUUUUUAAAAAAUUGUUAGGUUUUAAAAACUAAAUUUUUCCUCUCUUUCUUACUCUACUCUUUCCCUAUCAAUUUUUCUUUUCUUUCUCUCCAAGUUGGUUUCUAAUUUUCUUCUCUUCUCAAUCUGUGACUCUAGAUCGCGAACAGCAACCAAUCUUCAUCGUGCUUCCACCGCAAAAAUCCUUGGGUUUCUUCAUUUGAUUGUUAACUUGUGACUGCUAGGUAGCAUUAUUGAUUAUUAAUUGUCUUUAUUUUUUUAAAUGUGCAGCCUUAUUCAUACUAUCUUUUGUUAGAAAAAUGAAAGAAGAGAAGGCAUAGAAAUGAGCUUGGUAACUAGCAUUCUUGUAGGUGGAUUUGCCAAAAUGGAAAAUGUAGAGUAAGUAAUUUUGGUAUAGCUAUUUGGAGUGUUAUAUGAAGCACAAUAUCUUCAUAAUGUGAUGCGUUUUGGUUUUCGAUUGAGAUCAAUCUUGGUAAUUAAUUGUUUUGAAUUGUGUGUUUAUUUUAUCUUUUAGUAGUAAAUGUUUUUGUUUUCUUUAGUUUAGUUUGAGUAUUAGUCUGUUUUGAUAUAUUUGUAGGUUGCAUCUAUUUAUCCAUAUAUUUAUCUUUGAUCAAUACCUAGCUAGGGGAGUCUCUUCUUUUUAUGGGCUUCCUUAUAUUCCAUGUUCUUUUACUAUAUAUUUGAGAUUUUCACCUUCCAUAAAUGAAAUAAAUUAACUAUUUUCAUUUGAAAAGAAAAACGAUCCAAUAGGAGUUUGUAAGAUUAUUUAUCAUCUCCAUUGUUUAACUUUCUCUAUAAAAACAAUGUUGCUAUUGAUGGGUAAAUUUAUACAAUUAAGAGUAAGAAGCCUAUAGACUAGCAUUGCUAAAUUGAACAUUCAAAAUUUGCUUUGAAGUAAGAGUCGAUGAUGGUAUAAUUAUUCUUUAGUUGUAUUCCUCUUUUUCUUAUAGAUCUUUGAAGAACCAAAUUAGAAUAUUUUCUUCUUCUUAAUGAGUUGUUUGAUCAAAGCUUAUUUUCUUCUUUAUUUUUGCAGCACUUUUGGGUUGCCAUUUCAAUUGUCUUCUUUGUUGCUGCUACAUUAUUUACUCUACUGAAACUUUGUGGUAAUUUUUAAUUUUCCACAUUUAGAUUGCAGUCUGUUUAGUUUGAUUUUAAAUAAUAUGUACUAAUUUUGCAAAUUCUAGAUUUAUAAUCUUCCCCAGGUUGUAAAGUAUAUUUUGGUCUUAGAUAGCCAGCCAAGCUAAGCUAAGUAGAUGGAAGCAAUUGUUGAAGUUGAAGAUUGUGAAAGCGUUUAAGAUUUCUUAUUUAAGUCUUGUAUUAGGAUCUAGUUUCAUGUAUUAUUAUAGAAUGUAUAUACAAACGCAAUAUUAAGAUUUCAUUUUCUAUAUACAAAUGUAAAAGAAAAAUAUUGUAGUUCCUAAAAUAAUAUUAAUUUUAUUGAUUUGUUGAUGUGAGAAAAAAUAUUUAUUUACACGUAUCUAAUGUCAGUUUAUAAAAAAUGAACAAUAAUGCAAUAAUUAUAUAUUUUUUUUGUAAAAAUAGAUCCAAAAACAAGACUUUAAUGUCGGUUUAAAAACGAUAUCAAAGGCAAACCGACACUAAAGGUCAACAAUAGCACCAUAAAAAAUGUCGGUUUUAAACCAACAUCAAUGACCAUACCAACAUUACUGAUGCAUUUGAUAUCGCUUUUUAAACCGACAUCAAAGCAAAAACGACAUUAAAGGCCUUUAAUAACGCUAGCAUAGAUGUCAGUUCCGAACUGACACCAAAGAUCAUUAAUGUCGUUCCGAACUGACACCAAAGAUCAUUAAUGUCGAUUUUAAACCGAUAUUGAAUGGCAAAUUUCUUCUAGUGUAACCAAAUUUAUAUAAUUUGAGAAUCAACAUUUUAAUAAUUUUAUUCAAUCUUACUAACUUCAAAAUAACCAAAUUGAAUUUGAAUUUCAAAAUAACAAAAUUAUAAUUUAAUAGUAUUUGAGAAUCUCAACGAUAGAUUUUGUAUCAACAUAACCUUAAAAAAUAUCAACUUGUUCGAUAUCUUUAUCUCAAAAUAAUAUUAAUGACUUGAAUAUCAAGAUAAUUAAAUUAUUAUUUUAAAAUUGAAAGAAACUCAACAUUAAGAAAUAUCAACUUGUUCGUAUACAAGCACACGCGCACACGAGCACACACAGACACACACACACGUGCACAUGCGCACACACGGACACACGCACAAACACACACACAAACACACGCGCAUACACAUGCACACGCUAGUGUACACGCACACUCACCCACACGCACACGCGCACGCACACAUAUGCACAAAGAUGUGUAAAUGAAUUAAGAUUAAAAAACAACUACAAUAAUUAUGUUUAUGAGUAAAAAUCAUGUACAUUUGACUUUAAAACAUUAAUUAAAUUAUAAUUUCUAUCAACAUUGGUUUAAGAGUGUCAUUAUUUCAAUAUAAUGCGGUUUUAUGCAAUUUUACCAACAAAAAAUAAGUCGAAUAUGGACCUGUAGAUCCACACUCUUUGUCCUAAGAAAUAUAACAACUUUUCUAUGGGUUAUUUAAAAAAAUGGAAAAACUAUUUUUUCUUUUGAAUUUUAGCAAAUAACAUUUUUUGCACGUGCAUGGUAUUUUACAAAAUAUCAACCUUCUCCAACUGUAAUUAUUUAGUUUCUAUGUUGUAAUUAAUUUAUGUCAUUUAUCAGCUUUUAAUUAAUUUUUACUUGAAAAAUAUACAUCAAUCCAUAUUGCAACUUUUUUUUUAAUAUCUUGGGACUCAACUAAUUGAUUCAAUAUUUUAAUAAAUUUAUUGAAUCUUACUAAUUUCAAAAUAACCCAAUUGAAUUUGAAUUUCAAAAUAACAAAAUUAUUAUUUUUCAGAAUUUGAGAAUCUCAACAUAGAUUUUGUAUCAAAAUAACCUUAAUUGAAUUCAAAAUUAAAAAAUAUCAACUUUUUCGCUAUUUUUAUCUCAAAAUAACAUUAAUGGCUUAAACAUCAAGAUAACGAAAUUAUUAUUUUAAAAUUGGAAGAAUCUCAUCACUAAAAAAUAUCAACAUGUUCGCACACGCACACACGCACGAACGCACACAUACACAUGCACGCAAGCACACACGCACACGCGCGCACGCACGCACUUUUGCACACACACACACACAUACAUAUGCACGCACACCCAUCCACACUUACCUACACACGCACGCGCACACGCACACACACACGAACACACGCGCACACACACACAUAUGUAUAAAGAUGUGUAAAUGAAUUAAAAUUAAAAAAUAAUUAAAUUAAUUGUGUAUAGAAAAACUUUUAAACCAUAUUCAUUUGACUUAAUAACAUUAAUUAAAUAACAAUUUUUAUCAAUAUUGGUUGAAAAGUGUCAUUAGUGUAAUUAUUUCAAUAUAAUGGAGUUUUAUCCAAUUUUACCAACAAAAAACAAGUCGAAUAUGGACCAGUAGAUCCACACUCUUUGUCAUAAGAGAUAUAGCAACGUUUUUAUGUGUCAUUUUAAAAAUGACAAAACUACUUUUUCUUUUGAAUUUUAGCAAAUAGCAUUCUAUCACGUGCAUGGUAUUUUCUAAAAUAGCAAAAUAUUCAUCUUCUCCAACUGUAAUUAUUUUGUUUCUACUUUGUAAUUAGUUUAUGUUAUGCAUUUAUCAACUUUUAAUUAUUUUUUUAUCUGAAAAAGAUACAUAAACCUAUAUCAUAAAUUUUUUCUUAAUAUCUCGAGACUCUAGUAAUUGAUUCAAGAUUUUCAUAAAUUUACUCAAUCUUACAAUUUUCAAAAUAACCUAAUGGAAUUGAAAUUUCAAAACAACCAAAUUGAAUUUCAAAAUAACAGAAUUAUUAUUUUUCAAAAUUUCAAAAUCUCAGAUAGAUUUUGUAUUAAAAUAACCUAAAUUGAAUUUCAAAAUUAAAAAAUAUCAACUUGUUCGCUAUCUUUUAUCUCAAAAUAACAUUAAUGACUUGAAUAUCAAGAUAAUAAAAUUAUUAUUUUAAAAUUGAGAGAAACUCAACAUUAAAUAUAUCAACUUGUUCACACACAAGCACACACGGACACGGGCAAACGCGCACACACGUACACACGCACGUAUGAGCGCACACACACCCACACACCCACGCGCACAAGCACAUACGCGUCCGCACACACACAGACACACAUAAGCACACACACACGUGUGCACAUCAGCACACAAACACGAAUGCACACACGCAUACACACACCCACCCACAUGCACAAAUGUGCACAAACGUACACCUGCACGCACACACACUCGCACGCAUACACACACGCACGAACGCACACUCACACCCACACGCAUACCCACACACCCACACACACGCACAAAUGCACAAAACUACGUAAAUGAAUUAAAGAUAAGAAACAAUUACACUACUUGUGUUUAAAAAGACUUUUAAACCAUGUUCAUUUGACUUAAUAACAUUAAUUAAAUUAUAAUUUUUAUCAAUAUUGGUUGAAAAGUGUCAUUAGUGUGAUUAUUUCAAUAUAAUGCGAUUUUAUCCAAUUUUACAAAAAAAAAAAAAACAAGUCGAAUAUGGACUAGUAGAUUCACACUAUUCAUAAGAGAUAUAACAACGUUUUUAUGGGUCAAUUUAAAAAAUGGCAAAACUAUUUUUUUUUUUAAAUUUUAACAUAUAGCCUUAUUGCACGUGCAUGGUAAUUUAUAAAAUAUCAAAAUAUCCACUUUCUCCAACUGUAAUUAUUCCGUUUCUACGUUGUAAUAUAUUUAUGUUAUGCAUUUAUCAGCUUUUAAUUAUUUUUUACCUGAAAAAGAUACAUCAACCCAUGUCAUAACUUUUUUCUUAAUAUCUGAGACUCAACUAAUUGGUUCAAGUUUUUAUAACUUUAUACAAUCUUACUAUUUUCAAAAUAACCUAAUUGAAUUUGAAUUUUAAAAUAACCAAAUUGAAUUUCAAAAUAACAAAAUUAUUAUUUUUCAGAAUUUUAAAAUCGCAAAGAUAGAUUUUGUAUUAUAAUAAUCUUAAUUGAAUUUCAAAACUAAAAAGUAUCAACUUGUUCACCAUCUUUAUCUCAAAAUAACAUUAAUAGUUUGAAUAUAAAGAUAACUAAAUUAUUAUUUUAAAACUAGGAGAAAGUCUACAUUAAAAAAUAUCAACUUGUUUGCACACAAGCACAUGUGCACACCCACCCACACAUGCACACGCACAAAAUGUGCAUACACGCAAACAUGUACGCACGUGUACACACACGUACACACGCGCGACAACCACACACGAACAUACGCACAAACGCACACACAUACACGCACAUGCGCAUGCGCACGCACCCACACAAACUCACACACGCACAAAGAUGUGUAAAUGAAUUAAAAUUAAAAACAAUUACACUAAUUGUGUUUAUAAAGACUUCUAAACCAUGUUUAUUUGACUUAAGAACAUUAAUUAAAUUAUAAUUUCUAUCACUAUUGGUUUUAAAAUGUCAUUAGUGUAUUUAUUUCAAUAUAAUGCGGUCUUAUCCAAUUUUACCAACAAAAAAACAAGUCGAAUAUGGACUAGUAGAUUCACACUCUUUGUCAUAAGAGAUAUAACAACAUUUUUAUGGAUCAUUUUGAAAAAUGACAAACUACUUUUUCUUUUGAAUUUUAGCAAAUAGUAUUUUUUGCACGUGCACGAUAUUUUAUAAAAUACCAAAAUAUCCACAUUCUUCAACUGUAAUUAUUUUGUUUCUACGUUGUAAUUAAUUUAUGUUGUGUAUUUAUCAGCUUUUAAUUAUUUUUUACUUGAAAAAGAUACAUCAAUCCAUAUUGCCACAUCAAUCCAUACCAAAACGUUCCUAAGAAAGGAUCAUCUCACCCAUAACUUUAAAUUCUUCAAACACAAUGCAAUUAACUUAAAGCAGAACAAAACAAAACAAGAAAUCUAACCAACAAUAACAAAAAAAUAAACCUUAAGCCUUGAUCCUUGCAGUCCAUUGGGAGGUUCAGAACGGGACAUGAUCGAGAACAAUCGAUUCCGAGCUGCAGGUUUCAACAUCGACAAAGAAUUUCCAAGUAAAUGAAAAUUUUGGAAAUGGGUAGUGAAGAAAAAUAAGGUUGAGAGGAUUUUGUUUGGUGAGUGGGAAAAACUCUAGCCAGGGAAAGAGAAUGGAAGAAAUGGGGUUUAGUUUACACAGAUUUUUCUUAAUGAUUGUUGGAAGAACAAAGAGAUUGUGAGAAGGUUUAACGGCAACGACAAUGGCAGAAUGUUAAAUCCCCGAAAAGACUAAAUGGCCAAUUGAGAGAAGAAGGAAGAAAGAAAUUCUCUUUCAAGCUAGGGAAAAGACAGAGGAAUGGGAAUUGAAUUGUACGUUUGGUAUGGCUAUAUGCAAUUUUCUUGCUUCUUUAUGGAUAUGUUGUACAAAGAGUAGAACGAUGACAUGGUUCACUUUGUUUCUCUCUUUACAAAGUAACCAAUGACUUAAAAGAAAGACAUUGAACAACAAAUGACCAAUAGAAAACAAUAUACUCAAGAAACAAUAAAAAAAAUGCAGAAAUUAAAAAUGAAAUUGGAAGUAGGAAAAAAAUGGAAGGAAGAAAAAUACCCCAAAAGUUCUAAAUGCAAUAUGAUCAUAACAAACAUGUCUCACUGUGAACAAAUCGAACAAGCUCUAUAACGAAUUUUGUAGUGGGAUUCCGACUCAUAGAAGCCGGCUCAGGCUUGCACAACGAAUGACCAAUACAAAAUAAGAUCCAGUAAAAAGAAAGGCCCAACUAAAGUGAAAUUAGAAGACACACACGUCCUAUAUUAAGGUAGAGUCAAGGUAAUUUAGAAAAAUUCAUUACCGGACAACUACCUCAAAAUUACCCGAACUUAUAAACUAUACAAUUAUUUUUUCCUGAUGUUCCAAAACACUUGCCAACUGAAAUUUUCUUUUGACAAAUAUGCAAUGGGUUUCUUGAAAUUGAAUGCUCAAUCCAGAAAUUGAAAAUGAAAUUGGAAGUAGAAAAAAAAUGGAAGGAAGAAAAAUACCCCAACAGUUAUAAAUGCAAUGUGAACAUAACAAGUUGUAUCAUCAUGAACAAAUUGAACAAUCCCCAAAACAGAUUUUGCAAUGGGAUUCUGACUCCAAUAAAUUGCAUCCAUGUUGACCAAAACUUUCCGAACAAAGGAUUCAGCUUCCCAUCAACAUGCAUCACAAACCUAUAACUUUAAAUUCUUCAAAAACAAUGGAAUUAAAUCAAGGCAAAAAAAACACAACAAGAAUUCUAACCAACGAUAACAAAAAAAUCCACCUUAACCCUUAAUCAUUGUCGUCCAAUGGGAGGUUCAACAUUGGACAUGAUUGAGAACUAUUGGUUCCAGCCGCAAGUUUCGGCAUCGACAAAGAUUCUCCGAGGGAAAUGAAGAUUUUGGAAAUUGGUAGUGAAGAAAAAUAAGGUUGAAAGAAUUUUGUUUGGGGAGUUGACAAAAUUGUAAACCGAACCCCAUGUGUUUCAUUUUUCUCCUCAUGGCCAGAAUUUUGUCAACUCCCCAAACAAAAUCCUGGCCGAUGAGGAGAAAAAUGAAACACAUGGGUUCGUUUACAAUGAUUUUUCUUAAUGAUUGUUGGAAGAACAAAGAGAUUUAAGGGUAACAAAAAGAAUGGAAGAAUGUUAAAUCCCAAAGACUAAAUGGCCAAUUGAAUGCUUAAGGAAGUUUGAUUUGCCUGUUUUAGCAGUUUUCUUGCUUUUUUAUGUAAAUGUUGUAGAAAGAGUAGAACAAGGACAUAAUUCACUUUUUUUUCUCUUUACAAAGUAACCAAUGACUUAAAAGAAAGACAUUGCACACUAAAUGCCCAUUAGAAAACAAUAUACAUCGAAAAGAAUAAAAAAUAUGCAAAAAUUCAAAAUGAAAGUGCAAGCAGAACAAAACGGACUUGAUUCACCAUGAACAGAUAGAACAAGCUCCAAAACGGAUUUUGAGUAGAAUUCGUCUCAGAUUUGCAGUCUCCAGGUUUUCCAAAACGUUCCUAAGAAAGAAUCAGCACAACCCACAACUUUAAAUUCUUCAAAAACAAUGAAAUUAACUCAAAGCAGAAAAAAAAAAAAAGACAAAAACUCUAACCAAUGAUAACAAAAAAAUAAACCUUAACCUUUGAUCCUUGCAAUCCAUUUGCGGGUUCAGCACUGGACUUGAUCGAGAACAAUCAGCUCCCACCGCAGGUUUCUGCAUGGACGAUGAUUUUUCGAGGAAGGAAAUCAAAUUUUUGGAAAUGGGUAGUAAAGAAAAAUAAGGUUGAAAAGAUUUUGUUUGGAGAGUGGGCAAAAUUCUAGCUGGUGAGGAGAAAAGAAAAGACAUGGGGUUCAGAUUCGAGGGAUUUUUCUUAAUGAUUGUUGGAAGAACAAAGAGAUUGUGAGGAGAUUUAAGGUAUCGCCACGAAUGGCAAAAUGUUAAAUCACAAAAGACUAUUGUUUUCUUGCUUCUUUAUGGAAAUGUUGUAGAAAGAGUAGAACGAUGACAUAGUUCAUUUUGUUUUUCUAUUUACAAAAUAACCAUUGACUUAAAAGGAAAGAAUUUGCACCACAAAUGACCAUUAGAAAACAAUAUACAUAAGAAAGAAUAAAAAAUACGCAGAAAUUGAAAAUGAAAUUGAAAGUUGAAAAUAAAUGGAAGGAAGAAAAAUACUCCAAAAGUUCCAAAUGCAUUACGAUCAAGAGAAAUUUGUAUCAACAUGAACUGAUCAAAUAAGCUCCAAAAUGAUUUUGCAGUGGGAUUCCGACUCAGAUAAGCAGUCUCCAGUCUUGCCAAAACGUUCCUAACAAAGGAUCAUCACACCCAUAACUUUAAAUUCUUAAAAAACAAUGGAAUUGACUCAAAGCAGAACAAAACGAAAGAAAAACUCUAACCAACGAUAAGAAGAAAAUAAACCUUCACCCUUGAUCCUUCCAAUCCAUUUGCGGGUUCAGCACUGGACAUGAUCGAGAACAAUCAGUUUCCAGCUGUAGGUUUAGGCAUGGACGAAUAUCUUCCAAGAAGAAACGAAUUUUAGCAAAGUUUGAUCUACCUGUUAGCAGUGUUCUUGUUUUUGUACGGAAAUGUUGUAGAAAGAGUAGAACGAUGAAAUAAAUCACUUUGUUUUUCUCUUUACAAAGUAACCAAUGACUUAAGAAGAAGACAUUGCACAACAAAUGACCAAUAGAAAAUGAUACGCAAUAGAAAAUAAUAAAAAAGAAAACAAUAUGCAUUUUUGUUUUCAAAUUCUUGGUCAAAUCGCAAUUCAGAAAUGAAAUUUGGUUCAUUAUCGACGAUAAUAUGGUGAACUAAAUAACAUAAGUUUCAGAGUCAUGGGAGAAUAAUAGCCUUGCUAAUUGCUCAAACUCUGAAUGUGAAGGCUUUUCCCAUGUGAAGGAACCCAAAGAACCAGCAAAAGCAGCAUGCUUCUUCCCAAUGCAAGAACAUUCAGUGUAUCUUCUGAUUAUGUCCUGAAUGCAGUAGGAAAAAUGAUAUAAAGUUGUAAUUCAAGCUAAGGUUUUGUUGCAUAAACCAAAAACUUAGAUGGAUAAAACACAAAAUGCAUCCUGUUCCUACCUUAUGCCUACUACAUUGCUAACAAUACACUUACUGCACUCUCAGAGAAGGAACCAGAAAUGGUUCUUGAUGAUCUGUUAAAAUCUUUUGAUGAAAAUGUAAUUAGUGCAAAGAGCGUUGAUGAUUCUAAAACAGAGGCACCUCAUGCUAACUCGGAUGUGCAAUGCUUCUCUAAAGAUGAAAAAGUAAAUGAAGUUUCGAAAGAUGAUGAUUUUGUGGAGAUUUCUGCUGAGGAAAUCAAUGAAUCUGACAAAUCUUCUCUGCCUACUGAAGACUUGGAUGUUACUGAAGUUCACAAAUCGAGCAUUGCAGAAGAAUUUGGUAUGGAAUUUGAAUCUCAACAAAAUGAGUCUACCUGUGAAUUAGAACAUAAAAUUGAAGAAGAUGUUGAAGAAGAAAACACACGUGAAUAACUCUGCUGAAGAACUGUCUCUUCCCACGAAAAUGUGGAAGAAGAAACUGAAGUUGAUGGAGAUGAUGCCUUGAGCAGUGAUGAAGAAUCUUUGGAAGUGAAAGACGAUCAAGAUGAAAAUGAUCAGAUCCCACAACCGGAAAUGUAGCAUCAGAUGCUGACAUUGAAGGAGACAAGAAGGAAACAAAAAUGGAGAAAAGUUCUGUUCAAGCUGAAGAAGAUGAUACAAUUAUCAAUAAGUCCACGGAGGAGUUCCCUGAGAAUGUUUCUGAUGAUUUGGUUGAUGUCAAGAUCCAAUGGAAAAUGGAAGAAGAAACUCUUCCUAAAGACAUAAUUGUCGAAGCUAUCGACUCACAACCAGAAAUCCCAAAUGCCAUUGUUCAAUGUGAGGAAGCUUUGGUGGAAAUCACUAUCACAUCCUCCAACAACAAUGCAGUUCAAACAUUGGCAAACCAAUUCCCUAGGCCAACAAUAGAAGCCAAAUCUCCCGUUGAAGAACAAACCAUUAGUUUGCUAAUGGACAACCCAGAUGCUGAGGAAGAAGAAGCUGAAAAAGAACAGAACAAAGCAAAGUUCAUUCAGUUAGUGGUGAAGAAUGAUAAUACUAGCCUAAGGCAGCUGAGGAAGUUGUUCAAGGAAAAACUCCAACUUAACCAUAAGAAGAUGGAAAAUAAUAACAUCAACACAAAAGUUGUUGGAGGUGGCGUGAAAGUGAGAACUGCUUUACAACCAGUGCCGGAAAACAGAAUGACCGUGCAUUAAAAGUCUAGAAAGAGAGAGCAUUGUGCAUGGUUCAAACUGUGGUUUGCCUCACGUUAUUGAUUUUGUGUUUGUUUUAUUCUUUCCAUGAUGUAUUUUGAGAGGAGGGAAAAAUGAGGUAAAUGAUUAAUUUGUCUGAAUUUUUGUUCAUCAGUUCAAUAAUAAAAAUGCUAGUAGUUUGUGUUUUAAAAAAAACAAUACACUUACUGCAGCACCAAGAUACAGGUUGUAGCCAAAUUUCAGGAAAAAAAUAUAUAUUCAGAUUUUUGCAUAUCGAGAAUUUGGUGAAACGCACCUUGAGUUUAUUUACUCAACUAAUCCACGAGAAUUUGUGAUAUGAACUUGGCAGAGGUCAUUGACUCCAUCACCAUCAUCAGCAGCAUUAGAAAUGGAGGGAGGUGAAAAAAAUGCUUUCAACUUUUUGGCUGGAAUGAUAAUUCUUCUUUUGACCUAAGCGGCUGGCUUGGCUCCCUCUUUUUUUUUUGCUCCUCUCUAAAGGCUGCCAUGCGGGUGAAGAACUUUAAGUACCUACUAGGCGGGGGUCGGGUUUUGCUUAGGCAAGAAAAGCAGAGAGGAUCCCCACGAAAAAUCUGAAACGGGGGGAUCUCGGCGCGCAUUUUACUUGAUCUAAGCGGCUGGCUUGACUCCCUCUUUUUUAUCUCUCCUCUCUACGGCUGCCAUGCUUGGUGAAGAAAAAUCUAAGGACCUACUAGGCGGGAUCGGGUUUUGCUCAGGCAAGAAAAGCGGAGAGGAUCCCCACGAAAACUCUGAAACCGGGGGAUCUCGACACGCAUUUUACUUGACCUAAGCGGCUGGCUUGGCUCCCUCUUUUUUUCUCUCUCCCUCUCUACAGGCUGCCAUGCUGGGUGAAGAACUCUAAGGACCUACUAGGCGGGGUCGGGUUUUGCUUAGGCAAGAAAAGCGGAGAGGAUCCCGAAAACUCUGAAACCGGGGAUCUCGGCGCGCAUUUUACUUGAUCUAAGCGGUUGGCUUGGCUCCCUCUUUUUUUUUUCUCUCCUCUCACGGCCAUGCUUGGUGAAGAAAUCUAAGGACUACUAGGCGGAUCGGGUUUUGCUUAGGCAAGAAAAGCGGAGAGGAUCCCACGAAAACUCUAAAACUGGGGGAUCUCGGCGCGCAUUUUACUUGACCUAAAGCGGCUGGCUUGGCUCCCUCUUUUUUUUCUCUCUCCCUCUCUACGGCUGCAUGCAGGGUGAAAAACUCUAAGGACCUACUAGGCAGGGUCGGGUUUUGCUUAGGCAAGAAAAGCGGAGAGGAUCCCCACGAAAACUCUGAAACUGGGGGAUCUCGGCGCGCAUUUUACUUGACCUAAGCGGCUGGCUUGGUUCCCUCUUUUUUUUUCUCUCUCCCUCUCUACCGGCUGCCAUGCUGGGGAACUCUAGUGACCCACUAGGCGGGGGUCGGGUUUUGCAACCCUUAGCAGCUUGGUUGUAUUGUUUUGUUUUUAUCGGCUGUUCUGUUGGGUGAAGAACUCUAAGAACUUGCCGACUUUGCUUUCUACCUGACCUAACAAUCAUAUUUUGCUUUCAAACAAUCUUAUACAAAUGUGUAUGGCCAAAAGAGGGAUUUAAAAUUAAUAUAAAAAAGGCAUUAGAAUAUGGCAAAAAAGGGGAUUAAAUUGAGAUAAAAAAGAGAACCGCACAUAUUAUUAAGUACAUAAUUCACAACAUUCAGAAAAUGAACCAAGUGUUCUACUCAUUUCUAAGCUAUCAACAUAUGCAUUUUCAACAUGUGUAACAUAUUCAAAUAACAAAUACAAUCACAAAUCCGAGCUCCGUUCUCAUGCGUUAGGCAUACAUGCUUUUUUAUGCUAAAAGCGAAGUAGACAUGGUACUUAUUCUAAGCAUAGAGCAUUACAAAAGUUUCUAAAUUUUGACAUUUUUAGCAAAAUUUGCAAAAUGAAAAUUUCCCAAAGGACAUGGAAUGUGCAAGGCUACAACCCCACCCCCACUUAAAAAUAUGCAUUGUCUCAAAGCAUUUUAAGCAAGAUUCUACGGAUGGAAAAAAAGAAAAGAAAAAGGAGAACAGAAGACCUCCCUUGUAACCUAGUUUCUUCAUGGAAGCUUGCUUGCAAAGAUCCCAAGUUUGGUUAUAUUUCAUUUUCCUUUAUUCCUACAAAAAGAAAACAAGAAUUUCCAUCGAAUUUUAUUAAAAAGGUUAAACUAAAAAUUUUAGAAAAAUGUGCAGAAUUGUUUAAGCUCGGUUGCAUUUUCUAAGCAUCACUUGAAUUAUUAAAACGACCUAACAAAUAUUCAAUACAAGUUCGUAAUUCAUAACCUACCAAAAAGUUCAAAAGAUUGUUGUAGGUGUUCCACCAAACUUUUGUAAAUUACAUACAUCAAUAAACUUACUUCUUAUAAGGGGGGGGGAAGAAACUAUGUUUUAGGGACAGAUGGCUCUAAAGCACACAAACACUCUCCAUCUCACUCUCUAUCUGCCCUGUAUCUAAUUUAAUCCAGCAUUCAUUUGGGCAUUGUAGGUUCAUAUUAAAAAUAGUCAUUCAUGUCGUGAUGCAAAGGCCCUUUUUAUGUAUCUAGAACUAAAAUCACGAAAAUCAUCGUGGACAUGCAGCACAACAAACUGAAUAUCCAUGGGAAGCCUUUGCUAACAAAAUGGUUGACAAUAAUUACUCAGACAAGAGAGAAUGACUAUAAUUAAUUAACAGAAGUACAAAUCAAUAUAGGUGCACAACCACCAAGCCCCAACAAAAGGAACAAUAAACUUCAAUAACAAAGAAAGGUAGUAUCAGGACUAUCCUUACCUUGUUAUCGAAGAAGAUACCUUGGCUCUGGAAAGCCCGAUGCUCUGCCUUACAACAUUCAAUUACCUCAGUACUGUAGUGUUUCUUCAAAGUUUGGGAAUCUACCUAAAACAUAAAAAUAUAUAUUACAACUUGAAAACCUCCAUGUCAGAAACUUUACUUUAAUUAUCAAACCAGAUGCUAUGCAAGAAUUAGUUAGCAUAAACACAACAUAAAUAGUAAUGAUAUUCUUUGGGGUGGGGAUAAAAGCAUCUUUCAUCUUAGAAAUAAGCUUAGCAGUUAGCACUAACCUUUAUAUAAGAAGUUAACACCGGUUUGAUUACUUCAUAAACUUCAGCUACGAAAUCUGGUAAAGAGAAAGACCUAAUUCAUAAUGUUAAAGAGGAAAAGACCAAGUCAGAUUCCUUUAUUCAAACAGGUUAGUAUCACAUCUCCAAAGGAAAAAACUUACGGACCUCUACGACGAAUUUCCUUGAAUGAUGUAGCGCCACCUUGUUCUUGAAACACAGUUUCAUUUAUGCUGUGAAAAAUAAGAUUGAUAAAUAAAACUUUCGGCUACAAUUAGCCACAUAAACAUAAAGUUGUGACAGGAAAACAAAAGCUAACAGAUAAUUAACUAUACAGUUUGUAGGCAAAAUACCAAAUAGCCCAUAAUCAAGAUCACAACUGAAGCAAACAAUAAUGUGCAGUUUAUCAUUUCCAACCAAAUAAUUCAAUAACAAAUAAGGUCAAAUGGCCAAAUAAUAUGUCCUUUCACAUAAAUAUUUACUCCUGAAUUUUUUGAAGGAUAAUGUUAUCGCUUCUCUCCCACGUUUCACAAAAAUUCUUUUACAUAUUAUAUUUUUGAUGAAAUUACAGCAGGAGACCACCGUGAGGGAUUACCGACAGCGAUUUGAACAAUUUUCGGUCGCCUUAAAGAUAUGAGUGAUGCAGCCCUAGAAAGUAAGUUUGUGUGUGGGCUGAAGGAAGAGAUUCAAAGUGAGAUCUGAAAAUUGAAUUCAGUGGGCCUAGAGGCUAAAAUGUUAAUGGCCCAAAUAAUUGAGAAGAUGAUCGAGUGGUUCAAUUGAAGAGAAUUCAUGGGGCAAGUGGAAACACUAAUUUAUCAAUUAAAAUGUCAAAUAGUGGGCCAAGCAGGUCGAGAAGUCAAACUGGGUCAAAGGCCUCAGAUCGGGUCGCUACAUCACGAACGAUUACGAUUAACCCUAGCCGAAAUUCGUCGUACUCGUCCACGACGAUUACUUCAUCGCAAGAAUCGGGCGCGAAGAGUACGUUGUCUCAACCAUACCGUCGAAUGACUGACAACGAAGUGCGAAUUAAGAAGGAAAAAGGUUUGUGUUUUAGAUGUGACGAGAAGUUUAGUCUAGGGCACCGCUGCAAAAGACGUGAAUUGAACAUCAUUGUUGUACAAGAAGGGGAAGACUUAAGUGACAAAACCGAUCAAGUGGGGGAAGAAAUCGAAACCAACGGGAAUAAGGAAGUCAAUACAAAAAUAGUGAAUCUGUCGAUAAAUUCAUUGGUAGGUUUCAAUUCGCCGAAAACCAUAAAAAUUAAAGGAGAAAUAAGGGGACGUGAGGUUGUGGUGCUGAUCGAUGGGGAGCACGCACAAUUUUAUUGCAAAAGAGGUAGUCAAAGAGCUAAAAAUUUCAGUAGAAACCAUGGAUGCAUAUGGGGUUGUUCUGGGAACCAGAGGCCUAGUCCAAGCAACCAGUGUGUGUAAGGAUGUAAACCUGACAAUCGCAAAUUUAUCAAUCACUCACGAUUUCUCCUCUCUACACUCGGAAGUGCUGACGUUAUAUUAGGAGUUACUUGGUUGGAAAUGUUAGGGAAAGUAAUUUUUUAUUACAAGUUGUCGGAGAUGGAAUUCUCAUUGGAUGAAUGGUGGUAAUUCUUCAAGGGGAUACAAGUUUAGUAAGAUCCCAAGUGUCACUGAAAUCGAUAAUGAAAACCUUUGAGAAGGAAGAUCAAGGCGUGUCAAUCGAAUUAAGUGCAGUUGUACAGUGGGAGUGGGCGAAGCAAGGGAACACAUAGCAGACUACUUGAGUAAACUACAACCAGAAAUUCAAAAAGUUCUUCAGUCCUUUAGCGUUGUGUUUGAACCAAGCAAUCAAUUACCCCCACCUCGCGAUCAUGAUCAUGCUAUUGAAUUAGAACCAGGGGCUCGUGCAGUGAACGUGCGCCCGUAUCGUUAUCCCCAAUUUUAGAAAGAUGAGAUAGAGAAACUAGUUAAGGAAAUGCUGCUAGCCGGAAUAAUUCAGCCAAGCAAAAGUGCCUUUUCAGUGCUCCUUGUUAAGAAAAAGGAUGGUAGCUGGCAAUUUUGCGUUGAUUACGAGCACUGAAUCUUGCCACUAUACCAGAUAAGUAUCUGAUUCUUGUUGUUGAUGAACUGUUGGACAAAUUAUUUGGGGCAACCAUAUUCUCCAAAAUUGAUUUAAAGUUAGGUUAUCAGCAAAUUCGGGUGCGGGUAGCCGAUGUUCACAAAACAGCGUUUCGAACCCACGAGGGGCCCUAUGAAUUCCUUGUGAUGCUGUUUGGGUUGAAAUGCUCCGGCAACAUUCCAAUCAAUCAUGAGUGAUGUUCUUCGCCUAUAUUUACGCAAGUUUGUUUUGGUUUUCUUUGAUGACAUCUUAAUUUACAGCAAGUCCUUGGACGAGCAUUUGCACCAAUUGGCAAUGGUUUUGGAAACUCUAGUAGCUCAUCAACUGGUAGCCAACUUUAAAAAAUGCCAAUUUGCGGUUGACAAAAUUGAAUACUUGGGCCAUGUUAUUUCUUCAGAGGGGGUGGCAGCGGAUCCAACAAAAAUAGAAGCGAUGGUUAAAUGGCCAGCACCCAAGAACGUGAAGGAGCUAGGUGGGUUUUUUGGGGCUAACGGGGUAUUAUCGGAAAUUCGUUGCAAACUACGGUUCUAUUGGGCUGCCCCCUUGACACAACUGUUAAAAAAAGGUAACUUUAAGUGGAAUGAGACGACCGAGAACGCAUUUCAGCAGUUAAAAGUCAGCAAUGAUGUCUGUCCCGAUGCUAGGUAUUCCUGAUUUUUCACAAAGUUUUGUGCUGGAAACUGAUGCUUCGGGUGUGGGUAUUGGGGCUGUCCUAAUGCAAAAUCAACGACCAGUGGCCUUUUUCAGUCAAACUUUACCUAUUACCCAUAGGUUUAAGGAUGUUUAUGAACAGGAGCUUAUGGCAAUAGUGCUGGCUGUUCAAAAAUGGCGACCAUAUCUAUUGGGUAAACCUUUUGUGGUGCGUACAGAUCAGAAAAGUUUGAAGUUUCUUCUUGAACAACGGGCUAUCGGGGGAGAAUAUCAGAGAUGGAUCGCUAAACUAUUGGGGUAUGAUUUUGUGAUUGAGUACAAGAAAGGAUUGGAAAACAAAGCGGCCGAUGCCUUAUAGAGAUUACCACCGGUAUUUGAAUUGGGCCUCGUAAGUAUUGUGGGCGGGCUAAACCCUUCGGUUUUCAUCGAUCAAGUGGCUGGAAAUGAAUCUCUUAACAAUAUUCGAUUGUCUUUGAUAAAUGGACAGCCAGCUCCAGAUGGAUAUUUGCUACAAGGAGGAGGAUUCACCUGAUAUUACUUUAUUAUUAGCUAAGUUCCAUAACAGCCCGAUAGGGGGACAUCAUGGUGCAUUGAAAACAUAUCAAAGGCUAGCAAGGGAGGUCUAUUGGCGAGGUAUGAAAGCCAACCAGGUGCAUCUCCUGAUAAAUAUGCCAAUUUCUCUGAAAAGGAUGACCAUUUUUUAUUCUCGUGGCACUUUUUAAUAAAACUCCAGAGUACUGGAACUAACUCCAUUCUGUAUGCUAGAAUAGUCAUAAUUUUUUAUGUCCCACACCAAGUUGUACUUAAAAGAUCUUUUCAAAAAAAAUCUAUAGAGUUUUUUUUUUCUUUUUUAAAUGAAGUACAUGCAUGUUAUGUUUCUCGUUAUUGAGAAAACAUGACCUUUAAACCAUUACUAACGCCAUUAUAUCCAAACAGCAAGGUACACGAACCUAGUAAAGGAUGACACAUGCCACUUUGUCCAUUGGGUAGAGAGAGGUGUGAAAUGUGAAUGUCCGCCACAUUAAAGGAAGAGUAAGAAUUUGAGAGGAGAAACUCCAAUUGGGAUCAACACGUGGGCAACAACAUGGCUUCUUACCAACAUGAGAACUCAAAAGAGACAGCAGAUGUUCUAGAGAAGCCAAUGAACUCUUGGAAUGUGAAUCUGCACUUUCCUGCAAUAGUUUGAGUGUGAAUUAGUUCUCUGAAAACACAUGCAGAGGAUAAUCCACGGCAAAACAGAAUAUCUAUAAAAAAAUUCACUUGCAAGUAGAAGAAAAAGGAAGUACAUUUAUACCUUCCCUGUCAAAGUGAUAUCCCUAAUCAACGCAUAUGCAUUUCUUUCCAGGAAGUAACCAACAAUUUUACAAACCCAUGGGAGUUCAUGUUGUAAUAAGAAAAUAAUUGUGUCUAACAAUAGAGUUGCAGGUGUGUUAGAGUUCACAGGUGGAGCCAAAAGUUGAUUCCUCAAUUGGUUUCUAUCAAGAACAACAUCAAGUAAGAAUAAUUCAGAGGAAAAAUAAAGACAACUUAUCAUAUAUAUAAAUAAGAUUAGUUGAAUUCGUUAGCUGAAGGUAAAAAAACCUUUAUGUCAAUUAUAUAUAUCUGAACAAAAUCUAAGAAAUAUAUCACUUUUCAACAAAAGAAAUAUAUAUAUACAAUUAAAGGAUCACAGCAUAGAAAGCCAACAAAAUCAACAAUGAUAGAUAAACAUCUGUUCUUCCAUUCAAAACGUUAAAAAGGAUAAGUUUUUAAUAAGGAAUGUUGAAAUGGAAAAAACUAAUUACCUAUUAUGGUGUACAGUCUGGAUGCAAGCAUAUGCAAAUUUCUUAACUCUCUAAUCCACUAAGGCCUUGUUAAGUACAUAAUCCUUGCUAGCGAAAAUGCUCAACAUAUCCCCUAUAUAUGUAAGAGAGAGAAAGGUAAGAAAGUACUAACACUAAGAGAUAUGUGCUAUCAAUUAGAACACUUUAAGAUGAUAUUAUCAAUUAGAAAACCAAGCAUAAAGCAACAUAAGGGAAAAUAACAAACAAGGGCACCACAGUGGUUCAGAAACCAAUCAAUAUUUUCAUUUGUCACUUUUGUAAUAAUUUCCCAAGGGAAAAUCCUCAUAACAAGCCUCGUUUUCCCCCUACUAUGGAACGGGGAGGAUUCCUCCUCUUUUCAAAGCCCUCGUCAAACUCAAUGCUAAGUUUAGAACACUAAGAGUAGGUGGUUUGGUUUUGGUUAGGCCAAAAGUAAAGUUUUCUCCUAAAAGCUCUGAUAGUUAGGGAACUCAACACAUUCUACCUGACCGAACCAAGUUGGCUCUUUGUUUUUUUAUGGGAUUUUUCUAAUGUAUAUUGCAUGUGUUGUUUGUUUUUUUAUAGCUCUUCAUUGUCUAACCUUUUUACGUUUUGCAUUUGCAAGUCUCUCUUUUGUUUCUUUGGUAUGCAAUGUGGUAACAAGGUCUUGCUAGAACCGGUGGGCUAACCUUUCUAUGGUUCUAAACUUAGUUUCUAAGUUUGACUGCUCCCUUCGGAGUGACAACAAGCCUCGUUUUCCCCCUACUAUGGAACGAGGAGGAUUCCUCCUCUUUUCAAAGCCCUCGUCAAACUCAAUGCUAAGUUUGACUGCUCCCUUCGGAGUGACAACAAGCCUUGUUUUCCCCCUAAUGUGGAUCGGGGAGGAUUCCUCCUCUUUUCAAAGCCCUCAUCAAACUCGAUGCUAAGUUUAGAACGCUAAGAGUAGGUGGUUUGGUUUUGGUUAGGCCAAAAUUAAAGUUUUCUGCUAAAAGCUCUGAUAGUUAGGGAACUCAACACAUUCUACUUGACCGAACCAAGUUGGCUCUUUGCUUUUUUAUGGGAUUUUUCUAAUGUAUAUUGCAUGUGUUGUUUGUUUUUUUAUAGCUCUUCAUUGUCUAACCUUUUUACGUUUUGCAUUUGCAAGUCUCUCUUUUGUUUCUUUGGUAUGCAAUGUGGUAACAAGGUCUUGCUAGAACCGAUGGGCUAACCUUUCUAUGGUUCCACAUUUAAUUACUAAUUAAGUUUGAUUGCUCCCUUCGAAGUGACAAUAAGUUUUGUUAAUGUCGACCCUUUUCUAAAGGGAUUUAGUUCACUGUGGCUAGACAAGAGGCUUCUAACUCAUGUUUGACAAGAUAAACUUGUUAAAACCAUCCCAGUUUCUAAAGAGUGCCUCCUAUCCUUUGUUACUCUAUCUAGGCUAGGUUUGGACUAAGUGCGUCAUAGGUAAGUCACGACAAAGCAACAAAGGAAGACAAAGCUAGAAAAGUAUCCAUGCACUUAUUUAUUAUACAUGCAAUCAAGCAUUCACAACACACAUACCAUUUUCUCAAUCAUGCAUUCACAUCUCAAUAAGAAAUAGCUAAAAGGAGCUUAAAACAAAAAAGACAGCAGCUUAUGCUCAAAUUUCAACACAUAUACUCAUCAAAAUUCAGAAUUUCACAUCAUAAACCCGAGCUCAGUGCUCAAGGGUUGCCAAUCAUGCUUUUUAUGCAAGAUCUAAUUAAGCUAAGAAGGUAUAAUGCUCAUUAUUGUAUGGAAAGAAUUCUGAAAAAUUUUGAAACUUGGGCAAAAUUUGAACCCCUAAGUUUACACUAAACAUGCAAGCUAAGCAAGCUAUUACCCACACCCACUCAAAAAAUUGCUUUUUCUGUCCUAAAAGCUUUUGAAAAUCAAAGUAAAUGGAGAAAAAUAAGGGGGGAACUUUGGACUCGCCUGGAAGGAUCGACAUCCUUGACUUUGGUUUGAAGCUUGCAUGGAUAAACCUUUUCAUUCAUUUUUCAUUGAUUAUUCAUCCUUGUUCCUGAAAUCAAAGGAAAUUCUCUCAAUUUUAUAUAUUACUAAAAUUAGGAUACAUAUAAGUCUUAACUAGUCUCAUAGCACCCUCCAUUCAUCUUCCCCUACACUGGCUAUGGUAUCAAAAUGCUCAAUUAAGUAAUACGUCUACUAACGAACUUGAAAACAAAACAUCACACUAAAAAACACAAACAUCCCUUUAACCCAACAGAAGCAGCUCUUUUUACCCUUGCACUCACUAUCACAUUACUACAUGUUUGUCAACUGUCAAACUAACUCUUUUAAGUUAUUUAGUGUGACACUACAAAGUUAUGAACACCAUAAUCUUAAUUAAAACCUUUUAAUAAACAAAUGCCAAGUUACUACUCAACAAUGGCAAGGAAUUCAAAAAACAUGACAGCUAUCCUAAUUGGUUGAAAAUGAGAAAAAGAAAGUUAGAUAGACAACCUGUUUGGACUACAAAGCCAGCAUAUACGAUUCCUCAAAUUUGACCAUUCACUCUCCAUACUCCACAAGUCUUCAAGCACAUGAUGCUGCCUUCUUUCAGAUGAGCAACAUCAUUCCGAUCUUAACAGUCAGAAGAGCAAAUCAAAUCAAUCCUAGCAUAUUCACAAAUCACAACUAAAAAGUACAAACAUUACAAAAUAAAACAUGCAGCGAUAUCAACAAGCAUUCUGAUAAAUAAUUAGCAAUAAUUGACAUUACAAAAUAAAUAAAGAAAAAAAUCAUUGGAAAGAUCACUGCUUAAAUGAAAUUUGAAAUAUCCAAUAGUUUUGAUCGGUUACCGAGUUGUGAGAGUGGUCGGUUGAUAUUGCGUGCUUCCUUCAAGCGCUCCCCAGCUGCACCUGUUAGCUUCUGCCUCCGGAACCAGCUACUUAAACCAUCUGCCAGUCUCUGCAUAAUAAAAUGAUUAUGAGCCUAAAUUUUACAAGUACCAGUCCGUUGAAUAUAGAAACGUGAUACUCAUGCUUUUCCAUCCUAAACAACAGAACUAUCUGCACUUCGACUUACAAAUUCAUUGCCUUUUUCCGACAGUGCCCACAACUGUUAGUUGUUACAGGUAUACUUCUUUUAUUUAUUUAUUUAUUUAUACUAAAUUCAAUAAUACCAUAUUCCAGAUAUUAGCAACAUUAUUUUAGCAUUACCUUGGAUCGGGAUUCAACAACACAGGUAAAAAAAGCAGUAUGUGAUAGCGAACUCUUAGGAACGGUCGGUUAGAAGAGGGAGGCCUAGGUGGAAGCGGGCUCUUCAGGAUUUGGAAUCGAAAACCGAUCUGACGGUGGAGAAUUUUCUUUGGAAGACUUGGGUUUCCGAGGGGGUCUGCGACCCUUGAUUUCGGCACCGUUAAGGCUAGAAGAAGAAGAAAGUGGUGGAUCGACGAGAUGGGUAUCUCGCAAGAUAGAGUUUCUUAGCUGCUUCACGUUAGAGAGGAAGAGCGAAAUUUUGGAGGUAUAGGAAGAGCGAAACGGAAUUUGAGAGAUAGGAAAUCGCAGGGUUUGAGGAAGACGAAGAAGAGAAUGGGAGAUGAGAGGCAGAGUAAACCGAUCGAGAAGAAAAAGGGGAAAGAAAUUUGAAAUAAAAGAGACCGUUGAGGUUGAAGAAGAGGGAAAAAAAAUUGACCGUGGAGGAGAGUUAUUUAAUUUUUGGAUUAAAUAUUUUCUAUGAAAAUUAAAAAAGAAAAAGUUAAAAGGCAAAUAUUUUCUACUUUUUUUUAUUAUUUAUUCUAUGAAAAUUCAAUAAUAAAAAAGCAUCUAUAUUUGCUUUUGGUAUGGUUCACAUUUUUAUUUAUUUGACAAAAAUCUAACUAAAUUAUCAUUCAUUUUGACCUAAUAUUGCAAAUAUAAAUUUAUUUUUUGCAUCUUAACUACUCUUUGGCAUUUAUAAUAUCAUUGUUCCACACCUCAAUUUUUUUAUUGUUGUCAAAAAUAAACCUAAUCCAAAAUGAAUUAGCAAAUUAGGGAAUAAAUGUAAUCAUUGUUUUUGGGAGUUUGAGUUCGACCGUGAUUAUUGUUGAAUAAUUUUAUUUGGGAUGCAAGUUUUCACUUAGACAUGGACAUUUUGCUAUUUUAGCAAUUUAAAUUUAAAAUUUUCUUUUAUCAAAAGUAAAACUCUUGUUUUAAUGUUUUUCUGGCCAUCCCUUUUAAAUACAACUAAUGACAAAUGAAUAUAACAAUUAAGAAAUUCGUAGAUAUAUAACAACAUUUUAAACUAAUUGCUGCAGUUAUUUUAAAUCACAUAUGUCAUUCGCUUAUAAGACAUAAGAGUCUAUUAACGAUAUAAAUCUAUCACAAAUAUAUUUUGCUACAUUUACAAUUUUUAAAAGAUAUUGUUAUAUACUUAAUUAUUAUUCAUAAAAUUGCUAAUCCAUUAUACUUACCCUAAGUUAAAUGAAUAAUGUCAAAAUUAAGUUUACUACGAAGGUAAUUUGUGUGACCCUUUUAUCCUAAUGUAGGAAGUUUGUUCCACUCCAUACCAUUAUUGAACUAAGAAGAUUAAGUGUGUAUUAGUAUGUUUAAACAAGUAUAAUUAUAGCAAAUUCUAUGAGUGAUAUAUUUAUAUUAGCAAUACAAUAUGUGUUACAUAUGCAAAUAUUUUGUAUCUAAUCGUUGUAUUUGCAAUUAACUCCAUUAAAAUAUACAAAUAUAAACAGAACUCUUUAACCUGAGUUUAGCUAGGAUCACAAACUACAAAAAGAAAGUAUGGAAUAUGAUCACACGGUUUUUGUUGAUCAGUACAGCACCAACAGCAUAAUGCAAGGCAUCGGAUAAGUGAAACGAAUCAUGAUUCGUCUGAAAAUAAAAUUGAUCCCAACGGAGGUAGGGAAAGCCAACAGAAGACUGAAUCUGAUGGGAGAGGUCCCAAAUUUUUUAUCAUUCUUCUAAUGUUACCAUUGUUAAUUUACUUGUUGGUUUAUAUGCCAUUUCCAGAGCCUGAAUAUUCUUUGCAUAAAAAUCAAUCCUAUAGUAUUCCUAUGGUUACAGAGAAACAUGGCAUGAAAUUUUUUGUCAAAUCAUCAAAUUUUGAUGUAAGAUAUCCUCUUGGAAGCCCAGCUCGAGCUGAAAUAGAGAACAGUGUGAUAAGGGAUUAUCGAAACCUUCGCGUUAUUGUGACGUAGAACUCGCGUUAUUGUGACGUAGAACUCCAGAGACUCUAGUGGAAUAAAAAUCUCCCAACUCCUCACUGUGCAAAGCUGAAUAAUCUCGAGGUAGCAUAAGGUGAUAAAGGUAAAUGUGGUUCUCUUUCUUUUCUUAGAAAUGAUAUCCAGUUAUCUUUUUGGAGAUUAGUAUCCAUCUUCUGUUGCUUGUAACUUCACUUGUUAAUUUUAUAAACAAUGCAAGUUUGUUAUUUCUUGGUGGUCACAAAGUAAUUAAUUGCAUAAUUAUUAAUAUAUUACCCCCCAGCGUUAUGUUGGAUUAAAGUUUGAAAAGUAUAGUAAAUAUUAUAUUGUGAAAACUCCCACAUGCAUUAAGAAAGGAGCCGUUGACAGUUUAUGGAGAUGGCAAGCAAACCCGGAGUUUUCAAUACGUUUCUGAUCUGGUAAAAUAUAUACACAUUUAUUUAUUACCACUACAAAAUUAACGGACUGUUUCAUCUUAAUUUCGAAUUUAGCAAAUGUGAUUUUUAAAGAUAGGAUAUUAUAUAACUUUGUAAUUAAUUUAUUAUUGUGAUAUUGUUUAGAGUUUUACAUAAUAGUAAUAAUAAUAAACUGUCACAGGUGGAGGGGCUAAUGAAACUGAUGGAAGGCGAGCACGUGGGGCCUUUUAAUCUGGGCAACCCCGGCGAAUUCACUAUGCUCGAACUUGCUCAGGUCAGCUCUCUACUCCCCCAUUCUCACAUUUAUACUCCUAAACUAAUCUACUCUCUUUUAACAUUUAAAAUAUUUAGGUUUAAUCCUUUUUUUGGAACAUUUACUCAUCAACCCUAAUUGCUUUGCCCUCUAAGUUUCUUUCACGUAAAUAAUUAACUUCAUUCAUGAAACAUUUAAGUUGAGAUAAUUGGAUGGUUAAUUUGAAUCUUAUGAAAAAAUAAACUCUAACAAAAUCAUAAAAUUAAAAUGAAUAUAGGUAUGUAUAUUAUUUUUUUGUAAGUAAAAAAAAUAUGAUUUUAAAAUUAAUAAUAAGUUUGUAUUGGUGGGAGCUAUUUUAGCAUUUUAAGUAAAUUGACCAACCAAUUCAAACUAUUGAUAUUGGUUUUAGUUAUGUUACAAACACUUAUUUUCAAAUAGAGGAUAAUGAAUUAAAAUAUUUAUAAAAUAUAACAAAAUUUUACAUCAAUAGAUAAACACUAAUAGGUUUUCUUUCCAUAACAAUGUUUUAAACUUUUCUUGUCUCGUAGGUUUUUUCAAUAAAAUAUUUUGUUUUGUACAACCAAAACUGAAUUCAUGGAGAAGCAAAACUAAUUUUAAGAAUAGUCGACUUAGUUAUUAUCUAUAGAUCAAAACACUUUAUAAGGUUGCGUUUCUUUAUUUUCUAACAAGUUAAACUAUAGACUUAAAUUGUGAUAAAAAAGGACAUCCUAAUAAUUUAUAUGAUACAGUCUAUUUUAAAUAUAGAUCCUUAAUUCUAUUUUAUGAAGCUACCCAAAUGGUUCCAUAUCAACAAAAUAAUUGUUAUAUAUGUGUUCGCUUUUGUGCAGGUAGUGCAAGAGACAAUAGAUCCAAAUGCAAAGAUAGAGUUCAGACCGAACACGGAAGAUGACCCGCAUAAAAGAAAACCUGACAUUUCUAAAGCUAAGGACCUUCUUGGUUGGGAGCCCACCGUGUCCCUUCGAAAGGGCCUUCCCUUAUGGUUUCGGACUUUCGUCAACGCAUCUUCGGUGACUCGAAAGAUGACAUUUCCACUGCUGCCGUCCUCUCCACCACCACCACGGUCUAGUCCCUCCUUCUUAUCUCUUCUCAUACCUUUUAGAAUAAGAGAUCUCUCAAAUCACUUCCUCCCAAAGAAUAACAUUUGGUAGUUUGAAGAGAUGAGAGAAAAAAGAGGAGGGGAUCUUCCCAUCCAUCAAAACCUCUUUCUUUUCUCCCAAUUUUCACAUUUUUUAUUCCGUGGGCCUAAUUUACCUCUCUCUUCCUCUCCUGUUUUGUAUAUCUUUGCUCUAUUAUUUAUGAAACUCUCCUCUCUCUUUUUUAUUUCACUUAUUCCCAUAUACAUUAUAUUUAUACCUUUCUUUUUGUUAAAUUAUAAAUAUGAACUUUUGUAGUUAUAUAUAUAUAUGUUUGAUCAAUCUACCAUUCUUCUCGUUUCAUGAAUAUAUAAAAUUAUAAAAUUUUGAACAUGUAUAUCUCCAAGAUUUUAACUUCGUGUCUAUGUGAAAAGUUAUUUGUAACUAUUUGUGUACCAAAGAAAGAAAUGCAAUAACUAGUCUUGCUCGUUUGUUAAUUAGUUAUUGUCACCAAUAUGUGAUCAAUAUAUGUUAGUUAUAUAUAGUUUAUCAACAAUAAUUGACACGCCUUUCUUUUUUUAUGAUCAGUAGUUUAAAUCCACAUGUUUCUAGCUAUUUAUUACCUUAAACAAACUAUCAAACUGUUAUUGAAUGUUAGAAAUAAAUUUUGGUCUCCUUCGAUCUUCUUCCAUUUGCUCUUGAGAUCAUUAAUUAACAAUGAGUAAAGUUUCAUUUAGUUUAUUUUAAUAACUUUAAAGCAUGUAUGUCCUUAAGUUCAUUCAACUGUGUGAUUUUUGUUGAGUGUCAUGCUAAACAUAACUCAACUAUUUAAUAAUAUAUUCUUGAUCAUGAAUAGAACGAUUUAUGUUAUGAAUAUUUCAAUCUUGCGUUAUUGCAAUGUAAAGAACAUUCAACAACCAUAUAUCGUUUGCUUUAUCUUUCCAACGACAAUACAAUGCCAACGAAAGUCAUAAAUAAUUCAAUUUUAUUAUAGAUUAAAAUAAAAUUACGUAACAAAUGGAAACCAAUUAUGAAUGAACCAAAAGUUUAGCCCAUAAAAGUCUCAUUUUCUUUUGCACACACCAAUUUAUUGUGGAAAUUUUGUAGCAAAGUUUGUUAUGAAUUUGGUAUCCCAAACUAAAUUUCAAUUUAUAUUCAAGGAGUACUCUUCCCAAAGUUCAAUUAUCUUUCCAAAGUUUGCUUCCAUUACCAUACAACAAUAAUUGAUGUCUUUAACCUCUCUUUUCAUUUUCUUGUUAAUCUGGACGAUGACAUCGACAAGUUCAUGUCAGCUUGAUUUGAUUCGAAUACUUCUUGGUCCUGCUCACAUCUAUGGAAUGCUCUAUUGCACUAUUGAUGGGAGUGUGAUCUAUGGAGAGAUAACUCCAACAUUCCCGAGUGAGUUAAAAAAAAUUCUUACAGUUUAGUUUUCAUGUUACGCACGCUACUGUUUGUUUGAUCUCUUACUAAAAAAUGUUCUUUUUUUCUAAAUUAAAAAAAGAAAGAACGGUAAACGGUAAAAUUUUUAAUUAAUAUGGAAUGAACCAAUCUUAUAAAAUUAAUAAAAAUUUGAUGUUACAUAGCUUUAUCGCUUUAGUGUGUCCCUCCAUUGGUUUGUUUUUCAAUCAAAUGUUUUCUUUUCUCAUCGCUCAUUAUGACUAGAAAAGAAAAUCGUGUUAGGACUCAAACCAUUUUACAAUAGAUUAGUUUUACUUUUCAAAUUUUUCGUUGAUUUUUUUUGAAUUAAACCAUUCAACAUUAACACGGCAAUUAUAAUUAAGUCAACUAUUUUGAAUUCAUGCCAACUAAAGACAAAUAUGAAAUAAUUUUAAAAUUAUUAAAAUCACUACGUCGGAUAAAUUUUUUAAUAUCAAAUGUUGGUGUUAUUGUGUGUGUAUAUAAUAUAUGACAUGCAUGUUGAAGAUGCGGCGGUGCAAAUGCAAUGCAGAGCCGAAACGGUAGUUACGUCGGUUAAGACCGACGCCACUGGCAAUUUCUCCAUUUUUCUCGAUGCUCCUCGAUUGAUGCUCCUUUAUGUACUCACCAAUUGCACUCUCGUUGUCACUACGCCGCUUGUCGACUGCAACGCCGCCCUGCCAUCGUUCAGCACCCUCGUCUCGCCGCUGCAGCUCAUUGGAAAUACCUUCCAUGGACUCUUCAAUGUCACCAAUUUCAUUCCGGUAGGGUUCCGAUUCGUUCAUAGCAUUUGAGGAAAUUUCUUCUCUUGUUGCUGCUCUUACUUUUUAACUCACACUUGAAUAAACGAAGCACUUGAUCUCUAGAAUAAUGGUUUUUUGUGUUUGAUUUGAAAUAAUUUGAGGAUUUUUUUUGUUGUGAUGAUGAACAAUGAUGUUGCCAAUGUGUUUUUGAGCCAAUAGUUUGGUUGAAUUAAUAAUAUUUGAAGGCAGCUCAAAUCGCACAUAAAUGGUAACGAACAUAAUCAAAUGAGAUCGAGAUUUAUUAUACUUUUUCCUAUCUAAAUUUGGCCUAAAUAAUUUCGAAUACUCGAAAAUUAAAUGUAAAUACGAUUAGAUUAUUGUAAUAAAAUAUCCACAAACUUUGUUCUUAUUAGUUUAUAGAAAAUCAAUACAUCUUUUACUAUUUGGACGUUUUAUAAAUAUUGUUAGAAUAAAAAGUGAUAAAUUAUAGAGAUGUUUUAAAAAUAGUAAAAUAAAUUAAAAUAUUUACAUUUUCUUUCAUUAAAUUUGUUAUUUUUCACCAUUUCCGUGUAUUAUAAACAAACAUUUUUUAAAAACUUUUCUUAAUAUAAGAAAUACUAUUAUAUAUAUCACUACCUAAUAAAAAAAAAACUUAAUUUUAAAUUUUCAACAAAUCGUUAAAAAAUAGGAUAGUUGCAAAUUUAGCUAUUAUAUUCAAAUAAUUAAAUAUAUAGUAACUUUUUAAAAAAUUUACAAAUAUAACAAAAUUUGUCAAAUUCUAUCAAUGAUACAAGUCUAUCACUAAUAGACUAUAUUGUAAAUAUUGGUCUAUCACGGAUAGAUCAUACAAGUCUAUUAACGAUACAAGUUUAUUAACGAUACAAGUCUAUCAACGAUAGUUUUGCUAUAUUUGCAAUUUUUAAAAAAUAUUUUUAUAUCCUUAAUUUUUAUUCCUCAAAUGACUAUCUACUACAAUUACCCAAAAAAAACUCUUAAAAUUGUUCAAAGCUCAUUCCAAUAUACGGUGAGUUGGGUUUGAUUUUAAAAUGUUUAAUUUUAAAACAUAAAAAAAAUCAAUAAAAUUAAUGAAGUGAUUGGUAAAUUAAUUUUUUAAAUAUACUGAAAAAUGCUUUAGAAACACUCUCAACCUUUGUUUUUAACAUUUUCUAUCAAAUUUGUGGUAGUGUCAUUUGUUAAAGAGUUCGAUCACUUUGUUUCACAACUCUCGAAUUUAAAAAAAAAUUGUAACUAAAUAUGUCAUUGUCAAUUACCACAUAUUCACAAUUCACAUAAAAACGAUCUACUGUAUUGAGUUAUAAUAUCAUAUAUAUGGUUGAAGUAUUGAGUUAGACUAUCAUUUAGUUCAAAACGUUGUUGAAUAACUCAACUGAAGUAAAUGUGUGCAAGUCAUCAACGUCGUUUUAAUAACUCAAUUGGUUAAAUGUAUAAGCCAUUAACAUCAUUGUAUAUAUAGCUCGGUUGAUUAAAUAUAUAGACAAUAUACCGUAGAAACUUAAAGUAACAAACAAAUAUCAACAUAAAGUUUAAUCAAACGAAACAUCAACUAGCAAAAGCAUUACUACUACAACUAAAAUUAGCUUAUAGUUUGCACUCAUUAUAUCUUAGCUCAUUAAUUUACUUUUAAACAUUGGAACUUAGUUACUAUACAGUAUACAUACGUUGUUAGUUUAAAGAUAUAUAUAUAUUUUAUAAACUUUACAAAAUAUUAGUAAUAUGGUUGUAAAGAAGAUGAAUAUGUUUUCAACAUUUGAAAUGAAAAACUGAUUUAAAAAAACCAAUUAAGAAGAGUUAAACUACAAAUAUGACUAAUUUUAAAAUUUAAUAAAGACAACUAAUUUAAAUAUUUGAAAGCAAUAAAAAAUUAGUUAUUAUAUUGACAAAAAUUUGUAAUCUAUAUUUAAUUUUAUCUAUCGCUUGACCUUUUAGAUAAAUGGAUGAUUUAAAAUAUUUUAAUUAUAUAAUCAAUUGAAGUACGAAGUUAUUUAUGUCGAGAUGGUAAACAAAAUUGUGUUCGAUGAUGCAAACAAAUCUAUACACAGCCAUACCAUACAUAAAAUUACAUUUCAAUAAGUAACAUAUAAAUAAAAAAACAACUAACAAAAAUACUUCAUUUGUUAUAAUUUAUCAAGAAUUUAAUGGUGAAAAGAAAAUAUUUUAAAGAAAAUAACAUUUGAAAACAUUUAAUUUGUCGGUUAACAUUGACAUAAACGACUAUACUCUUAUGAUAAAGAUAGACACAAAGUACAACACAUCGUAAAUAUUUUAAUUUAUUUUAUUAUUUGUCAUCCAUAAAAUCUAAAAAAAAUUACAUUUUCAGUUAUUAGGUUUGGAUGAAUAUAUGUAUUUAGUCUAUGAAUUUUAAAAGCAAACCUUUUUAGUGAUUGAAUUUAUAAGAAUAUACUCAUUUGGUUGCUGAUUUUUUAAAAAGUAUAUUUUAAUAUUGAGUUGAUUUUUUAAAAAGUAUAUUUUAAUAUUGAGUUUUUUAAGAACGAACAUCAAAUAAAUAAAUAUAUUUUUAGUAUUGAGUUUUCUAAGAACUAACAUCAAAUAAAUUUAUAGUUUUAUUUUAAAUAAUUAUAUGACAUGUUAAAUUAGAGAUCAUACUUUUUAAAUUUUAAAUAUCAUGUAAUUAUUUAUAAAAAAUCAAACAUAAAAUACGAUUAGAUAAAAACUUUAUAUUUUAAACACAAAUGCUAAUUGAAAAUAUAUAUUUUAAAAAUUCAUUAAUAAAGUCGGUCGACUCUUACAAAUGUGAGGAUUAAAAAAUAUAAAAAAGAGAAUAUACGUGGCAUCAUAUGAGAGGCUGGUGGGAGAAAGGGUCUAAGCGGGAAAUAAAAAUUUAAAACUCAAUAAAUUUAUAUAAAACACGGCGGCGGCUUCACGAGGGCUUCACACUUCACUCCCAUGGAGGAAGCCAUUUCUCGAAUUCUCACAGAGCUCGAAGAAUUUCGCCAUUUCGACCACUCUACAACUCUCCAUUCCCAUCCUCCGCUCUCCCAAUCCGCUCUUUUCGACCUUCAAACUUUGUUAGACAACUCAAUUAGUACCGAUGAACAACAACCACUCGAUCGUCUCUACGAGGACCUCUCGGCUAAAUCCCUCUCUCCUUCCUCUCUUACUCGCGCCAUUGCUUCCGCCAUGGAUGAAUCUUCCACCUGUGUUUCGGUUUUAGCCUCUACAGUCUAUCUCUCUCUUCUUUUGGCCUCUAAUGCACCGGUCUUCACGCUUUUCAAUCCCAUGGAUUUCCUCUCGUUUCUCAGGUGUGUGAGGAGAUUCUUGAAGCAGCGACCACAGGGUCAACAGGACCAGGAUGAUUCUAAUAAGGAGUCUAGUGCUCCCAAAAGGAAGAGGACAGCCGGUUUUAAGGGUAAGGGUUUGCGGAAACGUCCGAGGCAGAGUUCUAGUGGCAGAUACGAUGAUGGUGAAUUGGAUGCAAGAGUUUUGUAUCCCGUACUUGAGAGGUUAGAGAUUUUAAUGAGUGUAAUUCAUUUGGAUCGAUUUCCGGAUAGUUUGAAAUCUUUGAUUGAAACUGUAAUUGAUAUUCCUGUUUUAGCACUUGAAAUAUGUACCAAUUUAAGUAUCUAUAGUAAGUUCACUGAUUUUUGUUCGCGGAUUUUGAGUGCUAUGUUGCGUCCUGAGGAUGGGGAUCUAUCGAAUACUGCUGUUGAGGUGAUUAAGUCUCUAUCACCAUUGAUUCUUAAUCAUAAAGAUCAGGCGCGAGCGUUUGCGCUAGAGUUUGUGACUAUUCAAAUAGGGAAGGUGGCAAAGGAAUCAGAUGGUGUUAAGAGUGCUCUAGUGAAUCUUCCAAGGUAUUUGGUUCAGAAGGCGCCUGAGAAAUCUGAGCCUCGUAGUUUAUUUCCAGGUUUUGGAGGUAUGUCUAUGGCGCUGAUACUUGGUGGUAUUUUUCUUAUUUUUAUUUGUACCAGUUAAUCCUGUGAGCCGCUGUAAUGAUAUGCACCCAACUGAACUUUACUUUAAGCUGUGGGCAGUUGUGAUCUCACCAAUCUACUUAAGCUCUUAACAUUGGAAAUAAUUGAUUAAGUUAUUAACAAAUAACAGUUUAUGUUAUCAUUGGAUCCCUCGUGGAUUGAUAUUUGGAUCUUGGGCCUUUGAUAGGAUAGCAUACGAUGUAAUUCCUUAUUUUUAGAGGAUGGAUAAUAUAGAUUUUUUAGCAAUAACCUAGUAUUUGAAUGGCUGAAAUGAAUUUGUCUAUUAUAUAAUGAAAACAACAGAAACCCACUGUUUUGAAAACUUCUAAGAUUUUUCUUUUGGUGUUCUAAUCUCAAGCUUCUUUUUUGUUCAGGAACACAGACUUCCUCGUCUGGUUGGUCUUCCAAAGGCUUUAGAAAUGAUGCUGGUGAGAUUAGUAGCUCUUGCUUUUGAUUUUUGACACCUUGCUGUAGAAUAGCUUCAAUGGUCAUUCAUAUCUUUUGCUUAUUUCUGUACCUGUCUCUCUCAACUUAUCCAAACUUGCUACACUUGAACAGACAUCCAAGCCAGUCAAAGGAGAAGAAGCCUUUUCACUGGGACUCGUGGACGCCAUAGAGAGGAGAAAACCAUGGAUUAUCAGUCUUCACAAGACCAACAAGUUAGAGUCUCUUGCUGAUGCUAGGGAAAUAUUUAAAUUUGCCAGGGCUCAAGUACGGAAACAGGCUCCAAAUCUCAAGCACCCACUGGUUUGCAUUGAUGUUGUUGAAACGGGUGUAGUCUCAGGUCCCCGUGCUGGACUUCAGAAGGUUGUAUUUCUAAGGCAGCUAUUUUUUCUCAAGUAAAAGAAAGAUCCAAGCAUGAAAUAACCUUCCUGAAUUUCUUUUUUAUGCUUAUGGCAGGAGAUUGAAGAUUUUCAAGUACUACUGCAUGCUGAUACCAGUAAAAGCUUGAUUCAUUUUUUUUUGCUCAGCGUGGAACAACAAAGGUGUGCGAUGAAGAUUUACUGAAAAAUAAAUGAUCGCUUAAAAUAAUCUUUAUUUCAGAACCUGAAGUUCAGGAUAUAGAAAAAACAACAUCCACUGUUAAUACAUUACGAGGUUAGUCUUUUCUCUUAUGUUGAUAUUUCUUCUUUUUUUUUCAAAAUAUGACAGGUACCUGGAGUUUCUGAUCUUGGGUUGACACCGAGACGUAUUAAUAAAGUUGCUGUUAUUGGUGGGGGAUUAAUGGGAUCUGGGAUAGCUACAGCAUUGAUUCUUAGCAACUAUCCUGUGAUUCUUAAAGAAGUAAAUGAAAAAUUUUUGGAGGCCGGGCUUGGCAGAGUCAAAGGUAAGCCUGGAAUUUACUACUGUUGAUUGUAUUCUUGUUAUAUUCUAUCUGGCUUGUGUUUGACCUGUCAUUGUAAACAUGUUAGCCAAUCUACAAAGCCGAGUCCGCAAGGGGACAAUGACUCCAGAAAAAUUUGAAAGAACCAUUUCCCUACUCAAGGGUGUCCUUGAUUAUGAAAGUUUCAAAGAUGUGGAUAUGGUGAUUGAGGUAAGUCCCACAUCUUACUUCACCCACAAAAAGUAGCAAUCGUUCAUGUCAAUUUGGUAUGCUUGUAACAGGCUGUUAUUGAGAACAUCUCCCUGAAGCAACAGAUCAUCGUUAGCCACUUAGCCAUUGAGUUUAUGCUUCUAAUGCAGUCCAGCACACGUCAUGCCACCAUACCCAUAGGCCAUAACCCCAAAACUUAAAUAAUUUAAUUUCAAAUAUUGAAUGCGUGGUUUGAACUACUUUGUAAGUGUUUUUAAACAUGUUGAAACUCAUUUCUUUGACAUUUUAUACAUAUUCUUUAACUAUUGGUUAGUUCUUCUCAAAGACUACAAGAACCAAAUGGACAGUCGAUUAGCAACUUUAGAAAGAGCUCCUCUAUAACAUUCAAAAGUAUGAAUCAACCCACGAAAAGUCAACGGCUGUUGAGGCAGUCGACAAGAUGCAAAAGUCAAUUAUCAGAAAAUGAGCUGUCAGGUUAUUUUCUAUUGUUUUUCUCCAUCUUCUCCUCUGAAAUGUCACUAACGCAUUUCAUAGAUGUCAAACUCCUCUCUUGCUCACCAUUGAAUGGCCAUUACCAACACCUCACAAAUUUCUUGUGAGAUUUCAGUUUUCAGAACGAAUCAAGAUCCUCAUCUUGGAAGCCGCCAAUCUCCUUUUAUCAGGCACGACUCUCAUUUUCCCUCCUUUUUCAUCUAUCGUUUAUAUAUACAUUGUUAACAUGAUGAUGAUGAUGAUGAUGAUGAUGAUGUUUACUCUGGCUUACGGUUGCGAAAUUUGAUUGUGGAAUUCUCUUUUUCAGACAGAGGCCAAAUUGCUUCAGCCGUAGGAUUUUCCCUCCUGGUAAGGGCCUUGAUUCUGAUUAUUGGUCCUAGUCCACUCGGCUUACUUCUUUUCCGCGGUAUGGAUAUAGCUAUUGUUGACGCUGAGAGAGAGCAACUCUUUUCAGGGACCACCCCCCCGACCCUUAUCGCACCUCUCGUAUGACCUCCUUAUGUGGGUUCCUUACCCUCUUCUUUCAGCUCCCAGCGCUACACACAUGUCGCCUACUCUCAGGAACCGGCUAGCCUUCAGACCAAGACCUUGCUUAUUCCACUUGGAGUAUCUUGGCCCACCGAUCCCAUGCCAUCGAAUGCGACCAUUCAACCGAACUAGGUCCGAUUGCGCCAUUAUAGCGGUGCUAAAAAGUUAUGAAAUCUUCGUCCAUUCUCUGGGUUAAUAUGGAUAGUCAUCUGGACCCCUUAUAAUUGGGCACCGCGGAGUGGGGACGCAUUCGAUAGCAUGCUCUCUGGCCGUAUGUAUUCGUUUUGCACGGUCGUGGGUAGUCGCUAGUUCGUCUUAGUAUGGGCCCAAACAUCCAUAUCUGAGUAUGCUAGCUGGUCACACAGGCAGUGCCUUCUUCUAUCUAACUGAACGGUAAACCGGGAGGGCGCUGCCCCUCCCUAACCCCUUUUUGGACACGAUGACAUAACCUCCCUUUUAAGUAAGCGGCCUAAGGCCUACCACUUACCUGAAAGGGCCGAAAGUUUGCCCCAGGCCCGAAGGUUGGAAUUGACCCCCCAGUCGCUUCAAAACCUGUACCUCCCGCUUGAUCUUCCUUUCUCAUGCCAUCCCCGGAUCCAGCGAGUGGGCCCAAAAGUUCAGACCCCUAGACUCCACCUUUUCGAUUAUCUCUGAGAUGGUCAGAGCCUCGGUGACACCCAUCCCAGUGGGACUCAAACUCCCUGAGACCGGCCUUCUUGGGUGGAUUCCUUAGAUGCCAUCCUCGGGUACUGCAAUGAGGAGUAUUGCUUCGGUACAAGUUUAGCGCGACAACUAAAUUGAGGGCAGUCGAAUGCUCAGUGCUUACUUACGAUAAUCGAGAAAUCGAGAAAAUCAAUGGGAUUUCUUUCUUUUGGGGAAAGCUCUUGAGUUCUGUAAGAGGAAACCGCCUCUAAGAAGCAGAAGAUUGUCUUUGUAUUGAGAGCAGCCCAAAAAGAAUUCGCAAAAUGGGCGUGUUUCCGCUCCGCUUUCCUACGCCUUUAUAUAAGGGGUCGGGACUCCUAAUCCUAGGCCUUGAUUCCAUUCCCCUUGGAGGAGAGGGAAAUAGGGACUAGAUCCCAGGGACAGGAUAAUCAGGACUCCUUAUUCCUAAAAGGGCCGAAGCACGUAAUCGCCGGCCGAUUCGCCGACAAAGACAAAGAAAAGAAGAAUUUCAGUCCGAUUCUAAGACAAAGCAAGCGAUUCUUAGCCUUAAGAUCCUUCGGAUCGGUAUCGCCUUUGCCUUCUUUAUCUGGGAAAUUGCCCUUCUUAGUAUAGGGAUUAGUAUAGGGCCGGGGAAUGAGAAGACCCAGGGAAAGAGGAGAAUCUAGACCUCUAGAUACCUACAUCCGAGGGGCCGAGAGGGACUAAUAGUGGCUCGGUAUCGGCUUUGCCUUUUCCUUCUUUAUCCGGGAAAGGAGAAUAGGGUAUGCGGGUCCGAUACCCCUUAAGCCGAUAGGCACACUAAUCCGAUUCCUCUUCCUCUGACUCCCGACGGGGUUGGGGGGAAAGCCUUAAUUCCAUAUUCUUCCUCUUAGUCUUCCUUCCGGCCGGCCAAGGAAGCGAUUGGCCGAGAAAGAAGAAGAAGGAAAGAACCGAUUCUUAGCCCUUGACCGAGUGAGUUGUCCUCUUUCCUACGCCUUUAUAUAAGGGGUUGGGACUCGUAAUCAGCCUUCUUCUAUAUAUUCUUUGCGCCUUUCAUUCUUCCUCUAAAAAUGACAUAAUAUCUAAAGAGGAUCAUAUUCUUUUUUUAUGCCUCCUUCUGCAGAACCUACUAGUAAGAGGCCGACGGAGCGGUUAAAGGAAAAGGUUCGCCUAUCCCCUUGUUCAUUGAGGGACUCCUAAUUUUUAAUAGAAUGAAUGACUUGCACUCCUUUCUUCUUUUCCGCAAUAUUCUUUGCUCCGAUCAUGAAAAGAGCCGUCCGGAGGACCAUCAAAGAAAGGUCCAAGGUCCGGAGUCCGCAGUCCGCAGGAUUUAUCCGUAGUCCGGAGGACUUUCCGUAAUUAACCGAACUUUGCGCCUUAGUUAGUCUUAUUCUGAAAGUAUUAUUCCGAAAAAAAGCUGUUAAAUAGCUUAAAUAAGCGGUUCAAUUCCCACUCCUAAAAUCAAAGCUCCAGAUGAGUUGACAAAGGUUCAAAGAAUGAUCGGAGUCUGCGCUUUCUUUCAUAACUGAGCCGAGAAUGAGGCUGGCAUAGUUGUCUCUCGCAUGCAAGGAGAUGCUGCUGCUGGAUGUCACGGUUCUGGGGCGCCAUGAUCCUUUUCUCUGGAACAAGAGAGGCGCAAAGAAUAUUGCGAGACAAAUGCCCAAAUAAAAUCAAAGAGGUAGGGACUUCAUCAAUCAUCGCUCAGUGAGCUAUUUAUUGCCGCCAAUAGCGCUUCGCUUGCACGCCAGCGCCACGCCUGGUAGAGCUAUCGCGCGCGGGCGAAGGAGAUGCAUUUUGAGUACUGGUAGUACUGGACAAGCUCAGAGGGAAUAAUCUCUUUCUUCUUUCUUCCUUUCUUUCCCAUGACGACUAGGAACAGGCAAAUUAAAAAAUUUCACUUCGAAUUCCGGACCUCAACAUCCUGCUGCUCAUGGUGUUUCACGAUCAGUAUUGGAAAUGAACGGAGAAGUGGUGGAACGUGCGGAACCCCAUAUUGGAUUACUCCAGUGCGGCACGAAGCCGCUGACGCCGAGUCGGCUCCUAUGCCGCUAGCUAUGCCCUGCUUGGUCCCUCGACACGGUGGAGGUUCCGUAGCGCGUCAUGAGCACCGGGCUAAGGGGCGGUUUUUCUACUCAAGCGAACCGCCCUACCUUACUACAACAUAGGGACAGAAGGGAGAAGGUUGUGAAGGUGGCCUCGUUAUCCACACCUCUGGUCGGAUGAAUGGAGGACCUCCAAGAAAAAAGCCUAGGGUUUGAAUGAGCGUUGGCGGGUCCUGGAGUGCCUGUCAAGGGCUCCCGCGCAUACCCCGGGGUGAUCAUCACCACCUGCACCUCACAUCUCGGCACAGUGGAACGUGUAACCCGCCUGCUGUCUCAUUCAACUACAUUUGUUCGUUCCUAUAAUCCAUAGCCUAAGAUCAGGCAGCAGCGAGGGGCAACCUGCCCAUACAGCCAGCGGGGAGGAUGGCACUACUGGCAAAGACCGUCUGGCGAAAACGCCGCAGGCGCGAAGCGUGGUAGGCCUGCGCCGGGGGGAGCAUAGCAUAGGCGGGAAAGGGAGCCCGGACGGUGGAAGAGCCAGGGGAGGCCGGGUCAUUUGACGGAAAUGGAAGGCUUUUCCCCUAUUUUCAAAGGCCUCAUUCAAGGUUAUGUCUGGUCGAAAGAUCUUUAUGGAAGUGCAUCAAUUCUUGGAAAAAGAGUGAAUGUCUAAUCUUUCUUUGGGUCCUCCGUUUUAGAGUCCUACGGAUAAAUCCUCGGACCAGUUCUUCCCGCUAUUUAUGGAUGUUCAUUGAUCCUUAAUAGAAAGCCGAGCCUUUAAUUCUUUGCACCCGUCCUCCGUCCUUAGUCGUUCUUUAUAUCCAUAUUAGCUUAGCUUUCUGCGCCUGAGGACGUCCGAAGGACUCUAAAAAGGAGCGUUCUAAUGGAAUUCAUAUUCCAAUAUUCUUUGCGCCUAAUCUCAUUCAUUCAAUAUUCUUUUCACCUUCGGUAAACUUUAGCGGAAUCCUUGAGUCCUCCGGACGGACCGGACCACUAUUUCUCAAAUUCUUUGAUCCUCUUGACUUGUCUUUCCUAUAAAAGAUAAGAAAGUCCAUUCAAUGAAUAGAUCUCUUUGAAAGGGUACGAGAGAGAGCGCUGCCUACACGCGAAUUAGCUUCCGAGGUCAAGCAGUCUCAAUAUUGAACUACAGGAUUGAUUUGCGAAUUCAUGCUGGGCUGGGCCACCUCGAAUGGCGUGAGCCGCAUGCGGGGAGACCCGCACGUACGGUUUUUAGGGGGAUCUGGUCGAAAGACCGGCGCCCACCCGACUAGAGGGACUGAGAAAUUAAUAGAGUACAAAACUUAUCUUCAAGCUUUACCUUAUUCUGAUCGUUCAGAGGGCGAUCGCGGAGUCACUGAAUGAAGUCCUCCCUUUCUUUCGGAGGUGCUGACCCGCAGCGAGGCAGAGAUGACUAAGUUACAUAUUCCAUAUGGCGACGACAACAGCAUGUCGUAGAAGGAGAUAAGAGGUGGAGCCAACGACCCACUAAGACUAACGUAUCUACAACUACAUCCCCGAGCGGCAGUCAAACGGAGGCGUGAAUGCAAGAUGCCAGCGGAAUGAUCGGUCGGACAGAGGCUAGGGCUGCUUUCUUCCCACCGCGUCCUUCCUUGUGUGUCGGAGAUAUAAAGCGAGUGCACCGGAAAAGAAGGGGAACUGGGUUGAUCUAUUCUAUGGCGAAGCAUCCGAAGCAUAACUGCACACUCACACGAUCUUUGCCGAGAGAUAGGAGCAUUCGGUGGAACCGGUGAACUACACUUGCUUCUGGAUAGAUGUGUGGGACAGAGGGCUCGUGGUACCUGCAGCCCACCCUUCCUCCUCUGCUUUGAGAACCGUAUGAACGGAGAGUGGGCAGAAGGGAAAGAGGUCCUCAUACGGAGUCGCACACUGACUUUUUCUGUGCGGGAGACUGGAGAAUGGGUCGAGUAAACUCCCCCGGGGCCGGCCGGCAAAAUCACAGACUCAGUGCUAUUUCUUUUUUCUUUAUUGAAUUUCAAAGGAGGCGCAAAGAAUAUUGCGAGGCAGAGGUAGUACUUCGAAUGGCGAAGAGAGGCGGCUCGGCAAAGAAGGAAUGGGAAAGAUUCUGACUUCUUUGUUGGCGAAACGAAGGGCUAAAUUGCGCCAUUCUCUGAGCCGGUCUGGAUUUCCAAUGCCUCGGGAAAGAGGUCGAUCUCGAUGACAAGACCUUUUUCUUCUUUAUUGGGUGCCUUCUUUUAGAAGUAGUCGGAAAGAGAAAGCCUAAAGAAGGAAUUGCAUGAAUGAUCGAGGAUUCAAGUUCCAUAAAUCAGUCCAAGGCUCAAAGAGGUUAAUAUGGAAGGUGAAAAGUGGUUUUCAAAGUCAGAGCUAUCCCUUAUUAUUGAGGGCUUUGACCACCUGGACACUCGCCUACUCAGUCGCAAGGAUCAAAGAAUUUGAUUGACAAAGAAUAUUGCGAUUUUACAGACUCAAGAGGAUCAUAGAAUUUGAGAAAUAGGCAGUCAUAAAGGCUCAGUUAAGCUUGAUAAAGGACUCCUUCGCCCAUCCAUAAACAUAAAUAAAUAGAGAGAGGCUCAAAGAAUUUGAGAAAGCCUACCAUAAAUCAGUUCGACUAUCCUGGGAAGUCGCGCUUUGCUUACCGGCUCAGGCUUCCAAAGGCGACCAGCUUGAAAUACCUUUUCUUACGUUACGCUGCCAUUGAUUUUUCCAAUCUCAUUGAAUAGCAUGGCCUGGGGUAACUUAAGUGGGAGAGCCGUGUUAUGGGUGACCUUAUUGCACGGUUCAGAGAGCACUUGUGUAUGUGAUGCAAGUGAACGUGUACGAAAAAGCUGUAGGAAAGUGAGUUCUUCGUUCCGUCGUCGACCCUAUCUAUGUUUCUACGAUGGCCCAAGAACACGCUCAUUCUUCAGCUGUAGAGAGACUUUUGAAUUGCGAGGUACCAUUACGAGCUCAAUAUAUACGAGUCUUAUUCCGUGAAAUCACUCGAAUUCAAAUUCAUUCACUUGCUUUAACUACUCAUGCUAUGAUGUGGGAGCAUCAACUCCGUUCCUGUGGGCUUUUGAGGAGCGGGAGAAAUUAUUUGAAUUCUAUGAAAGAGUCUCGGGAGCCAGGAUGCAUGCCAGUUUCAUACGACCAGGUGGAGUGGCACAAGAUCUGCCUCUUGGCUUAUGUCGAGAUAUUGAUUCCUUCACACAACAAUUUGCUUCUCGUAUCGACGAAUUAGAAGAGAUGUCAAUCGGCAACCGUAUCUGGAAACAACGAUUAGUGGAUAUUGGUACUGUCACUGCACAGCAAGCAAAGGAUUGGGGAUUCAGUGGUGUAAUGUUAAGAGGUCGUGCGACAUGAAGACAUUGAUAGCAAUAUGGGGGAAGUUCCCAUCAGGCAACAAGGGUUCUGCCUGACCCUACUUAAGCAUGCAUAUUAUGUCAGUGAAGACUUGGUGUGAAGCCUUGGAGCUUACGUUAGAAGAGCAAAAGGCCCGGGGCUAGGGUAAGCUGAGGGGGGACAGCGUAAGUGAGCGAAUGUGUGUAAGCCCAGUCAAAGAUGACUGUUCUAGGCGGGGCGGGCCACCCACCUGAGAAUGGUCUUGGUCCUACGGACCGUGAACGGAUUCGCCUCUGGCCUCUGGGUACGUCUCCACCGCAUAAGUUCACCGGGGUGGAGCACGGUCCGCCAAAAUCGGCAUAGGUUAGGUGCUAUUGAUGGAACAUGGUAAGCCUAUCUUUCUCCAUAUGGAAGUGCUGCGGGCACAUAGAGAUGUGGGUAGAGGAAGCCUCAAAAAGCGAAGGCCGAGCUGUAGGUCACGUGACCUGCACCGAGUUGGUGGCUGACUGGGCUUUUUCCUAGAUCAAAGCGGAGAAGCGAGCCUAUCCAAAAGUCGAUCCCAAAAACUUUAGGGUUCUUCUCGUGUAAUGGGCUUGCUUUGCGCAACUGCGCCCCACUUUAGGAAUUUGGUGUCCAUUUAAAGUCUAAUCUUUCACUCAAAUUUCAUUCAGCCUCAUCCAUUCAAUAUUCUUUUCACCUUCGGACUGUCCGAAGGACAGACGGGUCCUCCGGACCUGUGACGCCUUCGCACCUGGAAGUCGCUUCGCUUCGCGCCUCCUACAAUAUCCCUGUCUUAUGGAGCCGGAGGACGGACCAAAAAAUAGGCGAAGCGAGACAGAAAGAAAGCAUAGGAGGAAGAGCCAUAGGCGCAGCAGCUAGAAGAAAGCAUAGGAGGAAGAGCCAUAGGCGCAGCGCUUGUGAUUAGAAUCCCAGUCAAAAGAGAAAUCAGCCUUUUGCCUUGGGAAAGAGAGAACUAAUGAGAAUGAAACUGGAAGUCUGACUCACACUUGAGAAAUUCAUGUGUCUCGCAAAUGAGAGAGGAUGUAGUAGGUCCAUGAAUGAAUUGCCUUUUCUCCUAGGCUUUCCUUUCCAAUCCCUAUUUUUUUCUUUAUGAAUGAAAAAAGAAAGGCUGAAUGAAAUUUGAGUUUGCGCCUUCUGACUUUAUCAAGCUUAACACAUCUACAUUGAAUUAUAAGGCGCAAAGAAUAUUGCGAAGCGAAGAACAAAAAUCAGGCUCAAUGCAAGAAAGCAAAGAACUAAAAAGAAAGGUCCAGAUGCGUCACAGGUCCUCCGGACUGCGACUGAGGCGCAAUGAAAUAUGCGUUCAGGAUCAAUUCAAAGUUCAGCGGGAAGAACUGGUCCGAAGGACUAUCCAGAUUAACCCAAAGAAAGAUUGACCUAGAAAGAGAGGACCGUAGGAGGCUCAAAGAAUGAUCGGAGUAGGUGCAAAGGAUACUGCGAAGGCGCAAAGAGCUCAGAAUUUUCUCUUUUUAUCCACCCCAUAAAUCAAGUCCAAAAAAUAGGCGUCCUUCGGACUAGUUUUUUAGCAUCAAAAUUCAAUUCUCCCAACAUCGUUCGUCUUCAUGUCUUUCUGGGAGUCGAGGGCUCUUCACUUUCAUUCAGGUCUUUCCUUAUUCCCUUUUUGAAUGCAUGAGACAUGAAAAGAAAGAAAGCCUCAAGCAGAACCACAUUCCUUUUGCGUGCGGAUGUAGCUAAGUGUCUGACCCUUGUUUGUGAUUCCCUGCUGUUGCGGCCUAUCCUAGAAUGCGCGUGAACCAACCCAAGAAAGAAGGAAAGGAUGCCUCUCGGGGCAUCUGAGAAUGAUUAGAGCUGUAUGAAGGGAAACUCUCACGUACAGUUUCUUUUUUUUGGGGGGGGAAGGAGCCCGACAGGGUCCCCCCACUGACUUGGCCCGGGCCUAAGUGAAAGUGAAGUGGUGGGCCUACCCAUCCCAACCAGGGGUAUGCUGGGAUUUGCGAAGAGCAGCACCUUACGAUGUUCAUGACCAAUUGGAACUGACGUACCAGUAGGUACCGGAGGAGAUCGCUAUGAUCGUUUACUGUAUCCGUAUCGAGGAGAUGCGACAAAGUGUUCGGAUCAUUGUGCAAUGUCCUAAUCAAAUGCCUAGUGGGAUGAUCAAAGCCGAUGAUCGUAAGCUAUGUCCUCCAUCACGAUCUCGAAUGAAACUAUCCAUGGAAUCGUGUGCCGUGUGAAACGUAGAUCAUCGCCGUUCUUAACCGAGACUCAGGUUAAGCUCCGUCUCGGAACCUUGUGGGGUUAGAAGUAAAGCAUCCGGAGGUUGACGCAUCUCGUUGGGCGUGGAGAAACAUUGGGAACCAAAAUAGCUUUCUUCGGAGCCGUUUCUUCUCCUCCCCCCCCCGGCAUAGCGCUUCGCUUUCGGUGAUUCUUCCGAAUCAACUGACUUCUCCCUUCUUCAUUGAUCUGGGGGAAAAGGAACCGUCUACCUGUUGGGAAGCUAGACAUUCAGUAAGUGGCUUGAUGAGGAUAACUAAGCUGACACGCCGGAGUUGGCUGCUGGCACAACUGGGUGGUGCCUUACCGCACCGCAGGUUCACGCGCGGUAGCGUUCGUGGUGGUGCUUCAGGAUUCCAAUGUACUGCAUCCAAGAUCAGAACGAGCUUGCCGGCGGACCAUUGCCGUCCCAUUCUUGAGUGAGCUGGAGCGCAACCAUCUUAUCCACUGAACUAGCGUUAAGCUAUUGCUUCGGGUCGAAGCACUAAAAGAAAAGGACCAGGAAAGGCGGCGGUAUAGGAACCACGGGACCCCCCCCCACUAGUCUAUUAAAGGGAAAAGAGAAGUGCGCUCCUCUCCUGUAAGUAAAGCAGCUUCGCACCUCUCAAGAAAUAAGAAGAGCAGCUAAAAGGAAGGAAAGAUCGAAUUCAGAGAUCAUUCAACUCUCUUUCAUACUCUCUCUCUGUUCCGCUACGUGGGCUUCCUCUUUCUUGGUCGAGCUGCUGUCAAUAUUCUUUUCACCUGCGCACCUGCUUCAAAAGCCCUUUACCCUUUGAAUAAUAAGGUCAGCUUCAUAGUUCCAACCUAGAUAAGGCUUUUUUAUGCCCUUUUUUAGGUUGGGUUGCUGGAUACGGGAUCCUCGUAGUAGGCUUGACCAAGAUCCAGCCGAGAGAGGGCAGCCUUUAGAAGGAAGAGGUUGGGAAAGCAAGAGAAGGCUGAGCCUUUUCUUAUCUUUUUCCCUAGGCUCGCCCCUCUCCCUAUGAUCGAGUCUCUUCGCCCUCUCCUUACAGUCUCAAUCAAAUCCUUUGACCCUCUCCUUACAGAAAAAAAAGAGUGAUUUGGAUUAUUGACCCAAUGAGAAAGCACUAACAUCUUCCUCGUUGGGGCUUCGCGCACUGGGAAGAGGCUAAGGCGACGGGAAAUCGGCCGUCAGUCUGAGGAAGCCCACGGAGCGGUAUCGAGAGGGCUAUCACAGUCAGGUGGAAAUUACCCCGUACCCCUCUUUCAUUAUUAUGUUAGGGGGUUGAGGCGAGAAAUGGCUUGAUUCACCCUUCCGUUCGCCACGCACCGGCCCCAUUCACUUGCUUAUCGUAGAGGGACUUGCUGUUGCUGUUGAAGUAUACAGUGCCCUGCUGUUGCUGCUAUUGACGGACUUGCUUUGGGUGGAGGGUUAGAGGUCGCUAUUGUAUGUCUUAGAACUUCUUGUAGACAAUUAAAUCUUUAAAAUCAUUGUUUAAAAAUAUUUUAUAUUAUUUUGGUUUGUAGGCAUGCCAUGCACGAUUAUCAACCAAAACUGCACAGUUAGGAUUACCUGAACUUCAGCUUGGUUUAAUUCCAGGUUUUGGAGGUAUGUCUAUGGCGCUGAUACUUGGUGGUAUUUUUCUUAUUUUUAUUUGUACCAGUUAAUCCUGUGAGCCGCUUUUAUGUCUCUUUCUGGCCGUUUUUAUGUCUCUUUCUGUUGACUUUAUUAUUCUCUCAUUUAUGAUUUAACAUCUCAUAUGAAUUAUUAUGUGUAUCUUGCAUGGGAUAUUUUGCCACUUUGUGCCCAUAAAAAUCAACACUUGUCUUUCGGUGUAUAGGUCAUAAGUGGUCACUUUGGGUGGUAAGGACCGUUGCAUUUGAUCCAAGUAACAUGUGGUUUUGUACUGAUUCAGCAGAUUGUACAAUCAAGGUACUUAUUUUUAAAAUUAUUCAAUAUGAAUGAAUUCCAUUUUGGUCUGUCGAAGCGGGCCAUAUAUAGGUUCCAUCGUUUUUGCCCUUUGAUAACAAUCGUUAUCUUUGAGUUUUCUGCUCCUGAAAAUUGAAGUAUCAUUUAUUUAUGAUAAUUGUAGGAGCAUGUUUCUUCUUCCUAGAAUAGCGUGACACGAAAUAAAUGAUAGUAUGGUUGAUACGAGAUUUUUCUUCUAGGGCUAGUACAAUCCAUGAACUCUCUGGGCAUGAAACACCGUUUGCUCAUUUUAAUGGACCAAUUGUAUCCUUUUCUCCCUCUGAUCUUUCCUUCCGAUAUCUUGGUCAUAUUAGUUUCUUUCAAUAAAUUUUUUACUCGUGUGGUGUAGUUCUUUUAGAUAAUUUCCCUUUGAUUCUACAUAAGAACCUAUUUUCGUGCUUUUGUAAUUAUCAACUUUGUAUCAUUUCCUUUAGACUGGAGCAGUACAUCAGACAAUCAAAAUAAUUGAUAUUCCAAUAUUGUGUAUCUUUUGUGCUCAGUUCUCAGCAGAAGACUUAUCAAUAUAAUGUCUGUCAAUGAAGAGGGUGUUAUGGUGAUUGGAGGUGCUUUUUUUUGUUUGGGGAGUUGACAAAAUUGUAAACUGAACCCCAUGUGUUUCAUUUUUCUCCUCAUUGGCCAGAAUUUUGUCAACUCCCCAAACAAAAUCCUGGCCGAUGAGGAGAAAAAUGAAACACAUUGGGUUCGAUUUACAAUGAUUUUUCUUAAUGAUUGUUGGAAGAACAAAGAGAUUUAAGGGUAACAAAAAGAAUGGAAGAAUGUUAAAUCCCCAAAGACUAAAUGGCCAAUUGAAUGCUUAAGGAAGUUUGAUUUGCCUGUUUUAGCAGCUUUUUUAUGUAAAUGUUGUAGAAAGAGUAGAACAAGGACAUAAUUCUCUUUUUUUUCUCUUUACAAAGUAACCAAUGACUUAAAAGAAAGACAUUGCACACUAAAUGCCCAUUAGAAAACAAUAUACAUCGAAAAGAAUAAAAAAUAUGCAAAAAUUCAAAAUGAAAGUGCAAGCAGAACAAAACGGACUUGGUUCACCAUGAACAGAUAGAACAAGCUCCAAAACGGAUUUUGAGUAGAAUUCCGUCUCAGAUUUGCAGUCUCCAGGUUUUCCAAAACGUUCCUAAGAAAGAAUCAGCACAACCCACAACUUUAAAUUCUUCAAAAACAAUGAAAUUAACUCAAAGCAGAAAAAAAAAAAGACAAAAACUCUAACCAAUGAUAACAAAAAAAUAAACCUUAACCUUUGAUCCUUGCAAUCCAUUUGGGGGUUCAGCACUGGACUUGAUCGAGAACAAUCAGCUCCCACCGCAGGUUUCUGCAUGGACGAUGAUUUUUCGAGGAGGGAAAUCAAAUUUUUGGAAAUGGGUAGUAAAGAAAAAUAAGGUUGAAAAGAUUUUGUUUGGAGAGUGGGCAAAAUUCUAGCUGGUGAGGAGAAAAGAAAAGACAUGGGGUUCAGAUUCGAGGGAUUUUUCUUAAUGAUUGUUGGAAGAACAAAGAGAUUGUGAGGAGAUUUAAGGGUAUCGCCACGAAUGGCAAAAUGUUAAAUCACAAAAGACUAUUGUUUUCUUGCUUCUUUAUGGAAAUGUUGUAGAAAGAGUAGAACGAUGACAUGGUUCAUUUGUUUUUCUAUUUACAAAAUAACCAUUGACUUAAAAGGAAAGAAUUUGCACCACAAAUGACCAUUAGAAAACAAUAUACAUAAGAAAGAAUAAAAAAUACGCAGAAAUUGAAAAUGAAAUUGAAAGUUGAAAAUAAAUGGAAGGAAGAAAAAUACUCCAAAAGUUCCAAAUGCAUUACGAUCAAGAGAAAUUUGUAUCAACAUGAACUGAUCAAAUAAGCUCCAAAAUGAUUUUGCAGUGGGAUUCCGACUCAGAUAAGCAGUCUCCAGUCUUGCCAAAACGUUCCUAACAAAGGAUCAUCACACCCAUAACUUUAAAUUCUUAAAAAACAAUGGAAUUGACUCAAAGCAGAACAAAACGAAAGAAAAACUCUAACCAACGAUAAGAAGAAAAUAAACCUUCACCCUUGAUCCUUCCAAUCCAUUUGCGGGUUCAGCACUGGACAUGAUCGAGAACAAUCAGUUUCCAGCUGUAGGUUUAGGCAUGGACGAAUAUCUUCCAAGAAGGGAAACGAAUUUUAGCGAAGUUUGAUCUACCUGUUAGCAGUGUUCUUGUUUUUGUACGGAAAUGUUGUAGAAAGAGUAGAACGAUGAAAUAAAUCACUUUGUUUUUCUCUUUACAAAGUAACCAAUGACUUAAGACGAAGACAUUGCACAACAAAUGACCAAUAGAAAAUGAUACGCAAUAGAAAAGAAUAAAAAAGAAAACAAUAUGCAUUUUUGUUUUCAAAUUCUUGGUCAAAUCGCAAUUCAGAAAUGAAAUUUGGUUCAUUAUCGACGAUAAUAUGGUGAACUAAAUAACAUAAGUUUCAGAGUCAUGGGAGAAUAAUAACCUUGCUAAUUGCUCAAGCUCUGAAUGUGAAGGCUUUUCCCAUGUGAAGGAACCCAAAGAACCAGCAAAAGCAGCAUGCUUCUUCCCAAUGCAAGAACAUUCAGUGUAUCUUCUGAUUAUGUCCUGAAUGCAGUAGGAAAAAUGAUAUGAAGUUGUAAUUCAAGCUAAGGUUUUGUUGCAUAAACCAAAAACUUAGAUGGAUAAAACACAAAAUGCAUCAUGUUCCUACCUUAUGCCUACUACAUUGCUAACAAUACACUUACUGCACUCUCAGAGAAGGAACCAGAAAUGGUUCUUGAUGAUCUGUUAAAAUCUUUUGAUGAAAAUGUAAUUAGUGCAAAGAGCGUUGAUGAUUCUAAAACAGAGGCACCUCAUGCUAACUCGGAUGUGCAAUGCUUCUCUGAAGAUGAAAAAGUAAAUGAAGUUUCGAAAGAUGAUGAUUCUGUGGAGAUUUCUGCUGAGGAAAUCAAUGAAUCUGACAAAUCUUCUCUGCCUACUGAAGACUUGGAUGUUACUGAAGUUCACAAAUCGAGCAUUGCAGAAGAAUUUGGUAUGGAAUUUGAAUCUCAACAAAAUGAGUCUACCUGUGAAUUAGAACAUAAAAUUGAAGAAGAUGUUGAAGAAGAAAACACACGUGAAUAACUCUGCUGAAGAACUGUCUCUUCCCCACGAAAAUGUGGAAGAAGAAACUGAAGUUGAUGGAGAUGAUGCCUUGAGCAGUGAUGAAGAAUCUUUGGAAGUGAAAGACGAUCAAGAUGAAAAUGAUCAGAUCCCACAACCGGAAAUGUAGCAUCAGAUGCUGACAUUGAAGGAGACAAGAAGGAAACAAAAAUGGAGAAAAGUUCUGUUCAAGCUAAAGAAGAUGAUACAAUUAUCAAUAAGUCCACGGAGGAGUUCCCUGAGAAUGUUUCUGAUGAUUUGGUUGAUGUCAAGAUCCAAUGGAAAAUGGAAGAAGAAACUGUUCCUAAAGACAUAAUUGUCGAAGCUAUCGACUCACAACCAGAAAUCCCAAAUGCCAUUGUUCAAUGUGAGGAAGCUUUGGUGGAAAUCACUAUCACAUCCUCCAACAACAAUGCAGUUCAAUCAUUGGCAAACCAAUUCCCUAGGCCAACAAUAGAAGCCAAAUCUCCCGUUGAAGAACAAACCAUUAGUUUGCUAAUGGACAACCCAGAUGCUGAGGAAGAAGAAGCUGAAAAAGAACAGAACAAAGCAAAGUUCAUUCAGUUAGUGGUGAAGAAUGAUAAUACUAGCCUAAGGCAGCUGAGGAAGUUGUUCAAGGAAAAACUCCAACUUAACCAUAAGAAGAUGGAAAAUAAUAACAUCAACACAAAAGUUGUUGGAGGUGGCGUGAAAGUGAGAACUGCUUUACAACUAGUGCCGGAAAACAGAAUGACCGUGCAUUAAAAGUCUAGAAAGAGAGAGCAUUGUGCAUGGUUCAAACUGUGGUUUGCCUCACGUUAUUGAUUUUGUGUUUGUUUUAUUCUUUCCAUGAUGUAUUUUGAGAGGAGGGAAAAAUGAGGUAAAUGAUUAAUUUGUCUGAAUUUUUGUUCAUCAGUUCAAUAAUAAAAAUGCUAGUAGUUUGUGUUUUAAAAAAAACAAUACACUUACUGCAGCACCAAGAUACAGGUUGUAGCCAAAUUUCAGGAAAAAAAUAUAUAUUCAGAUUUUUGCAUAUCGAGAAUUUGGUGAAACGCACCUUGAGUUUAUUUACUCAACUAAUCCACGAGAAUUUGUGAUAUGAACACUCUUGGCAGAGGUCCAUUGACUCCAUCACCAUCAUCAGCAGCAUUAGAAAUGGAGGGAGGUGAAAACCAAAAUGCUUUCAACUUUUUGGCUGGGAAUGAUAAUUCUUCUUUUUUACCUAAGCGGCUGGCUUGGCUCCCUCUUUUUUUUUCUCGCUCCCUCUCUAAAGGUUGCCAUGCUGGGUGAAGAACUUUAAGUACCUACUAGGUGGGGGUCGGGUUUUGCUUAGGCAAGAAAAGCAGAGAGGAUCCCCACGAAAAAUCUGAAACCGGGGGGAUCUCGGCGCGCAUUUUACUUGAUCUAAGCGGCUGGCUUGGCUCCCUCUGUUUUAUCUCUCUCCCUCUCUACCGGCUGCCAUGCUUGGUGAAGAAAAAUCUAAGGACCUACUAGGCGGGAUCAGGUUUUGCUCAGGCAAGAAAAGCGGAGAGGAUCCCCACGAAAACUCUGAAACUGGGGGAUCUCGGCGCGCAUUUUACUUGACCUAAGCGGCUGGCUUGGCUCCCUCUUUUUUUUCUCUCUCCCUCUCUACCGGCUGCCAUGCUGGGUGAAGAACUCUAAGCACCUACUAGGCGGGAUCGGGUAUUGCUUAGGCAAGAAAAGCGGAGAGGAUCCCCACGAAACUCUGAAACCGAGGGAUCUCAGCGCACAUUUUACUUGACUUAAGCGGCUGGCUUGGCUCCCUCUUUUUUUUCUCGCUCCCUCUCACAGACUGCCAUGCUGGGUGAAGAACUCUAAGUACCUACUAGGCGGGGGUCGGGUUUUGCUUAGGCAGGAAAAGCGGAGAGGAUCCCCACGAAAACUCUGAAACCGGGGGAUCUCGGCGCGCAUUUUACUUGAUCUAAGCGGUUGGCUUGGCUCCCUCUUUUUUUCUCUCUCCCUCUCUACCGGCUGCCAUGCUUGGUGAAGAAAUCUAAGGACCUACUAGGCGGGAUCGGGUUUUGCUUAGGCAAGAAAAGCGGAGAGGAUCCCCACGAAAACUCUGAAACCGGGGGAUCUCGGCGCGCAUUUUACUUGACCUAAGCGGCUGGCUUGGCUCCCUCUUUUUUUCUCUCUCCCUCUCUACCGGCUGCCAUGCUGGGUGAAAAACUCUAAGGACCUACUAGGCAGGGUCGGGUUUUUCUUAGGCAAGAAAAGCGGAGAGGAUCCCCACGAAAACUCUGAAACCGGGGGAUCUCGGCGCACAUUUUACUUGACCUAAGCGGUUGGCUUGGUUCCCUUUUUUUUUUCUCUCUCCCUCUCUACCGGCUGCCAUGCUGGGGAACUCUAGUGACCCACUAGGCGGGGGUCGGGUUUUGCAACCCUUAGCAGCUUGGUCGUAUUGUUUUGUUUUUAUCGACUGUUCUGUUGGGUGAAGAACUCUAAGAACUUGCCGACUUUACUUUCUACCUGACCUAAAAUCAUAUUUUGCUUUCAAACAAUCUUAUACAAAUGUGUAUGGCCAAAAGAGGGAUUUAAAAUUAAUAUAAAAAAGGCAUUAGAAUAUGGCAAAAAAGGGAUUAAAUUGAGAUAAAAAAGAGAACCGCACAUAUUAUUAUGUACACAAUUCACAAUAUUCAGAAAAUGAACCAAGUGUUCUACUCAUUUCUAAGCUAUCAACAUAUGCAUUUUCAACAUGUGUAACAUAUUCAAAUAACAAAUACAAUCACAAAUCCGAGCUCCGUUCUCAUGCGUUAGGCAUACAUGCUUUUUUAUGCUAAAAAGCGAAGUAGACAUGGUACUUAUUCUAAGCAUAGAGCAUUACAAAAGUUUCUAAAUUUUGACAUUUUUAGCAAAAUUUGCAAAAUGAAAAUUUCCCAAAGGACAUGGAAUGUGCAAGGCUACAACCCCACCCCCCACUUAAAAAUAUGCAUUGUCCUCAAAGCAUUUUAAGCAAGAUUCUACGGAUGGAAAAAAAGAAAAGAAAAAGGAGAACAGAAGACCUCCCCUUGUAACCUAGUUUCUUCAUGGAAGCUUGCUUGCAAAGAUCCCAAGUUUGGUUAUAUUUCAUUUUCCUUUAUUCCUACAAAAGAAAACAAGAAUUUCCAUCGAAUUUUAUUAAAAAGGUUAAACUAAAAUUUUAGAAAAAUGUGCAGAAUUGUUUAAGCUCGGUUGCAUUUUCUAAGCAUCACUUGAAUUAUUAAAACGACCUAACAAAUAUUCAAUACAAGUUCGUAAUUCAUAACCUACCAAAAAGUUCAAAAAGAUUGUUGUAGGUGUUCCACCAAACCUUUUGUAAAUUACAUACAUCAAUAAACUUACUUCUUAUAAGGGGGGAAGAAACUAUGUUUUAGGGACAGAUGGCUCUAAAGCACACAAACACUCUCCAUCUCACUCUCUAUCUGCCCUGUAUCUAAUUUAAUCCAGCAUUCAUUUGGGGCAUUGUAGGUUCAUAUUAAAAAAUAGUCAUUCAUGUCGUGAUGCAAAGGCCCUUUUUAUGUAUCUAGAACUAAAAUCACGAAAAUCAUCGUGGACAUGCAGCACAACAAACUGAAUAUCCAUGGGAAGCCUUUGCUAACAAAAUGGUUGACAAUAAUUACUCAGACAAGAGAGAAUGACUAUAAUUAAUUAACAGAAGUACAAAUCAAUAUAGGUGCACAACCACCAAGCCCCCAACAAAAGGAACAAUAAACUUCAAUAACAAAAGAAAGGUAGUAUCAGGACUAUCCUUACCUUGUUAUCGAAGAAGAUACCUUGGCUCUGGAAAGCCCGAUGCUCUGCCUUACAACAUUCAAUUACCUCAGUACUGUAGUGUUUCUUCAAAGUUUGGGAAUCUACCUAAAACAUAAAAAUAUAUAUUACAACUUGAAAACCUCCAUGUCAGAAACUUUACUUUAAUUAUCAAACCAGAUGCUAUGCAAGAAUUAGUUAGCAGAAACACAACAUAAAUAGUAAUGAUAUUCUUUGGGGUGGGGAUAAAAGCAUCUUUCAUCUUAGAAAUAAGCUUAGCAGUUAGCACUAACCUUUAUAUAAGAAGUUAACACCAGUUUGAUUACUUCAUAAACUUCAGCUACGAAAUCUGGUAAAGAGAAAGACCUAAUUCAUAAUGUUAAAGAGGAAAAGACCAAGUCAGAUUCCUUUAUUCAAACAGGUUAGUAUCACAUCUCCAAAGGAAAAAACUUACGGACCUCUACGACGAAUUUCCUUGAAUGAUGUAGCGCCACCUUGUUCUUGAAACACAGUUUCAUUUAUGCUGUGAAAAAUAAGAUUGAAAAAUAAAACUUUCGGCUACAAUUAGCCACAUAAACAUAAAGUUGUGACAGGAAAACAAAAGCUAACAGAUAAUUAACUAUACACUUUGUAGGCAAAAUACCAAAUAGUGUGCGGUUUAUCAUUUCCAACCAAAUAAUUCAAUAACAAAUAAGGUCAAAUGGCCAAAUAAUAUGUCCUUUCACAUAAAUAUUUACUCCUGAAUUUUUUGAAGGAUAAUGUUAUCGCUUCUCUCCCACGUUUCACAAAAAUUCUUUUACAUAUUAUAUUUUUGUUACAUAUUCCUAUUGAAGAAUCUCAUUUGAGCAUUUUGUGGUCAAUUUGACUUGAAAGGAACGGCAGAACUUUCAAUAAGAAAGAAGCAAGAUGCCCAGUUUUUUUGAACUGCUGUUUUUCUCUUCUUUUUUUUUCUUUAACUUGCUAUAAAUUGGAGAUGUUUUCCAUAACUACUUUGGCUUAUGUAAUUUACCUUCUCCCUAAAUGCAACCAUAAAUCAAACAAACUAGAUGAAUAAAUUUACACCACAGAAAUCCAUCCUAUGAAGACUAGAGCAGAGAAAGAUGGGAUAAGGAUAAAGCAUAGGAAGAGCAAAUACCCGAUGGGAAGUAAACUGAUAAAAAAUACUUUGUGUUGAGAGUAAUAUAUCCCGAACCAAUUUUCUGCCAGCCAUUAAGAUUUACCCACUGCAACUCUGCACACAAAUAUUUUCUUAUAAACAAUAAUUAACACAAUCUAAUUGGUAUCUUAUGGAUAUAAAAGACAGCAUGGAUCCAUAUUGGAAGGAUUUCAAAUUAGUCUACGAACAAAGAUUUUGGAAGGAUUUCAAAUUAGUCUACGAACAAAGAAUUUGGAAGGAUUUGUGAUCAACUAAGGAGCUCUCGACUUUCUCCGCUGGAAUUUACCUUCUUGGGUAAUUCGACCAGAGACUGGAAGUAGUUGUGCUCUUCGUCCAUAGUAGUCAUCCAACCAGCAAGGGAAAGACCACGACGCGCAGUGGAAUAGGAAAAAGAGCGUUGAGCACAACUUUCGUGUCACCAGCAAUCGUUUUUCCAUUAUUGGUAGACCGAAAAGGCUUUGUCAAGCAGGCAGGCAUGAUUGUCACUCGAUCAACAAUUGAGAAAUCCGGCGCUGUUAGGGCGAUUUUGAGGAAGACGAAGAAGAUAAGAGAAGGGGAGAGGACGAGAAAGUAGAGAGAGAGAGAGCCGUUAGAGAAGAAGUAGGGGAUGAAAUUUGAAACGUGAGUGAGAGAGAAGGGGAGAUGAGGGAUUAAAAUAUAUUUGAAAUAUUUGUGAUAAAACCCAUUUAAAACCCAAAACAAUUUCUUUAUAACUAAAACAAAUAUUUUGUUUUUAAAAUUUAGACUAAACAAAUCAAACUUUACGAGAUAAAAUUUUCAGUAACGAUAAAGCAAAAAAUAUAUAUUUUGUUUUUCAAAUAAUUAUAAUCCAAAAUUUUCAAGAAAUGUGAAAUUUCAUUUAAUAAGAUAAAAAAAUUGUGAACAUUAGUUUCCAACUUUGGCAAUGGAUGAAAGUAUUAGAAAUUGAAAAUAAUUGUUAGACAUGCAUUUUAGCCGUCACCACAAACCAAUCCAAUUUUUCAUUCAAAAAUGUUGAAUUUAUAAUUAAUGGUUCUCGAAACAUUCAUACAAUUUUUUUUUUAAAUUUAACUUACUCAAUUUGAGUUUUCUUACGAUGUUCAUGUCGAUAUUAUACGAAAAAUUGUCUUAAAUGAUAAAAUUGCUGAAGAUAUUCACAAAUAUAACAAAGUUACCGUCUGUUAGUUAGUGAUAGAACAUGUACUAGUGGUCUAUCAAUUAUCUUCUAUGGUUUUAGUUUAGUGGUUAUUUAUCAAGCUCUUAAUAAAUUAAAUAGUGAUUUAACAAAUAUAAUGUAAAAGAAUAUUCCAAGAAUAACCUUGGAGUAUCACUUGAAUUUUCAAAACGACCUAACAAUGCUAAACUAUAAGCUCAUAACUCAUAACCUAUCAAAAAAAAGUACAGAUAAAGCAAAAAAACUAUUUAAAUCUUGAAAAAUGAAAUAUGAGAAAAAAAAUGAAACGAGAAGAAAUAAAUUUUAAAGUAUAUGUAAAUUUUAGAUAUUAAGUAAAAAAGAGAAUAUGUAAGUUGAUUUUUAAUCGGUAAGAAUAUGGAUGUCUAGAAACAAAUUUUUAAUUUUUUAAAAGUUGAUUGAUAAUUAUUUGAUUUCUUUAAAUUCAACAACAACAUAAAAUUCGAUAAGAGAAGGUUGUCACAUGCUUGAGUAUGUGUUGAAUCAAAUGUGGACUCUCGGGCAAGGGUGUAUCUUGGCCAUAUAAUUUCGGGCAAGGGUGUAGAGGUUGAUUCCGAGAAAAUUAGAUCUAUCAAAGAAUGGCCCGUGCCCACUAAUGUCCGUGAAGUUCAUGGAUUUCUUGGGUUGACAGGAUAUUAUCGAAGAUUUGUAAUGAAUUAUGGAAGUAUGGCUGCUCCUUUGACUCAAUUAUUGAAGAAAGGAGCAUAUGAAUGGACUGUUGCAGCUGCUGAAGCUUUUGAGAAUUUAAAGAUGGCUAUGAUGACUCUCCCAAUCUUAGCACUGCCAGAUUUUUCCUUACCAUUUGAAAUAGAGACCGAUGCUUCUGGAUACAGGGUAGGUGCUGUCUUAAUUCAAAAUCAUCGGCCAAUUUCUUAUUUUGAGCCAGACAUUAGCUAUGAGGGAUCGUGCUAAACCAGUUUAUGAACGGGAAUUAAUGGCUGUAGUUUUGGCUGUGCAACGCUGUAGACCUUAUCUUUUGGGCAAGAGGUUUGUAGUGAAAACUGAUCAACGAUCAUUGAAACUUUUAUUGGAACAAAGGGUUAUCCAACCUCAACAUCAGAGGUGGAUUGCUAAGCUUCUUGGCUACAAUUUUGAUGUCGUGUAUAAACCGGGACUAGAAAACAAAGCAGCAGAUGCCUUGUCUCGUGUCCCUCCUACUGCCCAACUUAAUCAACUUACUGUUGAGAUCAGUUAAAUUGGCAGUCCCCAACACUGAAGUUGACCCUAAAUUAGUCCCAGAAAUUAAUGGGAUGGAUCUGAAUGUCUUGUUCAAUGAUGAAGAUAUUCUCCCUAUUAAAAUUCCCCUGGAUUUGCCUAAAGAUUUAGUGUCUAUAGUCGGUGAUUGUGGAAUCAUUCUGGCUUAAAUUAGAUGUGCAACUGCCAUUUCCCUCUCCCAGUCAUUAUUAAGGUUGUCUCCUGGAACACUAAGGGUUUGAACGACUCCUCUAAACGUGCAGCACUUCAAAAAUUCAUCAACAAUUGUAGUCAUGAUUCAAGAAUCUAAGAAGGACACCUUGAACUCGGCUUUUAUAAAAUCAUUGUGGAGUUCUAAGGAUAUUGGCUGGGAUUAUGUGGCAUCUGUUGGAUCUUCUGGGGGAAUUCUUACCAUGUGGGACAGCAGUAAAAUAUCUGUAACAGAGGUCAUUAAAAGACACUUCUCUUUGUCAAUCAAAUGCCUCACUUUGUGCAAAAAGGUUUGCUGGAUCACAAAUGUCUAUGGCCCUUGUGGUUGCAGAGAAAGGAAAUUGGUUUGGCCCGAAUUGUCUUCCUUGGCUGAUUAUUGUUCGGUGGCCUUGUGCAUAGGUGGGGAUUUUAAUAUCACUCGUUGGGCCCGGGAAAGAUUUCCUUUUGGCAGAAGUACUAGAGGAAUGUCAUUAUUCAAUAACAUUACUAUCAUGUUUGUCAACUAUCAAACUAACUCUUUUAAGUUAUUUAGUGUGACACUACAAAGUUAUGAACACCAUAAUCUUAAUUAAAACCUUUUAAUAAACAAAUGCCAAGUUACUACUCAACAAUGGCAAGGAAUUCAAAAAACAUGACAGCUAUCCUAAUUGGUUGAAAAUGAGAAAAAGAAAGUUAGCCAGACAACCUGUUUGGACUACAAAGCCAGCAGAUACGAUUCCUCAAAUUUGACCAUUCACUCUCCAUACUCUACAAGUCUUCAAGCACAUGAUGCUGCCUUCUUUCAGAUGAGCAACAUCAUUCCGAUCUUAACAGUCAGAAGAGCAAGUCAAAUCAAUCCUAGCAUAUUCACAAAUCACAACUAAAAAGUAUAAACAUUACAAAAUAAAACAUGCAGCGAUAUCAACAAGCAUUCUGAUAAAUAAUUAGCCAAUUAAUUGACAUUACAAAAUAAAUAAAGAAAAAAAUCAUUGGAAAGAUCACUGCUUAAAUGAAAUUUGAAAUAUCUCCCAAUAGUUUUGAUCGGCUACCCGAGUUGUGAGAGUGAUCGGUUGAUAUUGCGUGCUUCCUUCAAGCGCUCCCCAGCUGCACCUGUUAGCUUCUGCCUCCGGAACCAGGUAAAUCAAUAAGAUUUAUUCUACUUGUUUUAAAGCUACUUAAACCAUCUGUCAGUCUCUGCACAAUAAAGUACUAGUCAGAAAUGUACCUUGUCUCAUACUGAGUUACUUUUUCACAUGAUUUUUGCUAGCAGGAUAAAUUAGUUUAAGCUCUAGAAGGAACCAACUUAUCCCCUUAAGGGAAACCAAAACAAAUAAUUAAGAAUAAUGAGGAUAUGAAGUGGUCCUCGAGAGUAACCAGUUACAAACCUAAUGAAAAAGCAAGAUACAAUUGUUAUAUUUCUGAAGUUCAGUUUUUCUUUAAGCCAACUUGAGACAAGAAGUAACCAACUGAUGUGUAAUGNNNNNNNNNNNNNNNNNNNNNNNNNNNNNNNNNNNNNNNNNNNNNNNNNNNNNNNNNNNNNNNNNNNNNNNNNNNNNNNNNNNNNNNNNNNNNNNNNNNNNNNNNNNNNNNNNNNNNNNNNNNNNNNNNNNNNNNNNNNNNNNNNNNNNNNNNNNNNNNNNNNNNNNNNNNNNNNNNNNNNNNNNNNNNNNNNNNNNNNNNNNNNNNNNNNNNNNNNNNNNNNNNNNNNNNNNNNNNNNNNNNNNNNNNNNNNNNNNNNNNNNNNNNNNNNNNNNNNNNNNNNNNNNNNNNNNNNNNNNNNNNNNNNNNNNNNNNNNNNNNNNNNNNNNNNNNNNNNNNNNNNNNNNNNNNNNNNNNNNNNNNNNNNNNNNNNNNNNNNNNNNNNNNNNNNNNNNNNNNNNNNNNNNNNNNNNNNNNNNNNNNNNNNNNNNNNNNNNNNNNNNNNNNNNNNNNNNNNNNNNNNNNNNNNNNNNNNNNNNNNNNNNNNNNNNNNNNNNNNNCGAAUUCCGGACCUCAACAUCCUGCUGCUCAUGGUGUUUCACGAUCAGUAUUGGAAAUGAACGGAGAAGUGGUGGAACGUGCGGAACCCCAUAUUGGAUUACUCCAGUGCGGCACGAAGCCGCUGACGCCGAGUCGGCUCCUAUGCCGCUAGCUAUGCCCUGCUUGGUCCCUCGACACGGUGGAGGUUCCGUAGCGCGUCAUGAGCACCGGGCUAAGGGGCGGUUUUUCUACUCAAGCGAACCGCCCUACCUUACUACAACAUAGGGACAGAAGGGAGAAGGUUGUGAAGGUGGCCUCGUUAUCCACACCUCUGGUCGGAUGAAUGGAGGACCUCCAAGAAAAAAGCCUAGGGUUUGAAUGAGCGUUGGCGGGUCCUGGAGUGCCUGUCAAGGGCUCCCGCGCAUACCCCGGGGUGAUCAUCACCACCUGCACCUCACAUCUCGGCACAGUGGAACGUGUAACCCGCCUGCUGUCUCAUUCAACUACAUUUGUUCGUUCCUAUAAUCCAUAGCCUAAGAUCAGGCAGCAGCGAGGGGCAACCUGCCCAUACAGCCAGCGGGGAGGAUGGCACUACUGGCAAAGACCGUCUGGCGAAAACGCCGCAGGCGCGAAGCGUGGUAGGCCUGCGCCGGGGGGGAGCAUAGCAUAGGCGGGAAAGGGAGCCCGGACGGUGGAAGAGCCAGGGGAGGCCGGGUCAUUUGACGGAAAUGGAAGGCUUUUCCCCUAUUUUCAAAGGCCUCAUUCAAGGUUAUGUCUGGUCGAAAGAUCUUUAUGGAAGUGCAUCAAUUCUUGGAAAAAGAGUGAAUGUCUAAUCUUUCUUUGGGUCCUCCGUUUUAGAGUCCUACGGAUAAAUCCUCCGGACCAGUUCUUCCCGCUAUUUAUGGAUGUUCAUUGAUCCUUAAUAGAAAGCCGAGCCUUUAAUUCUUUGCACCCGUCCUCCGUCCUUAGUCGUUCUUUAUAUCCAUAUUAGCUUAGCUUUCUGCGCCUGAGGACGUCCGAAGGACUCUAAAAAGGAGCGUUCUAAUGGAAUUCAUAUUCUGCAAUAUUCUUUGCGCCUAAUCUCAUUCAUUCAAUAUUCUUUUCACCUUCGGUAAACUUUAGCGGAAUCCUUGAGUCCUCCGGACGGACCGGACCACUAUUUCUCAAAUUCUUUGAUCCUCUUGACUUGUCUUUCCUAUAAAAGAUAAGAAAGUCCAUUCAAUGAAUAGAUCUCUUUGAAAGGGUACGAGAGAGAGCGCUGCCUACACGCGAAUUAGCUUCCGAGGUCAAGCAGUCUCAAUAUUGAACUACAGGAUUGAUUUGCGAAUUCAUGCUGGGCUGGGCCACCUCGAAUGGCGUGAGCCGCAUGCGGGGAGACCCGCACGUACGGUUUUUAGGGGGAUCUGGUCGAAAGACCGGCGCCCACCCGACUAGAGGGACUGAGAAAUUAAUAGAGUACAAAACUUAUCUUCAAGCUUUACCUUAUUCUGAUCGUUCAGAGGGCGAUCGCGGAGUCACUGAAUGAAGUCCUCCCUUUCUUUCGGAGGUGCUGACCCGCAGCGAGGCAGAGAUGACUAAGUUACAUAUUCCAUAUGGCGACGACAACAGCAUGUCGUAGAAGGAGAUAAGAGGUGGAGCCAACGACCCACUAAGACUAACGUAUCUACAACUACAUCCCGAGCGGCAGUCAAACGGAGGCGUGAAUGCAAGAUGCCAGCGGAAUGAUCGGUCGGACAGAGGCUAGGGCUGCUUUCUUCCCACCGCGUCCUUCCUUGUGUGUCGGAGAUAUAAAGCGAGUGCACCGGAAAAGAAGGGGAACUGGGUUGAUCUAUUCUAUGGCGAAGCAUCCGAAGCAUAACUGCACACUCACACGAUCUUUGCCGAGAGAUAGGAGCAUUCGGUGGAACCGGUGAACUACACUUGCUUCUGGAUAGAUGUGUGGGACAGAGGGCUCGUGGUACCUGCAGCCCACCCUUCCUCCUCUGCUUUGAGAACCGUAUGAACGGAGAGUGGGCAGAAGGGAAAGAGGUCCUCAUACGGAGUCGCACACUGACUUUUUCUGUGCGGGAGACUGGAGAAUGGGUCGAGUAAACUCCCCCGGGGCCGCCGGCAAAAUCACAGACUCAGUGCUAUUUCUUUUUUCUUUAUUGAAUUUCAAAGGAGGUGCAAAGAAUAUUGCGAGGCAGAGGUAGUACUUCGAAUGGCGAAGAGAGGCGGCUCGGCAAAGAAGGAAUGGGAAAGAUUCUGACUUCUUUGUUGGCGAAACGAAGGGCUAAAUUGCGCCAUUCUCUGAGCCGGUCUGGAUUUCCAAUGCCUCGGGAAAGAGGUCGAUCUCGAUGACAAGACCUUUUUCUUCUUUAUUGGGUGCCUUCUUUUAGAAGUAGUCGGAAAGAGAAAGCCUAAAGAAGGAAUUGCAUGAAUGAUCGAGGAUUCAAGUUCCAUAAAUCAGUCCAAGGCUCAAAGAGGUUAAUAUGGAAGGUGAAAAGUGGUUUUCAAAGUCAGAGCUAUCCCUUAUUAUUGAGGGCUUUGACCACCUGGACACUCGCCUACUCAGUCGCAAGGAUCAAAGAAUUUGAUUGACAAAGAAUAUUGCGAUUUUACAGACUCAAGAGGAUCAUAGAAUUUGAGAAAUAGGCAGUCAUAAAGGCUCAGUUAAGCUUGAUAAAGGACUCCUUCGCCCAUCCAUAAACAUAAAUAAAUAGAGAGAGGCUCAAAGAAUUUGAGAAAGCCUACCAUAAAUCAGUUCGACUAUCCUGGGAAGUCGCGCUUUGCUUACCGGCUCAGGCUUCCAAAGGCGACCAGCUUGAAAUACCUUUUCUUACGUUACGCUGCCAUUGAUUUUUCCAAUCUCAUUGAAUAGCAUGGCCUGGGGUAACUUAAGUGGGAGAGCCGUGUUAUGGGUGACCUUAUUGCACGGUUCAGAGAGCACUUGUGUAUGUGAUGCAAGUGAACGUGUACGAAAAAGCUGUAGGAAAGUGAGUUCUUCGUUCCGUCGUCGACCCUAUCUAUGUUUCUACGAUGGCCCAAGAACACGCUCAUUCUUCAGCUGUAGAGAGACUUUUGAAUUGCGAGGUACCAUUACGAGCUCAAUAUAUACGAGUCUUAUUCCGUGAAAUCACUCGAAUUUCAAAUCAUUCACUUGCUUUAACUACUCAUGCUAUGGAUGUGGGAGCAUCAACUCCGUUCCUGUGGGCUUUUGAGGAGCGGGAGAAAUUAUUUGAAUUCUAUGAAAGAGUCUCGGGAGCCAGGAUGCAUGCCAGUUUCAUACGACCAGGUGGAGUGGCACAAGAUCUGCCUCUUGGCUUAUGUCGAGAUAUUGAUUCCUUCACACAACAAUUUGCUUCUCGUAUCGACGAAUUAGAAGAGAUGUCAAUCGGCAACCGUAUCUGGAAACAACGAUUAGUGGAUAUUGGUACUGUCACUGCACAGCAAGCAAAGGAUUGGGGAUUCAGUGGUGUAAUGUUAAGAGGUCGUGCGACAUGAAGACAUUGAUAGCAAUAUGGGGGAAGUUCCCAUCAGGCAACAAGGGUUCUGCCUGACCCUACUUAAGCAUGCAUAUUAUGUCAGUGAAGACUUGGUGUGAAGCCUUGGAGCUUACGUUAGAAGAGCAAAAGGCCCGGGGCUAGGGUAAGCUGAGGGGGGACAGCGUAAGUGAGCGAAUGUGUGUAAGCCCAGUCAAAGAUGACUGUUCUAGGCGGGCGGGCCACCCACCUGAGAAUGGUCUUGGUCCUACGGACCGUGAACGGAUUCGCCUCUGGCCUCUGGGUACGUCUCCACCGCAUAAGUUCACCGGGGUGGAGCACGGUCCGCCAAAAUCGGCAUAGGUUAGGUGCUAUUGAUGGAACAUGGUAAGCCUAUCUUUCUCCAUAUGGAAGUGCUGCGGGCACAUAGAGAUGUGGGUAGAGGAAGCCUCAAAAAGCGAAGGCCGAGCUGUAGGUCACGUGACCUGCACCGAGUUGGUGGCUGACUGGGCUUUUUCCUAGAUCAAAGCGGAGAAGCGAGCCUAUCCAAAAGUCGAUCCCAAAAACUUUAGGGUUCUUCUCGUGUAAUGGGCUUGCUUUGCGCAACUGCGCCCCACUUUAGGAAUUUGGUGUCCAUUUAAAGUCUAAUCUUUCACUCAAAUUUCAUUCAGCCUCAUCCAUUCAAUAUUCUUUUCACCUUCGGACUGUCCGAAGGACAGACGGGUCCUCCGGACCUGUGACGCCUUCGCACCUGGAAGUCGCUUCGCUUCGCGCCUCCUACAAUAUCCCUGUCUUAUGGAGCCGGAGGACGGACCAAAAAAUAGGCGAAGCGAGACAGAAAGAAAGCAUAGGAGGAAGAGCCAUAGGCGCAGCAGCUAGAAGAAAGCAUAGGAGGAAGAGCCAUAGGCGCAGCGCUUGUGAUUAGAAUCCCAGUCAAAAGAGAAAUCAGCCUUUUGCCUUGGGAAAGAGAGAACUAAUGAGAAUGAAACUGGAAGUCUGACUCACACUUGAGAAAUUCAUGUGUCUCGCAAAUGAGAGAGGAUGUAGUAGGUCCAUGAAUGAAUUGCCUUUUCUCCUAGGCUUUCCUUUCCAAUCCCUAUUUUUUUCUUUAUGAAUGAAAAAAGAAAGGCUGAAUGAAAUUUGAGUUUGCGCCUUCUGACUUUAUCAAGCUUAACACAUCUACAUUGAAUUAUAAGGCGCAAAGAAUAUUGCGAAGCGAAGAACAAAAAUCAGGCUCAAUGCAAGAAAGCAAAGAACUAAAAAGAAAGGUCCAGAUGCGUCACAGGUCCUCCGGACUGCGACUGAGGCGCAAUGAAAUAUGCGUUCAGGAUCAAUUCAAAGUUCAGCGGGAAGAACUGGUCCGAAGGACUAUCCAGAUUAACCCAAAGAAAGAUUGACCUAGAAAGAGAGGACCGUAGGAGGCUCAAAGAAUGAUCGGAGUAGGUGCAAAGGAUACUGCGAAGGCGCAAAGAGCUCAGAAUUUUCUCUUUUUAUCCACCCCAUAAAUCAAGUCCAAAAAAUAGGCGUCCUUCGGACUAGUUUUUUUAGCAUCAAAAUUCAAUUCUCCCAACAUCGUUCGUCUUCAUGUCUUUCUGGGAGUCGAGGGCUCUUCACUUUCAUUCAGGUCUUUCCUUAUUCCCUUUUUGAAUGCAUGAGACAUGAAAAGAAAGAAAGCCUCAAGCAGAACCACAUUCCUUUUGCGUGCGGAUGUAGCUAAGUGUCUGACCCUUGUUUGUGAUUCCCUGCUGUUGCGGCCUAUCCUAGAAUGCGCGUGAACCAACCCAAGAAAGAAGGAAAGGAUGCCUCUCGGGGCAUCUGAGAAUGAUUAGAGCUGUAUGAAGGGAAACUCUCACGUACAGUUUCUUUUUUUUGGGGGGGGAAGGAGCCCGACAGGGUCCCCCACUGACUUGGCCCGGGCCUAAGUGAAAGUGAAGUGGUGGGCCUACCCAUCCCAACCAGGGGUAUGCUGGGAUUUGCGAAGAGCAGCACCUUACGAUGUUCAUGACCAAUUGGAUCCUGACGUACCAGUAGGUACCAGAGGAGAUCGCUAUGAUCGUUACUGUAUCCGUAUCGAGGAGAUGCGACAAAGUGUUCGGAUCAUUGUGCAAUGUCCUAAUCAAAUGCCUAGUGGGAUGAUCAAAGCCGAUGAUCGUAAGCUAUGUCCUCCAUCACGAUCUCGAAUGAAACUAUCCAUGGAAUCGUGUGCCGUGUGAAACGUAGAUCAUCGCCGUUCUUAACCGAGACUCAGGUUAAGCUCCGUCUCGGAACCUUGUGGGGUUAGGAGUAAAGCAUCCCGAGGUUGACGCAUCUCGUUGGGCGUGGAGAAACGAACCAAAAUAGCUUUCUUCGGAGCCGUUUCUUCUCCCGUCCCCCCGCCCCGGCAUAGCGCUUCGCUUUCGGUGAUUCUUCCGAAUCAACUGACUUCUCCCUUCUUCAUUGAUCUGGGGGAAAAGGAACCGUCUACCUGUUGGGAAGCUAGACAUUCAGUAAGUGGCUUGAUGAGGAUAACUAAGCUGACACGCCGGAGUUGGCUGCUGGCACAACUGGGUGGUGCCUUACCGCACCGCAGGUUCACGCGCGGUAGCGUUCGUGGUGGUGCUUCAGGAUUCCAGUGUACUGCAUCCAAGAUCAGAACGAGCUUGCCGGCGGACCAUUGCCGUCCCAUUCUUGAGUGAGCUGGAGCGCAGCCAUCUUAUCCACUGAACUAGCGUUAAGCUAUUGCUUCGGGUCGAAGCACUAAAAGAAAAGGACCAGGAAAGGCGGCGGUAUAGGAACCACGGGACCCCCCCACUAGUCUAGUAAAGGGAAAAGAGAAGUGCGCUCCUCUCCUGUAAGUAAAGCAGCUUCGCACCUCUCAAGAAAUAAGAAGAGCAGCUAAAAGGAAGGAAAGAUCGAAUUCAGAGAUCAUUCAACUCUCUUUCAUACUCUUUCUCUUGUUCCGCUACGUGGGCUUCU